RNAcentral lists this long non-coding RNA (101755 nucleotides) under Populus tremula. RNAcentral's name for it is "long non-coding RNA (PTRE_LNC000880)". The record is from RNAcentral. Lineage: Eukaryota; Viridiplantae; Streptophyta; Magnoliopsida; Malpighiales; Salicaceae.
GGGUUUGCGUUUCUAAUGAUUUUAAUAAAGUGAAGAUUUUAGGAGCAAUGUUGCAAGUGAUUGACAAAACUACGGGUGGGUUGAACAGUCUUGAUGCAAUUCUUAAAAACCUUAAGAAAGAGCUGGAAAGUAAGACAUUUUUUCUUGUUCUUGAUGAUGUGUGGAAUGAAGACCCUGAUAAGUGGGAUGAUUUGAAGGAGCAACUGUUAAAAAUUAACAGCAAGAAUGGGAAUGCUGUUGUUGUUACAACCCGCAGUAAGAAAGUAGCAGACAUGAUGGAGACUUCUCCAGGGAUUCAGCACGAGCCAGGGAGACUAUCAGAUGAUCAAUGUUGGUCCAUCAUCAAGCAAAAGGUGAGCAGGGGUGGAGGAGAAACAAUAGCUUCAGACUUGGAGUCUAUUGGAAAAGAGAUUGCAAAGAAAUGUGGAGGGAUUCCAUUGCUUGCUAGAGUUUUGGGAGGAACUCUUCACGGAAAGCAGGCUCAGUGGCAGUCAAUUCUAAACAGUAGAAUUUGGGAUUCUCCGGAUGGAGAAAAAGCUUUGCGCGUAUUGAGAUUAAGUUUUGAUUACCUGUCAUCGCCAACACUGAAAAAAUGUUUUGCAUACUGUUCCAUUUUCCCUAAAGAUUUUGAAUUUGAAAGGGAAGAGCUGGUUCAACUUUGGAUGGCUGAAGGUUUUCUCAGGCCAUCAAAUUGGAGGAUGGAAGACGAAGGCAGCAAGUGUUUCAAUGACUUGCUUGCAAAUUCCUUUUUCCAAGAUGUUAAAAGGAAUGAGUGUGAGAUCGUAACAAGUUGCAAGAUGCAUGAUCUAGUGCAUGAUCUCGCAUUACAGGUCUCAAAAUCAGAAGCGUUAAAUCUGGAGGAGGAUUCCGCUGUUGAUGGUGCAUCUCAUAUUCGUCAUCUAAAUCUCGUAUCUCGUGGGGAUGACGAGGCAGCAUUAACAGCGGUUGAUGCUAGAAAAUUGCGAACUGUUUUCUCAAUGGUUGAUGUAUUCAACGAGUCUUGGAAAUUCAAAAGCUUGAGAACUCUCAAAUUGCAGGAGUCUAAUAUCACUGAGUUACCAGAUUCAAUUUGCAAGCUGAGACAUUUGAGAUAUCUUGAUGUUUCACGCACCAGUAUUAGAGUAUUGCCAGAAUCCAUCACCAAGCUCUACCAUUUGGAAACAUUAAGAUUCACUGAUUGCAAGUUACUAGAAAAGCUUCCCAAGAAAAUGAGGAAUUUAGUCAGCUUGAGACAUCUUCAUUUUGAUGAUCCAAAGCUAGUGCCAGCUGAGGUGAGACUCUUAACACGCCUUCAAACUCUGCCUUUUUUUGUUGUGGGUCCAGAUCAUAUGGUUGAAGAGCUGGGAUGUUUGAAAGAACUAAGAGGAGCAUUGAAGAUAUGCAAGCUUGAGCAAGUGAGAGACAGAGAAGAAGCUGAGAAGGCAGAACUGAGUGGAAAAAGAAUGAACAAAUUGGUGUUUGAAUGGAGUGAUGAUGAAGGUAACAGCAGUGCCAAUAGCGAGGAUGUGCUGGAAGGCCUGCAGCCUCACCCAGACAUAAGAAGCUUGACAAUUGCGGGUUAUGGAGGUGAAAAUUUCUCAUCAUGGAUGUCUACAGUCCUAAUCAAUAAUCUUAUGGAGCUGAGAUUGAAAGACUGCAGCAAGUCCAGACAACUCCCAACACUUGGAUGUCUUCCUCGCCUUAAGAUUCUAGAGAUACGUGGAAUGCCUAUUGUGAAAUGUAUAGGCCAUGAGUUCUAUAGCAGCAGUGACAGCGCAUCAAUACUGUUUCCAGCACUAAAAGAACUCACUUUGCAGUUUAUGGAUGGUCUUGAAGAAUGGAUGGUACCAGAUGGAGAAGGUGAUCAAGUAUUUCCUUGUCUUGAAAGGUUGAGCAUUUUUAUGCGUGGCAAGUUGAGGCAACUCCCAACACUUGGAUGUCUUCCUCGCCUUAAGAUUCUAGAGAUACGUGGAAUGCCUAAUGUGAAAUGUAUAGGCAAUGAGUUCUAUAGUAGCAGCAGUGACAGCGUACCAAAACUGUUUCCAGCACUAAAAGAACUCACUUUGCAGUUUAUGGAUGGUCUUGAAGAAUGGAUGGUACCAGGUGGAGAAGGUGAUCAAGUAUUUCCUUGUCUUGAAAGGUUGAACAUUUUGAGGUGUGGCAAGUUGAAAAGCAUUCCGAUAUGUGGUCUUUCAUCUCUUGUAAAAUUUGAUAUUGGAUUAUGUGAUGAACUGAGAUAUUUUUCUGGUGAGUUUCGUGGCUUCACGUCUCUUCAAAUUUUAAAUAUAAUUCAUUGUCCAAAGCUGGCAUCCAUUCCAGGCGUACAACGCUGCACAGCUCUGGUGGAAUUGGGUAUAUGGAGCUGCCGUGAGUUGACCUCUGGUGGAAUUGGGUAUAUGGAGCUGCCGUGAGUUGACCUCUGGUGGAAUUGAUGAUUUUCGAGAAUUGAAUUCUUUGAAGAAAUUGACUGUUGAUGGGUGUAAAUUGGGAGCUCUUCCAAGCGGACUACAAUGUUGCGCAUCUCUAGAGGAAUUAACAGUAACGGGUUGGAGUGAGCUUAUCCAUAUCAGUGAUUUACAAGAAUUGUCUUCGCUUCGAAGUUUAGAGAUUAGUGGUUGUGAUAAGCUCAUCAGUAUUGAUUGGCAUGGUUUACGACAAUUACCUUCUCUUGUUUAUUUGCAAAUCACCGCGUGUCCUAGGUUGAGUGAUAUCCCAUGGGAUGAUUGCUUAGGCGGCCUCACCAAACUGGAGUGUUUGGGCAUCGGUGGUUUCUCAGAGGAGAUGGAGGCUUUUCCUACAGGAGUUUUAAACUCAAUCCAACACCUCAACUUGAGGGGGUCCCUUAAAAGACUACAGAUACGGGGAUGGGAUAAACUGAAGAGUGUACCACACCAACUUCAACACCUCACUGCCCUUACUACCUUGUCUAUAUGGGAUUUCAAGGGAGAUGAGUUUGAGGAAGCAUUGCCAGAUUGGUUGGCCAACCUUUCUUCUCUUCAAUCUCUUAGUAUCGCACAUUGCAAGAAUCUCAAGUAUAUGCCAAGUUCAACAGCCAUUCAACGCCUCUCCAAAUUAAAGCAAUUGAGUAUCUGGGGCUGUCCACAUCUAUCAGAAAAUUGUAGAAAGGAGAAUGGCUCUGAGUGGCCCAAGAUUUCUCAUAUCCCAGAAAUCUAUAUAAACUAUGGAUAAGUUGGUAUUUAAAUUAUUCCGUUACUUUGUAGUAUGCAGUGAGGAGAGAGAACCAAUUAAAUAAUUCAAAUUAAUAAAAAGCAAUAAUUAGACUUCAUUCUCUUAAAAUGGUUUAUUUCUCAUAUCCCAACAUUCUUUAGAGUAAUAUCUUAUUAUCUUUUAUUAUGUUUACAAAAUUUAUAUUUAAAAAUUAUAACUAUGAAAUCAAUAAUUUAAAUUAGACUUUUACUUCUUUUUCUGAAAAAUUGUCUAAUCAUUUCAUGGAGUACCUAAUUUUAACUUCAUUUCAUUUAAUAACAACCAAUAAGAUUAUUACUACUAAGAUUACUAACCAACCACUUAAAGCUAAAAACACUCUUUAGAUUUAAAAAAAAAAAAAAAAAGCAAACAAGCUUUCGACACUAACUUGGCCAAUUAAAGUAUUCAAAAUUAAACACUUGAGGGUCUAGUUCAUUGGUCAACUGCAAGACUAGCCUUUGCAAAGAUUCUGGGUUCGAUCCUCAAGAGUACCAGCCUGUCACCCCUGCGGUGCCUUACCUGCCUACUGGGCUUGCAGGAUGUUUAGUAGGCUCUGAGAUUAGUUGUGGUGCGCGUAAGCUGACCCGGACACCCAGGGUCAUCAAAAUAUAUAUAUAUAUAUAUAUAAUAAAGUAUUCAAAUUAAUGAAAGCAAUAAUUAAAAAAAUUUAUAAAAUAAAUGAUUUGUUUGUUUUUUCUAUCUUAACCUAAAUUUUAAACAUUCUAUUAUAACCUAAAUUUGAUUCCGUGGAAUAUUAUGUAUCAAAAUAUAAAAUCAAUAGCCAUCCAGCAUUCUUUCAAUCAUUACUCUAAUAUCAUUCUUACAAGAUAAUUUAACUUAUAUUUAUUAAGAUUGUUUCCACAAAUUAAAAAUAAUUGCAUUAUCUAUACAAUAUUAUUUAUUUUAAAAUCAUCAAUUUUAUAUACAAUUAUGAUACUUUAAACAAACCAUUAAAUCUUAAAAUUAACCAAUUGAUAAAACUCACAUCAAAUAGAGGCAUUCAUCAUAUACAUAGGAAUUUAAUGAUGAUUUGUUAAAAUUUAAAAAUUAUAACCGAAAUCAAUAAUUUAAAAAGUAUAACAAAAAAAUUGCCUAAUCAUUUCUUGCCUACAUUUAGUAACCAAUUUUAACCAACCAAGCUUAUCAUGUAUGCCUUCCUGUGAUCCCAUUUUUCUGAAAUUUUAUAAAUACAGAAACAAAUUGCUUCCAUAUAGCUAUUAAACAAACAGCUUCCAAGAUUUAAAAAAGAAUCCAAUGUAAAAGGGAUGCAAAAUAUUAACAGUUCAACUUCUGUUAGUUACAUGCAUAAAAAUAUUUGGUUUAAACCUUUUUAUUGAGCUCAAAGCACAAAAUAGUUUGGAAGAAAAAUGCUGCAAAUAAUGGUUCCAAAAAAGAGCUCGAGGAAUGAACAACCAAACUCACCAAAAUGCACAAAGAAACUUGAAUUGGCAGGGAUGGCAAAUUCUGUUUCCAGCAGCAUCAGUACAAAAGUUCUCCAUUACCAGUAUCACACGUCCAUAAAAAAACAGUGAGAGAGGAUGGUAUUACUUGGCCAUAUAAAUUCUCAUGGACUAUCAGCUGUAAAUAGAUGCAUAGAAAUCCAUGAGAACUAGUUUCAAUCAAUACUUCACAUGAACAAAGAGUACGUCGCACCUCAACUCAAUUGACAAUUAAAAGAGAAGAUUAUUCAUGCCUUCCUUCCUGUAUUACUUGAAUAUGAAUAGCACUCAUAUUGUGAAUAUUGUAGAAACCAUGUAGAACUCCCAUUUUUUCUCUACUCAAUGGAUAUCAUUCUGCAUUUUGCAGUUUAGCGUUUAUCGUUGUUUUUCUUUCCAAGACUAACAAGAAGUUGGUUGUUUUAACUAUUGUAUGUGCAGUCGUCUAAGACUGAAGGAGGCCGCAGAAUGGUUAUUUAAAGCUUCUGCAGAAUAGUGUUUGUCGGGCUGGAUGGUGGAUAAACGUGUGAAUUCACCAAGAUAGAACAGCUUAAUACGGGCAUGAAUGGAUGCGAAUUUUUAUCUGCAUGCAGUGCAACUUCUAUUAUUUUAUAUUAGAUCUUGUUUCUUAACAUUUAAGAAUUCUAUUUUUAUGAGUUUAUUCAUGCUGAUAAAUGUUUUUCAAAGCUGAAUUUUCCAAUUUCUUAGGAACAGGGAUGGCUAACUGAUGCGAUCACAAUUUCAAGAACUAAGGCUUUAUAACUACACUACCUGAAAAAGAACCGCAAGUAUUACAAGGAUGAUCCCCAUCGCCAAUGUACUGUUGUGGUAAAAUACCAAAGACCUGUUCAAAGUGGAUGCAACGCUUAGCAUGAUGACACCCGAGAUUAAGAAUGUCAGAUGAUACAAGAAAUUAAAUUGCAGAACAAUAGCAAAACAAAUUGCUAACAUAAAAAUGAAGUACCAAAAACUUGACUUGUUACUCCUGAAAACAACAGGUAGAACAGAAAUGGUAAAACCAACCCUCUUCAAUCGACAGCUCAAGGGUUUCUGAGGAUACACCAGCCAUUCUAAUAUCUAACAACUUGUGGUCAAAAGGUGACAUGGAUCGAACCCAUGUAGAAAGGAGCCUGGAAGAUCCUAGCAUGUUAGUUGUGGCUUAUAAAGCGGAACACAAUCACUCCAAAAUUGCAUUUCAAUCCCCCAACAUGAUGCUUCGUAUUUAACAACCAAAUCAAACCAUAGGACAACGGUAUUUUCCAAGCUAGAACUGUUUGCACCUGCAAAGUAAGUUUCUUUCUUCUGCUCCAUGUUCCCUUAAAAAAAGAUCUCAUGAUUUUUAACUUCUAGGUUAUUACUUCUUCUUCAUCAAUGUCUAAUUGUAUAUAUGCUCUCUCAAGAUUUUCUAAUAGAGGCUCAUUCGCUUCAUGCACGACUGGAUUUCUCAAGUUUUGUUUUCCAAUAUCUUUCACCUCAAAAGAAACAAUCAUUUAAUCACGAUUUUUAUCAUAUGCCUUAUCAAAUUUACAUAAGCAAAGAUCACAACAAAAGCAUAUGUGCUGCAAAACAGGCUGGAAAAUAACAAAAAAAAAAAUGAAAAAGAGAAGAAUAAAGGCCUCUUAAAAAACUUGAAAGAAAGAUGGAUAAGGAAACUGUGUGGAAGCAAACUUAAAAGAAAGAUGGAUAAGGAUUGAGUAGGGGGUGUAUUUAAAGUAACAACUAUAAGAAGCUAAGAACAUGUAUAAGCGAAAGAAAAAAAGUGAGAUGUACCGUUAGAUCCUUGAAAGAAGACCAAGAAGCUGACUGAGGAGAGAAUAAGUGUGAUCCUAGGAGAGUUGACAGCAAAACAAUAAGGCAAGUGAUACAUGUUCCCCAAUAAAAAUUAGAAAACAAAGGUAAGGGAAGAGGAAAGAAGAGUAGAACAAAAAAAAAGAAAACAACACUAUACUAAAAAAAAGUCAGCACAACUAAGUUUCAAAAAACCAAAUCCUAAACAUUUAGAAACCAAUGAAUUCUUUUAACUCCUUUGUGCAUCAUCCUUUAUGAAGCAUAUAGCCUUGGAAGUGUUGAAGCGUCUAGUAAAUCAUCUUUAAAUCAUAAUCACAAUUUUCUAAGAAACCUCAUUAGCAUUCAGGUAGCCACAAUUAAAGUUAAAAAAAAAAAAAAAUCUUUAAACAUGCAUCAAUACGCAACAUGAAGCUACUUAUGAAUGCAAAAAAAACUAAAGAAGAAAAUUUUUUUAGCUACCAACCAGCCACAACCAAGAGCAAUAAACUUGAAAUCUAGAACAUCCACAAAGGAACAACAUCAUAAAACAACACAAAACAACUCAUGAAUGCACUAAUCUUUAAAGGGAAAAAAAAAAGCUGAAAAAUGUUAAAUAAUAUUAAUGUAGUCUUAUUUAUUAAGGGUACAAUAGUACUUUCAGUUUAACCUAUAUGUACUUUAUUUAUAUUUAGGUUAAGACUAAGCACUCAUAAUAUACAGAUCACUCAAAAUUCUAGCCUCCUUUUUAUAUUUAAUCUCAAUUAUUUUAACAAAAAGGACCUCAAUGGUUGGCCUUACCAACAAAAUAAAACCACAUAAGCUCACCCAACAAAGCUGGAAAUGCAAGUGAAGAGGCCCUCUAUGGCAAACAAAACCCAAAACCAAAAAAACCAACGUAUCUAUCUGGAAACUUGUAUUAUGCUCCAGGGACCAGUCUAUAAUUUUUUUUAAGUUUGGGGACUAAACUAAAAUUUUUACAAAUUGAGGGACCAAUCUGAAAUUUUAUCAUCUUCAACUAGGGGUGAUCAUUUUCGGCUUGGUUUUUUAUAAAAAAAAAAGUAACCAAACUAGUUUUUUUUUUAAAUCAAAACCGGUUCAAACCAAUCGAUUUUGGUUCGGUUUGUUUAUUUUAGAACAAAAACCAGUUUUUUUUUGUUUUGCUCGAUUUUUUUUGUUUGGCUCGAUUUUUCCGAUUUGGCUUGGUUUUGUUUGAAUAGUGAAUUUUGAGUUAGAAAUCAGGGGAGAACAGUAGGUUUUUGUUGAAAUCCUGGAUUGGAGGUUGAAGAUGAUGAAAAUUCAAUUUGGUCCCUCAAUUUGCGAACAUUACAGUUUAGUCCCCAAAUUUUGGAAAAUUACAAAUUGAUCCCUGGAGCAUAUUCCGAGAUUCUGAAGAGAAUAGCAUAUGAAUUAUGGGCAGAAUUACUGUAUAGUUAUGAAAUUUUAAAACUUUCAAUUUGGUCCUCCAAUUUGACAAAAUUACCAUUUGACCCUAAAAAUUUGGUAAAAUUCUAGAAUGGUCCCUGGAGCAUAAUGAGAUAUCCUGGACAGAAUUGAGGAUUAAUUAUGGUCAGAAUUUCAGUAUAUUCAUGGAUUUAUGACAAAUUUUUGUUUGGUCCUCCAUUUGAUAAAAAUUACAAUUUGACCCUAAAAAUUUGGAAAAUUACAAAUUGAUCCCUGGAGCAUAUUCCGAGAUUCUGAACAGAAUAGCAUAUGAAUUAUGGGCAGAAUUACUGUAUAGUUAUGAAAUUUUAAAACUUUCAAUUUGGUCCUUCAAUUUGACAAAAUUACCAUUUAACCCUAAAAAUUUGGUAAAAUUCCAGAAUGGUCCCUGGAGCAUAAUGAGAUAUCCUGGACAGAAUUGAUGAUUAAUUAUGGUCAGAAUUUCAGUAUAUGCAUGGAUUUAUGACAAAUGUUUGUUUGGUCCUCCAUUUGAUAAAAAUUACAAUUUGACCCUAAAAAUAUGGAAAAAUUCCAGAAUGGUCCCUGGAGCAUAAUUAGAGGUUCUGGACAGAUAGUCAUGAAUUUAUGAUAUGUUUAGUUUGGUCCUCCAAUUAGAUGAAAAUUACAAUUUGGCCCUAAAAUAUAUAAGAAAUUCCAGAGUAGUCCCUAGCUGUAAUAUUAGCUUUUCCAGAUUAGUUUGAUGAAUAAUUUAGGGUUAUUUAGUGAAUUAUUACCAAUUUUAUUAGUCACUUUUAUUAUGGAUUAGAUUUCGGGAAAACCAUUAAAUUUUGGAUUUUUAAGAAAAUUAACUAGUUAGUUCAAAAAAUAUAUAGGGUUACGGUUACACCCUUAGUUAAGUGUAUUAAAUAGGUUAAAUAUUGUUUCGAGUCGUUUUUGAAUAUGUCUCCUUUGUAUUCAGAUAAUCCUGAUAUUCUACCGGCGGGACGUCAAUAGGAUUUUCUUCGGUAUCAACUUUUGAGUGUUGUUGCUUUUGAGUCAGGUGAGUGGAUAAUUUUCCAUGUGCAUGAGAAAUAUUAUAAAUAUUUGAUUUGUUAAUAUAAAUUGAAUCAUGCUUCUUGAUAAUAUAUAUGUUGAUUAUUAUCCUUGUUAUGAUAAAGCAUAAUCAAUUAUUGAAUCUGAAUUCUUGAUAUGAACCAACAUAUAUUUUGAAUUGACUUCUGAAUUGAUAGCUCCUCAUUUGAUUGAUGUCAUGAGUUGAGCUUUGAGAUAUGAAUAUGUUUGUUAGAUUAUGAUUAUGAACCUAUGAUAUGUCAGUCAGAAUACCCAUACUAACAGGGUAGUGUUAGUCUUUGUGCACAUCGUAUCUAAACCCUAGUUGGUCAGGGGAGUCACCAACUUGUGUGGACUGAUCAUCCCACAGUAUGGAACCUCAUGCUCAUUGCAUUUUGAUUUUUUGACGAGCUUUACCAUAUGAUCUUCUUGUUAUGGCCUAUUUGAGAUUCAUUUAAGAAUCUAGAGCAUAAUUGUAUAUAUAUUCUAAUUGUUAUAUUACCUCGUGUGUGUAUAUUGAACAUAUCUACUCACAAAUAUUGAAAAACAUCAUUGCCAAUGGUGAUGACAUGUCGUUACUACCCUAUACCUUCAUUCCUUGUCGUUUAAGGUUCGUGAAAUAUUGCUGUUUUUUGACAAGUUGCAGGCAGUUUCCAGUUCCUUGUAGGAGUUUCUCGUACUGUGAGGUGUCCUGCAUGCUUAUUUCCUUUCUGAGUUUGCAAACAUGUUAAACACCACCACUUCUCAGUUCCUGCAUUCAUCAGCUUCUUCUAAUACUAAAAGUGAAGAAGUCAAGACUAAAAGUGAAGCCCAGGUUGAGAUUCAGGUUUUGUCUCUCUCUCUCUCUCUUAUUUUAUUUAUGGAACUUAUUGUUAUGAAUACAGUACUCACGAGUGGUUUUAUUUAUGGAAAAACUGAAAAAUUAUGUAGGAAAGAGGUGAAAUAUUCUUCUUCUAUAUUUAUGACGUUCAGCGUUUGUACUUGGUACUAAGGCCAGAGUCUGGAGAGAGAGCAUUUGAGGAGAAGCAAUUCCCUCAAUCUGGCUUUAAAUCUCAGCAGUAUUGAUCAUGAUGGUGAAAGUAGUAGUGCUUCUGCAGGCAAGAAUGGAAGUGAAGGUGUGGGCGUGGAAGCCAGGUAAUUAAUUGCAAUAGAUUGUCCAAAAAUGUGUUUAAUAUAUAAUAUGCUAGUGCUUUUAUUCUUUCUCUCAAAGUUUUACAAUAGAGUUAGUAGUUAGAGCAAUGAAUGUGCUUUCUUUUUCUCUUGGAUUGUAGGAAGUGAACAAUGAAAAAGAGCCCUUGUUUGAGAUUGAUAGAAGAAAUGGGAUGUAAAAGUCUUCCAGAAGUCAGCAUUGAAUUUUGUUGCAGUUUCAUGGACAUCAAUUUGAUCAUAAAUUUUGAUUACCUGUUGCAUCUCAGAGGAAUAUGACACUGCUGCGACAAGAGGGCUCCGACACAAGUAUCCAGCAAGAGCAUUAGGAGAAGGCAUUUAUCGGAUACCAAGGCACAAUCCAGGCAAGAGAAUGCAUGCUCAUUUGGUGUACAAGCUAGAAUUGCCAUCAAAAGACAAGGAAAACGAGCCUCAAGAGUCGCUUAACAUCGAACGUGAGGGCUCAUUUAUAAUUCACAUAAAGAACCCGAUCAACAUGGUGGCAGUUACCAAUUUACAAGGUUUCCAACUCACCUACAAGGCCAAUUUGGGCAAUAAGUUUGUUCGUGCUGACCCACCAGAUAUGUUGAAUUAUGAGGGUUGCCAGUUGCUGUUGAUAUCUGCUUCGGAUGGCAUAGAAGAGGAGUGGAAAACUAAUCUGUAGACACAGAUUCUAAAGAAACAGAACAGCAGAAGGCCAAAAAAUGAAAAAGAAAUUACUGCAGCUAAAAAAUGCCGCAAGCAGGGAAGAAUGACAACCUGAUAAUGAACAGCACAUGAGCAAACAUGGAACAAAAGUAGGUAAGAGGCCGCUAUUGGAAUGCAACCAUCCUCAACAACAACAACAAAAACAAACCACAAUCGAAAACAACAAAAAGAUGGAAUAUAAGAUAGUAAAUAUUUCCAGGCCAACUCUUUGAGAAAGGAAGGUAAUGUGCAGAUGAAGAAUUAGAGCAAUUAACUGUAAUGUUAAAACUUGUUAGCGUAUAUUGUGUGACUCAUCAUUCUUUGACGAUACAGGAUACUUGUAAACACAGGAGAGGAAAAGGUAGUUGCAAAUGUCUGCAGGAAUUCUAGCAUGCCAGACAAGAAAUCCUUUUGCUGCCAUCUAAAGAUGGCUUCUCUAGCAGUCCGGAUGCCAAGACCACCCUUAUAAUUUCCCCUGGCAUCACCUUUACUAAACAUCUAGAUCAAAGAAGCAACUUGCUAAUUUGUUAAUAUACCCACAAAUCCUCCUAGCCAGCCAUGCUCAUACUUCAUAGUAUAGAGCGGAAUUGAUGGCAGCAGCAGUGGGAGUGGAGUGAAUUGAAGUAUUCCAGGCACCUGAGCUGCAAAACGACAUGGACAAUUGGAGGGUGAUGUGGCAAUGAAGACUUGAAUACACUUUAUUUUAAGAAGAAACUCAAUUUUGAUAGAUUGGAAACAUUAGAACAUAACUGUUCAUCUCAUCUUGUGUGUUUGGUUUUCAUCUACUCAUCCUAUUCCCCGAGUUCCCUGCAUUACUCUAGGGUCCUUUAACUAAUGUUAACAAAAAUUAAAUGACACCCUCCUUCCCUUAAGCAAAGAGCAGAUCAAUGAAAAAGGAAAAGAAACUAACCUGGAUUAAACGACACAGCAGGAACAGUGCAUAAAAAGGCAGGAGCACCAACCAAGUUAAGGUCAAAAUAAAGUUAUGGGCUGACCACUUGUUAGGAAGCUUUCUUGACGUAAGCUUAAAAAAAUAUAAGAACCAAAUCGAAAUGAGAAAGGACAGACACAAACCUGGAAGAAAAAACAUUGCAGGUAAGAGCGGACGCCGGACGAAGUUUCAGCAGACCUAAAUUUUGCGAAGAAACUAGUCUGUAGAGACAGAUUCUAAAGAAACAGAACAGCAGAAGGACAAAAAAAGAUGGACCCAGGCAAAGUCGAUAUCGAAACCAUUUGAGAAAAACAUUUAGCUAUACGAAAAUGAAUGCAGUGAAGGAAAACCAUACCUGCUUAAGAACCAGCUGAAGGGUCAUAUAACCCUGACAAAGGCUAUUCGAUCGUGCCUAGUCAAAGGCAAUCAAACACACACAACAUUCCUAAACUCAUCAUAAAACCACUAAUCAAAAAUAGGAGGAAGCUCAGACAUGCUCUUAAACCUGAUCAAAAAGUGCUUCCCAAAAAAGAAAAAGAUAAAAAGAAAUCAGCAGGGUCUCUGAAAAGAAAAAAAACUACGAAUCAUAGAGAAUAAUCGCAAAUCACGAACUGGAGCAACAUCACGCAACCAAAGCCAUGGAACAUCAGGUGGUUGCGCCAGCUAAAGGUCGUCAAAAGAGCCGAAAUCCUGAGAAAGAAAGCAGAAAAUAACACCACUGAGCUAAAUUCAACUAUAAAUAAAUGAAUAAAUUCGGGACAAUACAUGGGAAAAAAACUUUCAAAUGAAAAUGGGUGAGAAAAAACAAUAAUAAAAAACCAACGACGGUAAAUUGAAUUCCAAUAGAGCUACACCACUGUGCAGAAGAGAGAAAGCACGAAUGCAAAACCAUGUAAAGAAAAGAGAUAGAUUAGCAUAGCGAUUCAAAUCAAGCUGAAAAUUCAUACCUAAACUCUCAUCAAUCAAAGUUGAUGCAAGAUGCACUCCCAUUGGCGGCUUCGAUUGAGAGGGAAGGGCAGGGCGGGAAACCAGGUGAAGAGAGGCAGAGUAAAGGCAGAUGCAAAAUGAGUUGAUGAGUCAACCGCAAUAGGUAGCAGGCCCAAGAAUAAAAACAAUCAUGCUCCCAGCCCAAAGCCCAGCAACAUCACCCAAACAGAUGGAUAAAAAGCCAGCCAAGAUAAGUUGACCGUGAGGCAAAACGGACUGCUGCUCCAAUGAAUGAAUAGAGAUACGUGUCUUGAUGCACAGUAGGUUCACCAAUCCUUUUAUUAUUAUUUUUGUUAUAAAUAUAAUUAAAAUUAAAAAAAAACUAAUUAAGGUUGUUUUUUUGUUGGAAAUGAUCCAAGCGUGUUUUAUUUUAUUUUUGAUGGCAUGUGGCAUAUAUUAUACAAUACAUCGAAAGAGAUUAUUUUUUUUAUUUUACCAUGCACUCUCUCAUAUAACACUGGCAUUGCUUCUUCUUUUCUUUUCUUUUUUAAUUUUUACUUCAAUUUUUAAAUUUUUAUUUUACAUGAUUUGCUACCUUUAAGCCCAAAUUAGAUAUUAAUUAUAUAUUUUUUUAGAAGCGAGGGUUGAAUUGAAAGAUAAUGGAUUAAGGUGAAAAUCUCAAAUAACAUAGGAGGCUAGUUGAAAAUUUUGUUUAAAAAAAUCAUUUUAGUCCCUCAUCUUUUUUAGAUAUAUAUUAGGUGAUCAAUCCUUCGAAUUUUAAAAAUAUAUAUUUUAGUACCUAACUUUAUUUUUUCUAUUUUUUUAGUUUUCUCAUGGGAGGAAAGAAAAGGAGUUAUCAGAUUUCAGCGAGAAAAAAAAUAGUUGUUGGGAAAGAUUUUAGCCACCAAAACAAUUUCGACCAUCAAAAGGUUCUAUAUAAUGAGAGGGGUUAUAAUUAGGUAUUUGUUUACCUUGAAAACACCAAUAAAAAUAGAUCUAAAGCUCGGGAAGAUUUUUAUUUUGAGUGGAUUUCGAGUUUCUAACAAUUUUUUUGGUGGCCAUGGACUGGUUCAAGGAGGUUUAUAGGGUGUUUCCAAUGUAUUUUUGGUCAAAAAUAGAUUAAAAAUCAGUUUUUUAGUAAAAAUAAUAAAGAACCCGAUUUUCCAGCUGCCAGCCUGCCACAUUAAUUGGACUUUGGAUUGAAUAAAUAAUGUGUUAUCUACUGAUACAGAUGAUACAUAAUUUUUUUAAAAAAAAUGUUUGGGGCAGACGUUCGACCCCCCUAUUUAAUUAAAAAAAAAAAAGAGGUUCAUAAUCAGGUUUGGCCUUGUAGACCUGCAUGUGAGUCGUUGCUUUAUUGGGCAAGACUUAAAGCCUAGCCUGUUUGAGAGUGUGGUUGUGGUUGCUUUUCAAAGUGUUUUUCACUCAGGAAUGCAUCAAAAUAAUAUUUUUUAUUUUUUAAAAAUUAUUUUUGAUAUCAGUACAUCAAAAUAAUUUAAAAAUACAAAAAAUAUUAAUUUGAAGCAAAUAAAAAAAAUUAAUUUUUUAAAAAAACUUUUUUGAAACACAACAAAUUGAUAACCGAUGUUGGUGGUUGUAAUUGGUUACCAUCCUUGACCUAGUUUACUACAAUAAUAAUAAUAAUAAUAAUAAAUACAGAAAGAUUAAAAAGAAAUAGCAUUUAAAAAAAAAGCCGAAAAGAAAGACAAAUAACAAAGAAAUAACUUGGUUAAUUUUGAUUACAAGGAGCUAAAUAAAAAGCUGCUGCAAGCCAAAUGUUCUCCUGAGUGCAAUGGAAGAGGCAAACUUUUCAUACCAAUAAUAGUGCUUGGGACAGAAAAAAUCGACACUCCUUUCUUGGAUUCAUUUAUCUAAUAAUAUGGUUAAUAAUUGAGGGUAUAAUGGUUAUGUCCGGUACCAUAUUACUAUUAAUUUUUUUUUCUGAAUUUUUGUUAAGUUUAUUUAUUUUUUUAAUAAAUAAAGUCUAUGUAUUGACUACUAACACUACUUUCUUGGAUUCAUUACAUGUGUCAAGAGGAUAUAAGGAGAGGGAGGGACCCUCUGCUUUAAAAUUGUCAACACGCUUAGAUGGAUUUGGACACACAAGAUAAGAAGGAAGGGUCAUUUUCUUCGUCUUGGUUCGUGGAAGAUGCUGCCAGCUGCAAUUAAUCAAAAAAGGGAGGACCCCUGUUUUGAAUUUGAAACAGCAUGUCAUCAUUUCAAAACAAACUUUAUUUUAGAGUUUGAGAAUAUAAGUGGUUAUUUUGUAAAGUGUUUUUUAUUUUAAAAUAUAUUAAAAUAAUUUUUUAAAAUUUUUAAAAUUAGUUUUAAUAUUAAUAUUUUAAAAUAAUUUAAAAAUAUUAAAAAUAUAUUAAUUUAAAAUAAAAAAUAAUAAGUUGUUUUUAAUUAUUUUAAAAAUGUUCUUCAAAUACAAUCACAAACAUUUACUUCAUGUUCUAGAGUGUGAUUGUUGGUUUUAGAAGUUAGUUUUGUGUAUGAAAUUUAUAUAAAAAAAAAAUUACAUUUAAGUUUUGUUAAUAAUUAAAUUCUACCUAACCUCAACCUUAAUCACAACUUCUAAAAGAAAUACACUUUAAAUGAAUUGUUAAAAACGUUUUUUUAAAAUUAAAUUUUUUUAAUAUAAUAGUUUUUUAUAUUUUCACAUUAUUUUUAUUUUAAAUAAUUAUAAAUAAUAAACAAUUAAAAAACAACUUUUAUCUAUUCUCAAAUAACUAGUUUCACACCAUAUUUCUCUCUGUCCCGGGCUCAAUAUUGUUUCUUUUUUUUUAGACAUUAAUAUGUAUUAAUAUUUUUUUAAUUUAAUCAGACAUUUAUAUUCAUUAAUAUAUUUUUUUUCAUUGUUAUUUAGGCAUGUAAUGGUAAUUGAACAUUUAAUAUUUUUCCAUUCUUGGGUAAUUUUUUAUUUGUAAUUUAUUUUAAUUAUUAUUAGAGGCUAAUAAUUGAAUGAAUGUCUAGUGAUUUGUGAUAAUUUAAUCAAGAAUGGUUGCAUGAGGCUGUAAAGUAUAAAUUCCACAUGAGGGGAGGAGUAAAAAUUGUGAAAAUCACUAAAGUUAAUAAUUAAAAAACAAAACCAUUUACCUGAUCAAAAUGAGAUUAGUAUUUAUGAGAUUAAUUAUUAAUUAAGAGGUGAGUUUGUGUCAAACUAAAUUCAAACAAGUUUGAUAAUUUUGAUGAUAAAUCAAAUGUAAAUCAUUGCUUAACAUGAAAGAAAUGUUUUUCUUUUCUAUUCAGGUUUUGUUUAUAUAUUAGAAUUAAAAAAUAUUUUAUAAUAUGUGCUUACACCAUUUUCUUGUGUAAAAAUCUGCUUUGGUUUCACUAAUAUAAAUUGAGAGCCUUGAAGGAGUAAUUGACACCUGACUUCAAGCGACACAUCUGGUCAUCAAAAAAAUAUAAAAUUAAUUUAUAUAUUAUAUGCAAACAAGAUUACGGUUGUUAGGGUUCUUUUUUCUCUUCUUUAUUACUUUACCUCUUAUUUUUAAUUUUAAUUUUUACUCUUAAAUUAAUUAAAAUAUAAAUAAAAAAAUAUAAAAAAAAUAAAUAUAUAUAUUUUACUUUUCAAAUUCUAAUAUUUAUUAAUCUGCAAAAAGUUAAACUAAAUACAAUAUGCCAACAGAGACGUCUGUGGAAUUUUAUUAGCCAUGACAUGACAAAUUGACAGCGGUGGUUCGUGAAAGAUGCUGUUAAUAGCCAUCAAUCAAUUAGGAUAGGGAGGAAGGUACCCUCAUGCAACUAUGGUUUAGGCUCCGUUUGUUUGCAGUAAAGUGAAUUUCUUUUGGAAAGUGAAUUCUGAGGAAAGUGAAUUUCUGGAAAGUGAAUUCUGGAAAAGUAUUUUUCGAUGUUUGGUAGUGUUAUGGAAAAUGAACUGGAAAACACUUUCCAGUGUUUGGUUGUAUUAUGGAAAAUGAACUGGAAAAUAAUUUAUUAAUGAAUUAAUUUUUUUUUCAAAUUUAUCUAAUAUAUAUAUAAAAUAUCUAAUAUAAAAUAUUUAAUCACUUACAAUAAAAAAAAAUGAAAUCUAAAAUGUAUAAUGAUGAAUUUUUUUUAUUAUAUUCUAUAUUCAUACAUAGCUUAUUUUAUAAAAUAUAACUAUAUAUAUCAUAUCAUAUUAUAGAGAAAUAAGCUUGUGAAAUUUUUUUUACUAUUCCAUGAAACUAUUUAUAAUUCCAUUACGUACGAAAUAUAUCCGACAAAAACUAUAGUUUUAAUAAUAUUUUUAGCAUGUAAUAAAAUUGAAUAAAAUAUUAAGGUUUAAAAUUUACUCUAAACUAUUUUUUUGUAAUGUUAAAAAAAAUAGCACACUUAAAAAAAAAAAAAAAUCCUACAGGCAAGUGAACAGUGCAAGAGAACUGCACUGCUCACUAUUUUUUCAGUAAACAGUGUACGCAAUACACUGUUCAUGUUAAUUGCACUAUUCAUUGAACAGUGCAAUUAACAUGAACAGUUAAGAAAAAAUAGCUGUUUUUCACCACUGGCCACUGUCGGAAAGUGUUUUCCUUUCUUUAACAAAGGAAAACACUUUCCUUUGGCAACACUGAUUUAUUUUCCAUUGACUGAAUUCAUUUUCCAUUGACUUUUUUUUUUGUUGUUGCCAAACACUGGAAAAGCAGGAAAGUGAAUUCCAGGAAUUCACUUUCCUGCAAUCAAACACAGCCUUAAAGUUGAAUGUAUCUCAUCAUUCCAAAACACACUUUAUUUCAUCUUUUAAUAUUUCACACCGUACUUCUCUCUCUCGCGCUCAAAAUUUAUUUUUUGCUACAAAAAGAAACUACUUUUUAUUUUUAUUUUAUUUUUAAUUUGUAUCUUUUUUAUAUAUCAAUUAGUACUCUACAAUUAUAAAUUUAUAUUAAUUCUUGUAUUAAAAUAAUUAAAUUAUUAUGAAGUUAGCUUUAUUGUUACCGUUGCGUUGAUUUUUGAUUGAUUUAUUUGAAAAAUAAUUUUAUAUAUAAAUUUGGGUUCGCAUAGUAAUAGAAUAGGAGAAGAGCCUUCUCUAUUAAUGGGUCAUGAAUAAAAAAAAGAACAAGACAGAUAAUUAGUGUGAAACUUGCUUACUUUCAUCACAAUACGUUAACUCUGGUCAUAUAUAUAUAUAAAGAAAGAAAGAAUAAUUGGCUGUAAGAUUAUAAUAACCAGCUAGCUUACUCCAAAAUACAAACAUCCAAGAAAAUGCAAUUAACUGUGUUUUUUUUUUUUAAAAUCCUGUCAUUAUCAAACUCAACAACUUGCUUCAUUAAAAAAAGAAAAAAAAACAAUAAAGAAAGACUUCGGCAGAGAGAAGACACAAAGUAAUUUUUUAAAAUGAAGGACCCGAUCGAGCAAUAGGUGGGUGCACACAAGAACAAGACAGAUAAUUAGUGUGAAACCUAAUUGCCAGCUGUGACCACCCAAUUAAGACAAAAUCAUUAUGAGGUAGACUAAAUGUUAAGAAUAUCAGCAAUCAGUUUUCUGAUAGAGGUUGGGGUGCACGGUGAUUAAUGUCAAAUUCAGAAAUUAUUUUCGUUUUCUAAUGAUGUUCAUGAAUAUCCAUCGUUUAGCCAGACCAAAAAAAAGAAGAAAGAAAAAAGAAUUGCAGCAGAAAGCAAAAGGGUAUCUCGCAGCAUCACAUGGCAAACAAUUCUGUAAACUAUUGAGGGGGUAGACUUAAGCACAUGGAAAUGGAUAGUGAGGUUAAGGUCUGGUGCAUAGGAAAGGAUAAGGAAACACAACACUCUGUUCUAAAGACAGCAAAAAGAAAUAAUUAAUAUGGUCAGGCGCAUCAGGGUGCGAUACUACCUAUGUCUUAGCACACCACUCGAAGAAAAGCAAUUAGCUAAAAACAGGGGUUAGUUCAUGUGAUUCUGGAAAACGCAGCCACCUGUUUUUCUUUAUAUGAAAUCAAAUAAGUUCAAAUAAACAUGGAUCAAUAAUAAUUAAUCCGAUUAUUGACAAUUAGUGUUUAGGGUGACGAUGGGGGUGAUCAUAUCGGAUGCGCAGAUCGCAAGCUCUCUUGUCUGCCAAUUUUUUAGUCCCAUUAGAAUACUUUUUACUCAAAUAUAUGUUUAUAUAAAGAAAGACUUUGCAGACGACUGCCGUACGUAAGAUUAGGAAAUCCAAUUAAAUAUGUUUGUUUUUUUUUUUUUAAUCAUGUCCUUAACAACUUGCUUCAUCAAAAAGAAAGAAAGACUUGGAAGAAGACUUGUAGAUUUUUUAUUUUUUUAAAUAACAUUAGACUGAGAGUGGGUACAGUGUAAUUUUGUAAUUUUUCUUGUGAGUUCUUGUGUUCUAGAAAGAGUAAUUACGGAAAUUCAAUAUAUAUAGAUUAAUAAGUUGCUUCAUCUUUGAAUCUGUCCUAGGUUUAAUGUGAACAUAGGAUCGAGGGAGUUGGCUGGCUACAUAUGCAGCAGACGACGAAAGGUCUAGCAAUAUCCUUAGGUGAGACAGAUUGACAAUGAGAAAUUUAUGAUGUUCUGUUGCUAAAAAUCUAGUGAGAAAUUUACGAAAAAUAUAAAAGGAAAAAUCUGCAAAAAGUUAAACUAAAUACAAUAUGCCGAUAGAGGCGUCUGUGGAUUUUAUUAGCCAUGGCAUGACAGAUUGACAGUGGUGGUUCGUGGAAGAUGCUGCCAACAACCAUCAAUCAAUUACGACAGGGAGGAAGGGACCAAGGUUGUUAAAAUCACGUUUUGACUCGUAAAAUCAUACAAUUUUACGAGUCAAAACAUGCUUUACAUGUUGAAUUGCUUGAAAAGGUAAAAAAUAGGUGAAAUCAGGUGAAAUCACUAAAAUCACGAUUUCAUUACCGAUUUUGCGAUUGUAACAAAAUGCAUGCACUAAAACAAAAUUCCCCCCAUGGUCCAACUGUCAGGCACCUAUUGGGAGCGUGUUUGACAGUGUGGAAGCGGUUGCUUUUCAAAUAACUUUUCGUGCCGAAAUGCAUGCCAAUGAUGUGUUUUUUAUUUUUUUAAAAUUAUUUUUGACAUCAGCACAUCAAAACGAUCCAAAAGGUACAAACCACACUCAAUUUUAGCAACAAAAAAAAAUUGAAUUUUUUGGAAACGCAGGUUGAACCGCAUUCCCAAACAUAGUCUGGGUGUGGAAAUGUACAGUCACGCGACUCACGCCACGCGGUCUCCAGGGAAUCAGGGUCACUAUUGAGUCUUCAGUCACAACUCACAAAAGACUCUUUCUUUUUUUCCAACCAAACAAAUCUCUAAUCAGUUAAUCCUGAAUCCCUUUCUCUAAUUAACCAAUCUGGCACCGGCAACAACAAAAGCGGUGACGACGAUCUCCACAAAAGCGGUCGCAGUCCAGUCUUCACUCCUUCUCUUUCCUCGAUGCUCACAGUCACGACUUCCUUUUUUGUUUAUCGCGAUUUUAACAGCGACGACGAUCUCCUCAACAGCUCACUGCUUCAGGCUUCCUCUUCAAUCUUCAUCAACAGCAGCACGCCGGCAACGAUCUCCUUUCUUUCCCAUCUUCAACAGCUGACGGCUUCCUCUUCAUCAAUAGCAGCAGGCGACAUCAGGCCUCUUCACCGGCAGCCGUUCAACCAUCAUCAUCAACGACUCUUCACCGUAAAUUGAUUUUGCCUUCAUCAUCAUCACUGCAAUAGUUGAUUUUGCCCCAUAAAUCAUAAUUGUAUAUUUCCCUGUAAUAGAUUUUGAUUUUACCCUGUUAGAUGUUACCCUGUAAUUAUUAAUUACAAUUUUGAUUUUGCCAGGUCUUGUAAUUUGUUUAUGUAUAAUGUUGAAUUGAAUUGAAUUGAAUGGAAUUGGUCGGGUGAAAAUUGGAUUGAAAAUUGUUGAAUUGAAUGCCAUUUCAGUAUAUAUCUUGAUUGAAUUAAUUGGAUAGAAUUCACCGGGUGAAAUUUGGACUAAACACUGUUGAAUUGGACUAAAUUGAAUGUCAUUUCAGUAUUAUAGGACUGAAUUGAAUUGAAUUAAUGAGAUGAAAAUUGGACUGAAAAUUAUUGAAUUUAAUGUUCAACGCAUUCCAAUACACACUUCAUGUCAUCUUUAAAAUAUUUCACAAUUAAUUUUAAUAGAUUAAAAAAAAAGUAGAAGAGAGAAGUUAUUGAAGAAAAAAGAGUUAAUCUUCAGUGAUUCUCAUUUCCUAAUAGAGCUUUUGCAGCUGGCCUUCCAAUCCCCAAGCAAGUCCAAGCCUUUCAGUAGCCAUGGAACUCACCCUUGUCAAAGUCGACUCCAAGGCAAACGUAAGUAGAAACUCUGCUGCCGUUCUCUGGAAAUAUAUAGGAAAGAAAGUCUGGGUAGCGAUCAUGAACACAAAAUAGAAGAUUUGGAAAUGAAAGAUUUAGCAGUUCAAGUUCCGUAAACAUGAACACAUCCAUUUCAUGGACACAAUGAGUUGCUAUCAUUUAUUGAAGAGAGUAUAUUAUAAGCAAACAAGAUUACGGUUGUUAGGGUUCUUUUUUCUCUUCUUUAUUACUUUACCUCUUAAGUUUGAUUCUUCAAUCUAAGUUUAUAGUAUAAUACUAUUUUUUUUAUUUUAAUCUUUUUUCUUUUGAUUUUUUUCGUUUUGUUAAUUUUUUUUUUUUAAUUUUACUUUCAAAUUUAAAACAUGUUGUUUCCUUUUGAUUUAUUUUUUAUUGCACUUUUAAUCCUUAUUAUUUUUAUUGUAUUUUUUUUUGGAUUUUUUUUAAUUGUUAAUUUAUAUAAGUUUAACCCUACUUUUUCAUUUAUAAUACUUUUGGUCUUAUAACUCGGUUAAAAAAAUUAAUAAUAAUUAACUAUUUUUGUCUUAUGCUUUUGAGAUUCUAAUAUAUAUAUAUUUUUUAAAAAAUUUAUAUAAUUAUUUUAUUCUCAUUUGAUUUCUACUUUGUUAGCAAAUAAUUUCAGAUGUAAGUUCAAGAACAUGGAUCGUCAUGUUGAGACAAACCCAUAGGACCAAAUCUCAGGCAAAAGAAAGUUACAGCAAAGAAUAAAGAGAGGAGCACCAAAUUAAUGACAAUUGAAUGGCAAUCACUUUAUUGUUUAUAAAAUGGCAUCGUUCUAUAUAUUUGGAUCUGCAGAGAUAUGAGAGAUUUUACCUUUCCAUCUGAAGACACUGAAAACGACGGUUUUGGGAUUUACCACAGCAUGAAAAACAUCCAGAGGGACACAUGAGUUCUUAAGCACUUGGUAGCAUAUUUUCUGAUAGCAUUUUAAAAAAAAAUUAAAAUAUUUUUGGCAACUAGUUUUUAACUAAGUCAGUACAUACUCUAAGAACAUGAUGAAUUAUGUUAUUUCUAAUUUAGUUUCUGCUAAAACAUUUCGUCUACAUAAUAAUGUUGACCUCAACCCAACUUUAAGGGCAGAAAAGUUUGAGAAAUCAAACUUAUUGCUUGGAUAGUGAAGAUUUUUUCCAUGGAUAAAUCUAAUUUGACCUGUUAAAUACCAUUCGUUCACAGUUGAUGAUUCAACAAUGUCUCAAAAUAAAGUUCAGAUGCCACCUUUUGAUGUCCAGUUGAAUCAUUUUGAUUAAGAUACACAGAAAGUUGGGACUUUCUCAAGAUUUCACAGAAGGUUGCCUGCUAAAACAGAUAGUAUUUGUAUGGGGAAAAACACAUUCUGAUUUGCUGAGAAUAAUAGUGGCUGCUGAGAAUGAUAGAGCCAGUUUGAUCCUAAUAUAUAGUAAUUUUAUUCAAGUCUAAAUUGCAGUGUUGCUGUGAUCUGAGCAAGGCAUUACCCACUCUUUAUUAAGUUUUUCUCCACUGAUAUAAGAUUUGCAUGCACAAGACGAAAAUAGCAACUUAAUUAGUUGUGGUAAAUUCAACAGCCUCUACAAACUCAUUCCAACCUCGAAGUCGAUUUUAAUUCCUCCAAAAAGUUUUAGAAACUUCAGUAAGUCUUGAAAACUAAACUGUAAUUCCAGGUCUUUAUUUCUUUUUUGGACCCUUUCAAGGAUGUCACCAUCAUUAAUCGACUCCUCUCUCUACAAGUCUUCAUCUUCCUUUUAUAUUAUAUCAACCAGUAUAUGUAGAGAUAUAAAUGAUCCAAAAAUCAUGUCAAUUUGAUCUUGUUUUACACCAUGGAUCUGAUGAGUACUCAGGUGGAGCAGAAAUCAGCGAAAAAGAAAUUCCUGGCAGCAGAGUGUGUGCAUGAGUCCUUGUAAGGGUGGAUAUGCAGCUGCUAUAAGUCGGCAACCAGAGGGAGUUUUCCAGUGAUAAUUGGACAGAAAGAAAGAAGAAGAAUUCUACAAGUAACAGGAGAAGAGAAGUUCAUAAAUAAGAGACUUUAUAUGGGGGCACAAAUAGCCUUGAUUUCAGCAACCCAACCUGGCAGAACUACAUCUUUGAGUUGAGUUGCUGAUAUAUAUUGCAGGCAGACGCUAAAUAGAACAGCAACAAAAUAAAAAAAGAAUUAAAUCUAGACUACAACCUUGCAAGUUCAAGUGUACACAAAUAAUGAUGGGAAGACGUUCAGAAUGAGCUAUUUGUUCAUCAUAAUAAAUCUAGACUAGAGAAUGAGCAAUUUGUUGAUCAUAAUAAAAAGAAGAGACUUUAUAUGGAGGCAGAGAUAGAUCUUUGAGUUAAGGUGUUGAUAUUGCAGGCAGAUGCUAAAUAGAACAACAACAAAUUAAAAAAAGAAUUAAAUCUAGACUACAACCUUACAAGUUCAAAGUUCUACAUAUUCUUGCACACAAAUAAUGAUGGGAAGACGUUCAUCCAUGACAGAAUUAAAUCUAGACUAGAGAAUGAACUAUUUGUUUGAUCAUAAUCAUAGGGUGGUCAGGAUGCAGUCACUAAUAAAAUUCUAUUGCUUCCAGGAAAGUAACACAGAAUAAUUAAUUUUAAAAAAUAAUAAAUAAUGAUGUAGUAUGAUUAGAAUGAUUGUUUCUAUGUGUUAUCUCUCCCUCCUGUGUUAUGAUAUACCUAUUGCUUAGUUUACAUUAAAAUAUGUAGUAAAUACAAACUCUGGUAAAGGAAAAAAAAUUGUUUAUUAUUUUGUAUAGUUUUUUGGAAAAAAUAAAUAAGGGGAAACAAUUUAGCUACAUUGAUAUUCUUACAAUAAUAAUAAUAAUAAAAAGUUUCAAGCUUUAAAUUCAUUUAUAUAAAUCAACAAUUCAAAAAAAAAUGCUAAUUAAGAGUUCAAACUAAAUUCACGUAAAUUUGAGGAGAAAUCAAGUUUUGCUAUGAAAUGUAGAUCAUUAUCUACCAUUAAAGGAAUAAUAUUUUUUAUAUUCACGUUCGGACUAUUUUUUAAAAAAAAAUUUUAAAAAAAAUAUUGAAUAUGAAGAUUUUUUUAAUAAUAUCAUUAAAUCUAAUUAAACAGUUUUAUUUUGAAAUUUAUUAAAUCGACCCCUUAUUUAGUUCAAAAUUUGAAUUAAACUGCGUGAAAAUUAAUUCAAAAUAAAUUAUUCAAUUUAAUAAAUUCAAAAAUAAUUUGAAUAACCGGUAAAAAUAUAACAUAAUUUUUAUAAAAUCUUAUAAAUGAAACCAUGGUGUUAUGUAUGAUUGAUUGAUAUCUUGGUAAGAAGUUAGCUGAAAAAGAACACAUCCUUUAUUUAGUUCUGUAAGAUUAGGAAAUGCAAUUAAAUAUGUUUGUUUUUUUAUAUCAUGUUUUUUUAAAAUAUUUAUUUUUCUAGACUUCUAGCUUUAUUUUCAUAUUUUGAUGUGAGUUUAUCAAUUAAUUACUUACUUUAUUUUCUUUUUAAGAUUUUCUAGUUUUAAUAUAGAUAAUAUAUCUUCUAGCAAUUUGAAAGGCCAAAUGUAAUCUAGGUCUCGUUAGUUUGGCAAAAAGUGGUUUUCUGGAAAUCAUUUUUCAAACUUUUCUAUAUUUGUUUGCCAUAGGAAAACUGGUUAACGGAAAACACUUUACAGUCAAAAGAAAAUUUAGCUUAGUUUUCAGGAAAGUUUUUUUCUUUUAUUUUGAGCAGAAAACACUUUUCGAAAAAUAUGAAAAAAAUAAAAAAUAUCAUAUUAUUUGUUGAUUAUAUCAAAUUAAUUUGGUCCUCAAACUUUUGAUUGCCAUAUAUAUAUAUAUAUAUAUAUAUAUAUUUGAAUAUAUAUUUUUUUAAUUUCAUCCCUUAGAAUUUGAUUUUUAUAUUAACUUUGAUCCUCAUUUUUAUAAUUGUUAUUUUCUUUUUUCUUAUUAUUUUUUAAUUGAAAUUUUUUAUCUAUCAAAUUUGGUCCUCGUUCUUUUGAUUGUUACUUAUUUUAUUUGAAAUAAUUUAUGAAAUGAUAAUUAUUAUUAUUUUAAUUUCUUCAUCUUUUAAUUUUUUAAUUUGUUAGAUUUGAUAUCUAUUAUUUUUAUUAUUAUUUAUUUUAUUUGAGAUAAUUUAUAAAAUUAUAUUUUUUUCAAUAUCAUUCUCAUUCAACUUUUUAAUUUGUAAGAUUUGUUCCUCAUUAUUUUAAUAAACUUGGAAAAAUUAAAACAUUAAUAAGUUAUUUUCAGCUUAUUUUCCAUGACAUAACCAAACACUAGAAAAUAUUUUUCAACUUAUUUUUUAUUAUACUACCAAACAUCAAAAAAUAAUUUACUCUCUCAGAAUUCAUUUUCUAGAAAAAAACUACUUUAAAACAAAUAAACAUGUCUUUAAUAUAAAAAACAACUAUAGAGAUAUUCCUCAUGUGAAACCAAAACAAGAUAAGAAUUCUAAAGGUAAGUAUUUCCGGUUGUUAAUUUUCAGUAUCUUGAUUCCAGAUUUUUGAUGAAUUGGGAUAAUUGCAAUUAACUUUUUAAAAUAAAAGUAUUUAGAAAAAUUAUAAUUUUACUAUUAUUAUAUUAAAGUUGAUGGAAAUAAAUUUUUUAUUCACAUCAUAUACUUUAUAUAUUUGUAUUAUAUAAGAAAAUUUUGUAACAAUAAAAUCCAUUACAAAAUAAUUCAUAAAUAUUAUUAUAUAAUAUAAUAUUAUGUUAGGUAAUAGAAGAUAUUUGGUGAAUUGGGAUUGGGAUCCUACCCUAAAUCUCUAUUAUUUUCUUCAUCUUAGAAAUAAAAUUCCUAGAAAGCAACUGGCCGGCCAACUGCUUACUUUCAUCACAAUACGUUAACUCAAAAUAUAUAUAUAAAGAAAGACUAAUUGGCUGUAAGAUUAGUAUGAGUAGCUUACUCCAAAAUACAAACAUCCAAGAAAAUGCAAUUAACUGUGUUUUUUUUUUUAAAUCCUGUCAUUAUCAAACUCAACAACUUGCUUCAUUGAAAAAAGAAAAACAAACAAUAAAGAAAGACUUCGGCAGAGAGUAGACACAAAGUAAUUUUUUAAAAUGAAGGACCCGAUCGAGCACCUAUGUGGGUGCACACAAGAACAAGACAGAUAAUUAGUGUGAAACCUAAUUGCCAGUUCUGACCACCCAGUUAAGACAAAAUCAUUAUUAGAAUAUCAGAAAUCAGUUUUCUGAUAUAGGUUGGGGUGCACGGUGAUUAAUGUCAAAUUCAGUAAUUAUUUUCGUUUUCUAAUGAUGUUCAUGAAUAUCCAUCGUUUAGCCAGACCAAAAAAAUGAAAAAAAAGAAGAAUUGCAGCAGAAAGCAACGGGGGCAUCACACAGUAUCACAUGGCAAACACUUCUGCAAACUAUUAAUAUGGUCAGGCACAUCAAGGUGCGGUGCUACCUAUGUAUUAGCACAACACUCGAACAAAAGUCCAUCGGUAAAGAAAACCUAGCUAAAAACAGGUGUUAGUUCAUGUGAUUCUGGAAAACGCAGCCACCUCGAGUGUUUUUCUUUAUAUGAAAUCAAAUACAAAUAUGAUAUCAAAUAAGUUCAAAUAAACAUGGAUCAAUAAUAAUUAAUCUGAUUAUUGACAAUUAAUGUGUUAGGGGGUGAUCACAUCGGAUGCGCAGGUCGCAAGCUCUCUUCUCUGCCUUUUUUUUUGUCCCAUUUGAGAAAUAUAAUUGAGGGCCUUGAACAAGUAGUGAAUGUAUGACUUCAUACUGCAAUAAUACUAAAUCAUAUGACAAAUCUCAUCACAUUGAUUGAAAAAGUCGAAUCCUAGAAAGCAACUGGCCGGCCAUUAGAAUACUUUAACUCAAAACAUAUGUUGAUAUAAAGAAAGACUUGGCAGAAGACUGUACAAGAUUAGGAAAUGCAAUUAAAUAUGUUUGUUUUUUUUUUUUUAAAUCAUGUCCUUAACAACUCGCUGCAUCAAAAAGAAAGAAAGAAUGAAAGAAAGAAAGACUUGGAAGAAGACUUAUAAAUUAUUAUUUUUUAAAUAACAUUAGACAGAGUGGGUACAUUGUAAUUUUGUAAUUUUUCUUGUGAGUUCUUGUGUUCUAGAAAGAGUAAUUACGGAAAUUCAAUAUAUAUAGAUUAAUAAGUUGCUUCAUCUUUGAAUCUGUCCUAGGUUUAAUGUGAACACAGGAUCGAGGGAGUUGGCUGGCUACAUAUGCAGCAGACGACGAAAGGUCUAGCAAUAUCCUUAGCUAAAAAUGUAGUGAGAAAUUACAAAAAAUGUGAAAGGACAAAUCUGCAAAAAGUUAAACUAAAUACAUUAGAGCAUCUCUAAUGAAAAAUAGGAUUAAUGGCAAAAAUAUAGUUGUGAUUGUUUUUUAAUAUGUUUUUUAUUUGAAAAUGCAUCAAAAUAAUAUUUUUUAUUUUUUAAAAAUUAUUUUUGAUAUCAACACAUCAAAAUAAUCUGAAAACAUAAAAAAUAUAUAAUUUAAAGCAAAAAAAAAAAAUAAAAUUUUUUUAAUUUUUUUCAAAAAUAAUUUUAAAAUAUAAAAACAAACAGGAUUUUGACAGUGACUACACACUUAGAUGGAUUUAGACACGCAAGAUAAGAAGGAAGGGUCAUUUUCUUCGUCUUGGUUCGUGAAAGAUGCUGCUAAUUGCAAUCAAUCAAAGAGAGAGGGAUUCCCUGUUUUGAAUUUGAAACUGUAUUUUAUCAUUUCAAAACACACUUUAUUUCGAUGUUUGAAAAUAUAUUAAUGGUUUUUUAAGUGUUUUUUAUUUUAAUUUUUUUAUUAUUUUUUAAAAAUUAUUUUUAAUAUUAAUACUUCAAAAGAAUUUAAAAAUAUAAAAUAUAUGAAUUUGAAAUAAAAAUAAAUAAAACAUUUUCAAAUAUUUUUAAAAUUGCUUUCCAAAUACAAUCACAAACAUUUACUUCAUCUACGUGAUUGUUGGUUUUAGAGGUUAGUUUUGUGUAUGAAAUUCAUAAAAAAAAAAUUAAAAAUUAAUUUUUUCAGUUAAGUUUUAUCUAUAAUUAAAUUCUACCUACCCUUAAAAUCAAUCACAACUUCUAAAAAAAAAAUACACUUUAAAUGAAUUGUUAAAACCGUUUUUUUUUUAAAUAGUUUUUUUUUAAAUAGUUUUUUUAAUAUAAUAAUUUUUUAUAUUUUCCCAUUAUUUUUAUUUUAAAUAAUAAAUAAUUAAAAAAAAACUUUUAUCUAUUUUCAAAUAACCAAUUUUACUUUAUACUUCUCUCUCUCCGGGCUCAAUAUUGUUUCUUUAUUUUUAAACAUCAAUAUUCAUUAAUAAUUUUUUUUUAAUUUAACCAGACAUUUAUAUUCAUUAAUAGCUUUUUUUUUUCAUUGUUAUUUAGGCAUAGCUGUGAAACUCAUGGUAAUUGAACAUUUAAUAUUUUUCCAUUCUUGGGUAAUUUUUUAUUUGUAAUUUAUUUUAAUUAUUAUUAGAGGCUAAUAAUUGAAUGAAUGUCUAGUGAUAUGUGAUAAUUUAAUCAGGAAUGGUUGCACGAGGCUGCGAAAGUGUUUCUUUUUAAUAGCCAACUUUCUCAUGCAACUUUCUCUGCUUUAAUGUUCUCUUCGUUCCAAAACACACUUCGUUUCAUCUUUAAAAUAUUUCUCAUUUCCUAACAGAGCUUUUGCAGCUGGCCUUCCAAUCCCCAAGCAAGUCCAAUCCUUUCAGUAGCCAUGGAACUCACCCUUGUCAAAGUCUACUCCAAGGCAGACGUAAGUAGAAACUCUGCUGCCGUUCUCUGGCAAUAGGAAAGAAAGUCUGCGUAGCUAUCAUGAACACUAAAUCGAAGAUUUGAAAAUGAAAGAUAUAUUUAGCAGUUCAAGUUCAGUAAACAUGAACACAUCAUUUUCAUGGACACAAUGAGUUGCUAUCAUUUAUUGAAGAGAGUAUAUUAUAAGCAAACAAGAUUACGGUUGUUAGGGUUCUUUUUUCUCUUCUUUAUUUCUUUUCCUCUUAAUUUUAAUAUUAACUUUUACUCUUAAAAUUAAAUAAAAUAUAAAUAAUAAACUAAUAAUAAACAAUAAAUAUCUAUAUUUUACUUUUUCAAAUUCUAAUAUUUAUUAAUUAUUAAAUAAUUAAAUACAAGAUUUAUUAUAUUUUUUUAGUAAUGCAUCAGUGUGGUAAAAUACCCGGAUCAUGUUAUUAUUAAUAUUUUUUUAUGCCUUGUUAAGUUCAUUUAUUUUUAUUAAUAAAUAAAGUCUAUGUACCGACACUGCUUUCUAACAGGCUUAACUGUUUGGGAACACUGUUGAAACCGCGUUUCUAAAAAAUUCAAAUUUUUUUGGUUAAAAUUCGAUAUGAUUUAUAUGUUUUGAAUCGUUUUGAUGUGCUGAUAUUAAAAAUAAUUUUUAAAAAUUUUAAAAAAAUAUUAUUAAUAUGUAUUUUAAUAUAAAAAAUUAUUUAAAUAUAUUAUUGUUUGGUUAAAUAAAAAAUAUAAUUUUAUUGGUGUAGGUCACAUUUUAAAUUGUGAUUAUGUCACAUGUUUUUUAGAAGCAUAAUUUUGUUAUUUCUUACAUGAACGAAUCAUUGAACAGUAUAUUCAUGCUUUAUUGUUUUUGUGAAUAGUGGAUAUAUUUUUCAUUAUUCCAGUUAGAUUGGGUCCGGUCCAAAACUAAAAAUACAUUGAACCAGGUCCGACCAAGUAAAAUAAAAUAAUUAUUUUUAAUUUUUAAUUGUGUUUUAUUCAAAAAACUAGUAUUAAACAUUAUUCAAUGACACUGCAUAAAUUAGACAUAGAUUGCUUGAUGAUGUAGCAUUUGUAUAAUUUGAUCGCAAUUACAAUUUUGUUCCUGAUUAUAUUUUACUUGAUAUUGUUGCGCUUUUAAGAAACCAAGAAAACUGUAGUCCUUGUUGGAUAUGUUUCAUAUAUUAUAGAAUUGUAGAUAGUUUAAUGGAACAAUAAAAAAUAUUUUAUAUAAAGUAUUAUUUAUUUUAUGAUGUAAUAGCAAUAGUUAAAUCUACAAUAUUCAAAUUAAAAACUAUCAAUAUUAAUAUAUAUAUAUAUAUAUAUAUAUAAUUAUUUUAUAACCUCAAUUUCAAAAGUAUUCUAAAUCAAACACAUUAAACUAUUUUUUGUUCAAUCUUAAUUUUAACUAUAGUUUUAACUAAACAUACAUAAAUAUCAAAUCAACCUCAACCAAAAAUAUUUUUUAUAAAAUAUUUUUUUUCAAAUCAUAACCAUAAAAAAUUACCAUAAUACCAAACAAAACAACGAGAGAGGGACCCUCUACUUUGAAGUUGAAUGCAUAUCUAUUUAACAACUUUUAGAACUUUUUUUUUAAUAAAAAUGUGAUUGUGGUUGUUUUUUUAAAAUAUUUUUUAUUUAGAAAUAUAUUAAAAUAAUUUUUUUUAUUUUUUAAAAAUUAUUUUUAAAAUCAACGCAUUAAAAUGAUUUAAAAAUACUAAAAAAAUAUAUUAAUUUGAAACAAAAAAAAUAAAAAAUUUUAAUUUUUUUUUUAAAUAUUUUCAAAACAUGAAAACAAAUAUGAUAUUAAUCACAUGAAAAUGGAUAAUGAGGUUAAGGUUUGGUGCAUAGGAAAGGAGAAUGAAACACAACACUCUGUACUAAAGACUGCAAAAGAAAAUAAUUAAUAUGGUCAGGCACAGAAGGGUGCGUUGCUACCUAUGUAUUAGCACAAGACUCGAAGAAAAGUCCAUUGGCAAAGAGACCUAGCUAAAAACAGGGGUUAGUUCAUGUGAUUCUGGAAAACGCAGCCACUUUGAGUGUUUUUCUUUAUAUGAAAUCAAAUACAAAUAUGAUAUCAAAUAAGUUCAAAUAAACAUGGAUCAAUAAUAAUUAAUCCGAUUAUUGACAAUUAAUGUUUAGGGUGACGAUGGGGGUGAUCAUAUCGGAUGUGCAGAUCGCAAGUUCUCUUGUCUGCCAAAUUUUUUGUCCCAUUAGAAUACUUUUUAACUCAAGUAUAUGUUUAUGUAAAGAAAGACUUUGCAGAAGACUGUUGUACGUAAGAUUAGGAAAUGCAAUUAAAUAUGUUUGUUUUUUUUAAAUCAUCUCUUUAACAACUUGCCGCAUCAAAAAAAGAAAGAAAGAAAGACUUGGAAGAAGACUUACAAUUUUUUUUUAAUUUUUUUUUUAAAUAACAUUAGACAGGGAGUGGAUACAAGGGAAGAGAAGGGAAGGGAAAACAUGUCAUCAGGGAAGCAAUUCAAUUAAAUGCGGUUGCUUUGCUUUAUAGAAAGAAAUGAAGGGAAGGGAAGAAAAGAGAAAAAGAAAAAAGAUGUCAUCCACUAAGGGAAGCAACGAAGAAUCUUUGCUUUUCCACACAGUAGUGUAGUGUAUGUAUAUGUGUAUGUAUUGACAGGUACAGGGCAAGGCAAUAUAAUCUUUCAAGCUUUCCACGCAAUCACAGCUUGACGAUGUCUUUUUCCUCCUCUAUUACUGCAUCACGAUGUCUUUUUGGAAAUUUAUUGGUAUUUAAUUUUAAGAUAAUUAAAAUAAGUAUUUGUCAAAGAAUUGAUAAAUUAAUUUUACAUAAAAAGUCAAAAUUCUCUUUUAUUAUUUAUUUUUUAUCUUGACACAAAAACAUAUAUUUUGUUAAUUAGCAACAUAGUUGUUUUAUUAAAAAAAACUUGGUAAUUUAAAUAAGUAUUCUUAAAUUUUUAAUUAUUUAAAUUAAAAGGGAAAUCCUGAAUGGAAGAAAAGAGAAAAGAGAAGGGAAGGAAAGAAAAGAGAAAAGAUGUCAUCCACUAAGGGAAGCAAUGAAGGAUCUUUGCUUUUCCACACAAUAGUGUAGUGUAUGUAUAUGUGUAUGUAUUGGCAGGUACAGGGCAAGGCAAUAUUAGAACAGGUUAUUUACUGUACAGGGAGGAAGGACCCUCAUGCAACUAUGCUCUAAAUUUGAAUGUAUCUCAUCAUUCCAAAACACACUUCGUUUCAUCUUUUAAUAUUUCACACCAUACUUCUCUAUCUGUUGUGCUCAAAAUUUCUUGUUUGAUCCCCCCCACCCACAAAAAGAAAAAAAAAACAGAGAAUAUGGCAGCAGAGCUUCUUCUUACGUUUGCCAUGGAGGAGACUUUGACAAGGGUCAGUUCCAUAGCUGCUGAAGGGAUCAGACUUGCUUGGGGAUUGAAGGGCCAGCUGCAAAAGCUCGAAGAGUCUUCGAAAAUGAUCAAAGCUGUGCUCAAAGAUGCAGCCAGAAAGGCAGUAACAGACGAUUCGGUGAAGCUUUGGCUGGAGAGGCUACAAGAUGUAGCUUAUGAUGCUGAAGAUGCUCUAGACGAGUUUGCUUAUGAGAUUCUCCGAAAAGACCAAAAGAAGGGAAAGAUACGUGACUGCUUUUCACUCCACUACCCAGUUGCAUUCCAUUUGAAUAUGGGUCAAAAAGUUAAGAAGAUCAAUGAAGCCCUGGAUGAAAUCGGGAAACAUGCAGCCGGAUUUGGGCUUGGAUUGACAUCUCUACCUGUAGAUAGAGCUCAAGAAGUUAGCUGGGACAGAUCGAGAGACAGAUUCCUUCCUUGACAGCUCAGAAAUCGUAGGAAGGAGGUGAUGUCUCUAAGUUAUGGAUUGCUGACUAGCUUGACCAAACACCAACAUGUCCUUCCGGUUGUCCCUAUAGUGGGGAUGGCGGCCUUGGAAAGACUACUGUAGCAAAAAAGUUUGUGAAGAAGUGAGGGAGAAAAACAUUUUGAUGUGCCUCUAUGGGUUUGCGUUUCUAAUGAUUUUAAUAAAGUGAAGAUUUUAGGAGCAAUGUUGCAAAUGAUUGAAAACUACGGGUGGGUUGAACAGUCUGAUGCAAUUUAAAAACCUUAAGAAAGAGCUGGAAAGAAGACAUUUUUUCUUGUUCUUGAUGAUGUGUGGAAUGAAGACCUGAUAAGUGGGAUGAUUUGAAGGAGCAACUGUUAAAAAUUAACAGCAAGAAUGGGAAUGCUGUUGUUGUUACAACCCGCAGUAAGAAAGUAGCAGACAUGAUGGAGACUUCUCCUGGGAUUCAGCACGAGCCAGGGAGACUAUCAGAUGAUCAAUGUUGGUCCAUUAUCAAGCAAAAGGUGAGCAGGUGGAGGAGAAACAAUAGCUUCAGACUUGGAGUCUAUUGGAAAACAGAUUGCAAAGAAAUGUGGAGGGAUUCCAUUACUUGCUAAAGUUUUGGGAGGAACACUGCGCCGAAAGGAGACGCAGGAAUGGAAGUCAAUUCUAAACAGUAGAAUUUGGGGUUCUCCGGAUGGAGAUAAAGCUUUGCGCAUCUUGAGAUUGAGUUUUGAUUACCUGUCAUCGUCAACACUGAAAAAAUGUUUUGCAUACUGUUCCAUUUUCCCUAAAGAUUUUGAAAUUGAAAGGGAAGUGCUGGUUCAACUUUGGAUGGCUGAAGGUUUUCUCAGGCCAUCAAAUGGGAGGAUGGAAGACGAAGGCAACAAGUGUUUCAAUGACUUGCUUGCAAAUUCCUUUUUCCAAGAUGUUGAAAGGGAUGAGUGUGAGAUCGUAACAAGAUGCAAGAUGCAUGAUCUUGCAUUGCAGGUCUCAAAAUCAGAACUGUUAAAUGUGGAGGAGGAUUCGGCUGUUGAUGGUGCUUCUCAUAUUCGUCAUCUAAAUCUCAUAUCUCGUGGGGAUGAUGAGGCAGCAUUAGCAGCGGUUGAUGCUAGAAAAUUGCGUACUGUUUUCUCAAUGGUUGAUGUAUUCAACGGGUCUUGGAAAUUCAAGAGCUUGAGAACUCUCAAAUUGCGAGGGGCUAAUAUCACAGAGUUACCAGAUUCAAUUUGGAAGCUGAGACAUUUGAGAUAUCUUGAUGUCUCACGUACCAGUAUCAGAGCAUUGCCGGAAUCCAUCACCAAGCUCUACCAUUUGGAAACAUUACUAUUCACUUAUUGUUACUCAAUGCAAAAGCUUCCCAAGAAAAUGAGGAAUUUAGUGAGCUUGAGACAUCUUCAUUUUGAUGAUCCAAAGCUAGUGCCAGCUGAGGUGAGACUCUUAACACGCCUUCAAACUCUGCCUUUUUUUGUUGUGGGUCCAGAUCAUAUGGUUGAAGAGCUGGGAUGUUUGAAAGAACUAAGAGGAGCAUUGAAGAUAUGCAAGCUUGAGCAAGUUAGAGACAGAGAAGAAGCUGAGAAGGCAGAACUGCGUGGAAAAAGAAUGAACAAAUUGGUGUUUGAAUGGAGUGAUGAUGGUAACUGCAGUGUUAACAGAGAAGAUGCGCUGGAAGGCCUGCAGCCACACCCAGACAUAAGAAGCUUGACAAUUAAGGGUUACGGUGGUGAAUAUUUCCCAUCAUGGAUAUUGCAACUCAAUAAUCUUAUGGAGCUGAGAUUGAAAGACUGCAGCAAGUGCAGACAACUCCCAACACUUGGAUGUCUUCCUGGUCUUAAGAUUUUAGAGAUACUUGGAAUGCCUAAUGUGAAAUGUAUAGGCAAUGAGUUCUAUAGCAACAGUGGCGGUGCAGCUGUACUGUUUCCAGCACUAGAAAAACUCAGUCUAUCCAGUAUGGAAGGUCUUGAAGAAUGGAUGGUACCAGGUGGAGAAGUUGUUGCAGUAUUUCCUCGUCUUGAAAAGUUGAGUGUUAAGAGAUGUGGCAAGUUGGAAAGCAUUCCGAGAUGUCGUCUUUCAUCUCUUGUAGAAUUUAAAAUUCACGGAUGUGAUGAGCUGAGAUAUUUUUCUGGUGAGUUUGAUGGCUUCAAGUCUCUUCAGAUUUUAAGGAUAUUGGAGUGUCCAAAGCUAGCAUCCAUUCCAAACGUACAACACUGCACAGCUCUGGUGGAAUUGCGUAUAUAUGGGUGCGGUAAGUUGAUCUCAAUUCCUGGUGAUUUCCAAAAAUUGAAAUAUUCUUUGAAGAGCUUGGUUGUUUAUGGGUGUAAAUUGGGAGCUAUUCCAAGCGGACUACAACGUUGCGCAUCUCUAGAGGAAUUGGAAGUAAUGGGUUGGAGUGAGCUUAUCCAUAUCAGUGAUUUGCAAGAAUUGUCUUCGCUUCGAACAUUAUUGAUUAGAGGUUGUGGUAAGCUCAUCAGUUUUGAUUGGCAUGGUUUACGACAAUUGCCUUCUCUUGUUCAAUUAGCAAUCACCACGUGUCCUAGUUUGAGUGAUAUCCCAGAGGAUGAUUGGUUAGGCGGCGUCACGCAACUGGAGCGAUUGAGCAUCGGUAGUUUCUCAGAGGAGAUGGAGGCUUUUCCUGCAGGAGUUUUAAACUCAUUCCAACACCUCAACUUGAGUGGGUCCCUCAAAUCCCUAUGGAUAAGUGGAUGGGAUAAACUGAAGAGUGUACCACCCCAACUUCAACACCUCACUGCCCUCGAGACAUUGUCUAUAAAUGGUUUCAAGGGAGAUGAAUUUGAGGAAGCAUUGCCAGAAUGGUUGGCCAACCUUUCUUCUCUUCGACGUCUUGACAUUUAUAACUGCAAGAAUCUCAAGUAUAUGCCAAGUUCAACAGCCAUUCAACGCCUCUCCAAAUUAAAGCUAUUGUAUAUCUGUAACUGUCCACAUCUAUCAGAAAAUUGUAGAGAGAACAAUGGCCCUGAGUGGCCCAAGAUUUCUCAUAUCCCAUCAAUUAAUAUAAGAUAGAGGGUACACGUGUACAGGUAAGUUGGGGUUUUAAUUAUUUCCUUACUUAUGAAAAGGUCACUUAUGAAGAGGAGAGAGAACCAAUUAAAGAAUUCAAAAUAAUGAAAGUAAUAAUUAGACUUUAUUCUUUUAAGAAUGGUUUAUUUCUCAUAUCCCAGCAUUCUUUAGACUAAUAUCUUAUUAUCUUUUUUUAUUAUGUUAACAAAAUGUAUAUUUAAAAAUUAUAACCAUGAAAUCAAUAAUUUAAAUUAGACUUUUACUUUUUUAAAAAAUUGUCUAAUCAUUUCAUUUAAUAACAACCACUAAGAUUAUUCCUGCUGAGAUUACUAACUAACCACUUAAAGCUAAAAACACUCCUUAGAUUUUAAAAAGAAAAAGGCAAACAAGCUUUCGACACUAACUUGGCCAAUUAAAGUUUUCAAAUUAAUGAAAGCAAUAAUUAAAACAUUCAAUUUAAAAUAUUUUAUAAAAUAAAUGAUUUUAUUAAUCUAAAUUUUAAACAUUCUAUUAUAACCUAAAUUUGAUUUCAUGGAAUAUUAUGUAUCAAAAUAUAAAAUCAAUAGCCAUUAGUAUUCUUUCAAUCAUUACUAUAAUAUCAUUCUUGCAACAUAAUUUAACUUAUAUUUAUUAAGAUUGUUUCCACAGUUUAAAAAUAAUUGCAUUGUCUAUAUAGUAUUAUUUAUUUUAAAACCAUAACUUUAUAUACAAUUAUGAUACUUAAAACAAACCAUUAAAUCUUAAAAUUAACAAUCAAAUAGAGGCAUUCAUCAUAUACAUAGGAAUUUAAUGAUGAUUUGUUAAAAUUUAAAAAUUAUAACCAUGAAAUCAAUAAUUUAAAAAUUAUAACCAAAAAAUUGCCUAAUCGUUUCUUGCCAUCAUGUAGUAACCAAUUUUAACAAACCAAUAAGAUUAUUAGUGAGAUUAUCAACCAAUCACUUGUAGCAAAUACAAUUAAAGCUAAAAACACUUUUUUGAUGACCCCAAUAAUUAAAAAAGAAAAAAAGAAAAAGGCAAACUUGGCUCCAGUUUAUAUAAAAUAUAAAUUAAUAAAUUAUAUAUUGCUAAUAUAUUAUCUAACUCCAACCAAUACAAGUACAAGUUUUUUUUAAGAAAAAAAAUCAAAUGUUAACUUAGAUAAGUAGUGAUAGGAUUGAUUUAAUCUUCAAUUACAAAGUCUAUGUUGACUGCUUAUCAUGUAUGCCUUUCUGUAUUAUUUGAGAAUGAGCAGCACUCGUAUUGUCAAUAUUGCAGAAACCAUGUAGUAAUCCCAUUUUUCUGAAAUUUUAUAAACACAGAAACAAACAAACUGCUUCCAUAUAGCUAUAAACAAACUGCUUUCAAGAUUUAAAAAAGAGUCCAACGUAAAAGGGAUGCAAAAUCUUAACAGUUCAACUUCUGUUAGUUACAUGCAUAAAAAUAUAAAUUUGGUUUAAACCUUUUUAUUGAGCUCAAAGCACAAAAUAGUUUGGAAGAAAAAUGCUGCAAAUAAUGGUUCCAAAAAAGAUCUCGAGGAAUGAACAACCAAACUCACCAAAAUGCACAAAGAAACUUGAAUGGGCAGGGAUGGCAAAUUCUGUUUCCAGCAGCAUCAGUACAAAAGUUCUUCUCCGUUACCAGUAUCACACGUCCAUAAAAAAACAGUGAGAGAGGAUGGUAUUACUUGGCCAGCACCGUAGACUAUCAGCUGUAAAUAGAUGCAUAGAAAUCCAUAAGAACUAGUUUCAGUCAAUACUUCACAUGAACAAAGAGUAUGUCGCACCUCAACUCAAUUGAAAAUUAAAAGAGAAGAUUAUUCAUGCCUUCCUUCCUGUAUUACUUGAAUAUGAAUAGCACUCAUAUAGUGAAUAUUGUAGAAACCAUGUAGAACUCCCAUUUUUUCUCUACUCAAUGGAUAUCAUCCUGCAUUUUGCAGUUUAGCGUUUAGCGUUGUUUUUCUUUCCAAGACUAACAAGAAGUUGGUUGUUUUAACUAUUGUACGUGCAGUCGAACCUCUAAGACUGAAGGAAGCCAUAGAAUGGUUAUUUAAAGCUUCUGCAGAAUAGUGUUUGUCGGGCUGGAUGGUGGAUAAACAUGUGAGUUGCACAGUUUUCUGUUGUCUUUAUGAGAUAAGUAUAUUUGAUAGAAAGUAAGAAAAUGCAUGGAGCUGGAAGCUUAUCACGAAAAUAUAAGAGCUUAAUGAGGGCAUGGAUGUGAAUUCUUAUCUGUGUGCAAUGUAACUUCUCUUAUUUUAUAUUAGGUUUUGUUUCUUAACAUUUAAGAAUUCUAAUUUUAUAUGUCCAUAAAUGUUUUUCAAAGCUGAAUAUUCUAAAUGUAGAAUGACCAUUGUUCUUGAUGGAUAGAUGGUUAUGCAGUUGUACUGCAAAUUCCUGAAGGAUUAUUCUCUCAUCAUGGAUAGGGAGAGAUUUCUGUGGAGGGGACUGUGAGGGUGUUCGAUGCAAUUCUGCUACUGGGAGGGUUACUGGUUUGUUGUUUCAGAGACCUAGGAGGGACAGUGGCGUUUACACGAGGGGCAUUUAGCCAGCUUCUCUCGGAAAAUAACAGGCUAGAAAAUAACAAAAAAAAAGUGAAAAAGAGAAGAAUAAAGGCCUCUUAAAAAACCUGAUUAUAGGGCCCGAGAUCGCUAACAGAGCACUAACAUAAACAACACCUUGCAAGGUCGUAAAUCUAGUGAUGAAUAAAAUGCUGAGCUAGCGAAACAAAACAAAAUGUUGGAUAAAAAACAAAAAGGAUAAAAGAGUGCGUGCACAAUGUAUAAGAGAAAACAACUACAGCAGGAAAAAAAAAACACAAAAGAAACUGCUUCCGUGGUAAAAAUGGAGGUGGGAAGCAUAACAACUAUGUAGAAGCAAACUUAAAAGAAAGAUGGGUAAGGAUUGAGUAAAGGAAGGGGGAGGACUUAAAGUAACAACUAUGAAAAGCUAAGAGCAUGUAUAAGCGAAAGAAAAAAAGUGAGAUGUACUGUCAGAUCCUUGAAACAAGACCAAAAAGCUGACCGAGGAGAGAAUGGGUGUGAUCCUAGCAGAGUUGACAGCAAAACAAUAAGUGAUGGAUUUUCGAAAAUAAAAAUUUAUUAAUCAUGUGUAAUCACUUUUCAUAUAGGAAGCAUAUAUAUCAAGAACAAUAUGCUUAAGAAAUUCGUAAUUCGUGCCAAUAAAAAAAUGUGGCAAAAUCUAUAUAAUAUGCCUUGCAAAGCAAUCUAUUAUGUGGUCACUUCUCCUUUUUAAAAGUGUAAUGGAAUUAUGGAAGAAUGGAGCCUGCUGGAAAACAGAAAGAACCGAUUAGAGUAAGAUAUAUAGAAGAUGAAUGUGCAUUUGAGAAAACAUAAGCUGCUCAAAAUGCAAUAUUCUAACCCAGUUCACAAUAGACCCGACUCAACAAUCUCCCCACCCUAGGAAACCGGUGCGAAAGGGGACAAAAAAAGAAAAACACAUUUACCAAAUCGAAGCAAAAAAUGAAAGCAAAAGGGCUAGAAAGACCAGACAACCAUGUCCAUGGGACAUGAACACCAUGACAACAGUAUAAAACAGAUCUUGAUAAAUCAAGCUGUUAAUAUAUCAGAGAUAGACAGCAAAACAGAAGAACAGCAGCACCUGGAGAGCACCAAAUAAGAGUGAGAAAGAAGCACAAUGAAGUUUGUUAACAUCAAAGAGAAAAACCCGAAAAGGAAAGGGAAAGCAAAGCUAUAAAACACCAAGCAACCAAUAGGUUUGAUCAAAAGAGAAAAGAGCAACAAGCUGUCAUAGCAAAUGAACUAAAAGCGCCAGCUGCUUGGUAUUUUUUUGCAGCCCGCAUGAUUCUUAACUGUCCGCAUGAUUCCCUACCAAGGAUCAUAAACUGAUUUAGCACCUCGAACCGAGAGCCUAAAAAUCUGCAUGAAUACUAUCCUUGACUAUGAUCAUAAGACAGUCACACAACUAAAUCUCUAAAAAAGUCAAUCUUUAGCAUUCAGAAGCACAUGCUAUUUUUAAAGGGCUCUGCAUUUUCCUCUGCAAACAUCCAGACCUGGAAGUUUUUAGGUCACACAUACUUUCUGUCUUAUGAAAUUGCAGACCAAAUUUUGAGACUGGAAAACAAAAUGAUAUGUUGAUUAACACUGAACAAGAGCAGAAAGUCUCGUGUUCAAAGCGCGAAGGAUGUUAAAAGAUAAUAAAAGAGAGCAUACCUCUCAUCAUUGACCUGAAUUUGUAUCUCAUGGUAACAGAUUCUAGUUCAUCAAUUGCAAUUGUAUAGAAAUCCUCGUGCUUAACCUGUAACCAGCACUAGAAGUCAAAUCUCCGAACCGAGUAGAUUUCACAAGUGUGCAUGCAUCAAAACAAGAUAUACAGAAUGUCACUCAAAAUACAAUAAAAAAAGCAAUAACCAGGGAAUCUCAAAAUCCACUGAAACAGACAUCUCAGACCAAUAGGGGGCACUCAAGACGAUUUGUAUCAGAUAAGGAAGUUCCAUAUUUUGAUAUAAGCAUUUUUCAAUGAAUAAAAUAAGGCAUGUGGUGGGCCAAUAAACUCAUAAACACUGAACUAAGACAAUUCCAUCGCGAUUGCUCAUCACAUUAUCCAUACAGAGCAGCAAGACCUAUUUAAUAUGUUAUUUUAGUCUCUUUAUUCUUCCUCCCAACACAGGAAAUGCGUGAAAGCAUAAAUAUAGGCCUCAAAAUUCUUCAUCUCAUGAUUCUCACAGACCUUGCGAAGCAAGUUCGACAGAAGGGCAAUGUUAUGCAGGCUUGCUCUGUGAAGAAACAAAAACGAGUUUUAAGAGAACAUUUCUAAGGUAGAGCCUUCUGAUAUAUAUAUAUAUAUAUAACAACAUCAAUUCUAAAGUUUGAAUAUUUCUACAAAGAAAGAACAUUGCAUCAACAUUUAACCAUUGGCAUUUCCAAUGCACCACGUAAAAUGACCAUGGAAUAUGAGAGUUCAUUUGCUGGAUUCAUCUUAUCACAGACAAAGCUUAUGAGACAAUACCAUGCAACAUGGAUGGGAAGCGACAUGAAUCAUUUUUGGACAUAAGUGAUGAUUAUUUAUGCAAUUCAUUAAUACACUUCCAAAUUCACUAGAAAAUGCUUUGCCUUGUAAAAGAAUUGCUCAAAUAUAUCUUACCCGUUUUGCCCCAGCCUGAGCACAAAAUAUUGAAAGCAUGUGCCACAACCAACAUCCACGACAACCUGAACAGGUGUUCCAAUUGAGCAAUCAGGACACAUACUGUUCAAAUUGUUCACGUGCUGUGAUUUGUCUCUUCUGAGCCCAAAUUAGAUUUCUAUUAUAUAUAUAUUUUUUUUGGAGGAAAGGUUAAAUUGAGAUAUAGGAGACUGAAAUGAAAAUCUCGAAUAAUAUAGGAGACGAGUUGAAAAUUUUGUUAAAAUAUUCAUUUUAGUCCCCUAUCUUUUUUAGAUAUUAGGUGACCAAUCCCUUGAAUUUUAAGAAAAUACAUUUUGAUAUCUAACUUUAUUUUUUAUUUUUUUUAAUCUUUUUUGGGUGGAAAGAGAGAGAGGGAGUCGUCGGAUUUUGACUUAGAAAGAAAAGGUGGUCCUUGGGAAAGAUUUCGGCCACCAAAACAGUUUUGACUAUCAAAAGGUUUCAUAUAAUGAGGAAGUUAUGAUAUAUUAGAUGUUUGUUUACCUUGAAAACACAAACAAAAAUAAAUCUGAGCUUGAAAAGAUUUUUUUUAGGUGAAUUUGGGGUUUUAGGCUGUUUUUUGGUGGCCAUGGAUUGGUUCAAGAAGGUCUAUAAGGUGGCUCCUGGGUUUUUUGUGUAAAAAAUAAGUUAAAAAUAAGUUUUUGGAUAAAAAUAAUAAAGGAUCCUGAUUUUCCAGCCGUCAUAGUAGCCGGAUUCUAGAUUACGCAAAUGAUGGGUUGCUUGCUGAUACAGGCGACGUGUCAUUUUUUUGAAAUGUUUGGGGUGGACGUGUUUGAUCACCCCAUCAAACUUUUAUAAAAAUAAAGGCUCGUGCUUAGGCUUGGCCUUGCAGGCCCACACACAAGCUAUUGUUUUAUUGGGUCAACCUUAGAUCUGACUUGAUUUAUUUUAUUUAAAAAAAUAAUGCAUUAUUUGAUAUGUAUUUUUUCAAAUAAAUCUUGGAUUUAUUUUUAAAUGACACAUGAUAACUUUCACAAAAUUCCAUCAUGUUUUCAGGAGAAGUGGCAGGAACUGAUUCAACUAUGUUUCAAAAGGAAGUUCAGAUGCCACUAUUCGAUGUCUAGUUGAAUCAUUUUGAUUAAUAUACACAGAAAGUUGGGACUUUCUCAAGAUUUUCACAGAAGAUUGCCUGCUAGCAUUUGUAUGGGGAAAAACAAAUUGUGCUUUGCUGACAACAAUAUUGGCUGCUGAGAAUGAUCGAUAGAGCCAGUUUGAUCCUAAUAGUAAUUUUAUUCAAGUCUAAAUUGCAGUGUUGAUGUGAUCUGAGCAAGGCAUUACAGCCUCUCUAUUAAUUUUUUCUCCACUGAUAUAAGAUUUGCAUGCACAAGAAGAAAAUAGCCUCUACAAACUCACUCCAACCUCAAAGUCGAUUUUAAUUCAUCCAAAAAGUUUUAGAAACUUCAAUAAGUCUUGAAAACUAAACUGUAAUUUCAGGUCUUUAUUUCUUUUUUGGACCCUUUCAUGGAUGUCACCAUCAUUAAUAGACUCGUCUCUCUAGAAGUCUUCAUCUCUCUUUUGCAUUAUAUCUACCAUUAUAUGUAGAGAUAUAAAUGAUAAUCCAAAAAUCAUGAAAAUUUCUUGUUUUACACCAUGGAUCUGAUGAGGACCCAGGUGGAGCAGAAAUCAGCGGAAAAGAAUCGGCAGCAGCAGAAAUUCCGGGCAGCAGAGGCGGUGCAUGAGUCCUUUUAAGGGUGAAUAUGCAGCUGCUAUAAGUCGGCAACCAGAGGGAGUUUUCCAGUGAUAAUUGGACAAGAAGAAAGAAGACGAAUUCUACAAAUAACAGGAGAAGGAGAUGUCCAUAAAUAAGAGACUUUAGAUGGGGGUUACUAAAUAGAACUGCAACGAAAUUAAAAAAAAUUGGCCUAAUCAACAAUUUGUAGGGGAUCUAAGUGUCCGUUGUGGCUUCGUGUAAGAAAAUGCUUAUAAAUUUACCUAUAAAAAUUUAAGUUUAAUCUAAGGUCACAUCUUUCCUUAUCGCAAUAUAAGAUACUAACCUACUAGCUAUAUAAGAUUCUUUCUUGAAUGUUUAAAAUCUUUAAUUUCUACAAAUUCGAUUACAUAAAAAGUUAUUUGCAAUUAUGUUUGAGAUUAAUACUUUUCGUUUUAAAAUAUAUCAAAAUAAUAUUUAUUUUUUAUUUUUUAAAAUUAAUUUUUAGUAUCAAUAUAUCAAAAUAAUCUGAAAACAUAAAAAAAAUAUAUAUAUAGUUUUAAUUUUUUUUUAAUUUAUUAAUCCUCCAUUUUAACUGUUCUUCCAAACAAGGACUAAAAAAGGAAACUCUAAAAGACACAUUAAUUAAGCUUUUUAGCUACUGUACACAAACAUUUUCGGCGAAGCAUCUAAUAUCUUUUUCUAUGAAUAAUAUUCGAGAAAUUCAUCAAAAUUAACCAUUUAGAGAAUGGCAAAUCAGGGUACAAAUUAAAGGAGAAAAAAAAAAUAGAAGAGGAGAGAAUGUGAAAAUCAGAGUACAAAUAAAGCUUAUGCUUCGGUGAUAGAGAACAUUAAUUAUUUGUUCAUAUUCGAAUUUCAUCUGCACGGAUCAGUAGUAUCGUUACUUGUAUAAACAAAAUUUUCUCCAAACUCCUUACUGUCAGAUGAUGGAAAGUUAAGGAAAAACAUGAUUCUUGCUUUCCUCUGAAAUUUUCCUCUAACAAGCAAUGGCCAUUGGUAUAGUAGUUGAUAUAUAGACUGGGGAACACACCAACCCCACACCCUCACCAUUUAAGAAAUUUUGCCCAUAAUGUCCAAGCAGUAGAAGAUGAUCACUCUAUCUCACUUGCACAGAUCGGACUGUUCUGAAGACAGAAUCCCAGAUCGGACUCUUGAUCAAGCAAAUUAAUUCUACCUUUCCAAAAAGACAAUCUACUACGAAAUUUAGUUACUGUAAAUUGCCUUUGCAGGAAAAGCACUAUGAGUCUUGGUAGCAUUGAUACCCACAGCCGAGCUCUUAUAAAAGCAUCUAUACUCUAUUUUGCCAAAAAUGCUUGUAUUUUCAUCAAUAGACCAGUACAAAAUUAAAAUGGGUCGACUGAAACAUAUCUAAACUCAAAAAGAUUAGGAUAUAUAUAGAUAAACUCAAUAUUCUUUUAUCUAUAUAUAAGCCAAACAAUAAUCAAAUUGUUGACCUGUAAGAUCAGUACAAGGCAACAAGAACAAAAGCUCAACAAAAUUAUAAGAAGAUAAACUAACGUUUUGAUUGAUUUAUUAUUUUUAUAUGAGAAUAUGAUCAAGAAAUAUAUUUUAUAAAAGGGUAUAUUGAUAAAUUUCAAAAAAAAUUUAUUUUUGAAAGUGUAACUGCGGUCUAUGAUUUAUUUUCAAUGUAUGAAAUUGUUGUAACAAUAAGAAAAAAAAAAAUUACCAUGCGAAUGCAUGGCAUACCAAUCUCAAAACACUGCCUUCACACACAACAUGACCUUUCACCCGAAGUUCUCUCUCCCCCUCCCUCAUCCAUGAGCCUCCAUCACUACCUGCUUUGGAAUAUGCCCCCUCAUCCCCCCCGCCUUCUCCAAACCUUACCCUUCCAGAUCCCAUCCUCCCCCUCCCUCCAAAAAUAACCUUCACCCUAGACCUUCUUCUACUAUUUCUAUCUACUUUGAGAGAUUCCCUCCCCACAGUUGAAGAUUUGAAAAAACUUUUCACCCUGUUUGGCAAAAUCCUUGAUGUUUAUGUACCAAUGAAACUGAACCGCUGGAAAUCGAGGUUUUGCUUCGCACGCUUUGAAGAUGAAAACAAUUGAGAACAUCAACUCAAUGAAUUCAAUAUGCUAUGGAUUGGCAUCUAUAAAAGAAGAGCUAACUUGGCACGUUAUGAAAGGAAUGAUGCAGGGAUGAGUAAAAAAUAAGCUCCCUACGAAAACGAAUAUGUAUGGAACUAGAAACCAGAACCUGAAGUUUGAUGUGAUAGAAGAUAAUGUGUGACAGGAUUGGGAAAGGGAUUUUGGUGCAGAUUUGAGAAGCUUCAAGAGCAAGCAUUGAUAUAUACUUUCAUUUUAAAAGCACUAAAUAUGAUAGAUACAUGAACUUAGAUCUAACCUAUAGUCAGAACUAAUGAGUUACACCUAGAAGCUGUAAGUCAGCACUAUCCAAGGAAAACAUUGGUGCCAAUUCUACCAUAAACAACUUUAUUUUUUACACUGACUGGCAUUUUUUAUUGUCAUUGAAAUCAACUGCUAUGAUUUUCCUCAUGUAACACAGUCUCUUCAUACAUCAAGCACUAAGCAAAGAUUAUGAUAAAGCAUGCAUUUAGAUUUUCAACUCGUCUUAAAUGCUAAUAGUGCUGUCUUUGAAGUUACAGCUUGGAAACUGCCAUUGAAGUUACAGCUUGGAAUAGCAGAAUCUCCAUCUGCAGUUACAGAUACAACGAAAAUUCUUGAACUCGAACCGUGUGCCAGGAUUGGGCAAGGGAAUUUUCCAGUUGACAUAAAAGGCAAGUAGUAGAUCAAGAAUCCAAGACCAUGCAAGAAACUAAGUUUAAAGCAACAACUCUUCCUGUCUUUAUGCACCGGUUACAUGUCAUUGUUGUACUAAUUUUCUUUGUUUUUAUUGGUCAACAAACCUCAAAAUAUAUGUCAUCUUGAGCACUUAACGAGCAGUGUUUUUAGAAUAGAACUGGAGUUUUAACUGGCGAAGAUGCUGGUAAUUCUCCAGUUCUUUGAUUUGAUCGAUUUGUGGUUCAUCGAUUCAAUCAGUCCGGUUCAAUACUUAGAAAGAUGUUCUUUCACGUGGCUCGAGGUGGGUUAAUCUUAAACUAGUUUAAUUUAGUUUUUGGCUGAUUCAAUCCAGUUCAAGCUGGUUUUUGUCUGGUUCAGUUUGGUUCGAACUAGUUUUUAUCAAAUCCUUUUCACAAACUGUCUAUACUUCUGAACCAGACCAGUUUAACAUCAGGUUCACUAAUUGAAAUGGGUGGUCCAACCAUUUCUGAUAAAUUAUGUUUAAGAGUUCAUCCUAAAACAACACAAUACUUAUCCUUUCCAAGUAAGAUCUUCCAAACCUUAAAUCACCAGACCCUUCCACAUCUCCACUGUUUUCUCCUUGAUAUUCUUGUUAUCGAAAUUUUUUUUGAUUCCAUCAGAAUUCACUCUCCUUUAGCUUCUACAAGAUCUAUAUCAAAACUAAGCCAUGCCAUCAUUCUUCACCGUCUCGCCUAUUCAAGAUUCUUACAGCCGGCUUGCAUGGUCAGUGAUUUCUUAUAGUUAGUUAAAGUCUUUCAUUACAAGUUCUUAAUGCACAUGAAGUUUUCUAGCAUAUAGACGGGUAGAUUAGUGAGGAAAUUGUAUUCAUUGCUCAUCUAUCCUGAACUUAACUAUCUGCUGAAGCUGCUUCGGAGUCCACUAUUCAACACAUAUUGCUUAAAAUUAUUUGUUAAGUCAUUGGAAUGAAAUUCUACAAUAUUUUAUCCCUUUUAGGGGUUUUAUCCAUGUUUACUGUUGGAAGGUAUAAAUUUCCCAUAAGUCGAGAAAAAACAGUGAAAAUCGCUAAAAUUUACAGUCCCUUAUUUAAAAACAAUACAUAUUUUACUAGAUCAAAAUGCUCGGGUGUAGAGUGAAGAACUGACCACUUAAACUACAUUGAUCCCCACAUCAUUGUAUAAGAGCUAGACUGACCAUCAAUGUCAUUCCUUGAGAAAGAAAGGGGGCUCAACAUAGAAAGUUAGCUCAACAGUACAAGUUGAACGAGACUUCAGCUUAACCGCACGAGGCUUAGCCUAUUUGGAAGAAUCUUUAUGGUUACUUUUUAAAAUGUUUUUUAUUUAUAAAUAUAUUAAAAUAUUUUUUUUGAUUUUUUUUUAAAUUAUUUUUAAAAUAAACACAUCAAAAAAAAGAUAUUUAUUAUUUUAUAUAAUUUUUUAAAAAAACAAUAAGAGUUACCUACCUAAUAGAAAAAUUCGAGGAUUUUUCAAAAGUAGUCACAUUGUAAUAGGUUACCCGUUCAAUGAAAAAAAUACAAGGAUUUUUUAAAAAUGAUUACAUUGUAAUGGGUUACCUGUCCAUAAAAAAAAUAUAAGGAUUUUUCAAUAAAUUUAAUGAGAAAUCAAGUUUUGCAGUGAAAUGUAAAUAUUAUCUAACAUUAAAGAAAUUAUAAGAAAAACUAAAUAGUACGGGAAAAUCAUUAUAAAUUUAUAAACGAUUUAUUAUGAAUUAUAAUAGUAAUUUUAUUUUUAAUUUUUUUAUCUUAUUUAUUCAUAACAAGUUUCUUUAGUUUUUUUUUUUCAUUUAAUAAGUAAACUCAAAUAAUAUGGAUAUAAUAUAUUACCCGACCCAAUUAAAUUUAGAUGAAGAAUAUCGUUAGAUCUAUCUAAAUUUGGGUCAAGUAUAUUUUUUAAAUUCAAAUAAUAUAAUAAAGGCGAAGAAAAUGAUCAUUUCUUAAGCGUAUAGACAAUUUUAAAAUAAAGGAUUUGUUGAUUUGUGGAGGAAUGUGUAAGUUAGCUUAUACAUCUAAGUUAAUUAAAAAAACCCUUUAAAGCAGAGGGUCCCUUCUUUUUUUAUAUCCUCUUGACACGUAUAAUGAAUCCAAAAAAGUAGUAUCAGUACAUAGAUUUUAUUUAUUAAAAAAUAAAAUAAAUAAAUCUAACAAAAACUCAAAAAAAAAAAUUUAAUAAUAAUGUUAUCUGAAAUAUCAAAGGAGAAAUGAAGCGUGUCUUGGAAUGAUGAGAUACAUUGAACAUUAAAGCAGAGAAAGUUGCAUGAGGGAGGGUCCCCUCCCUCAGCUAUACUAAUUGAUUGAUGGUGGGUGGCAGGUGGCAGGUAGCAGCAUCAAUUUGCCAUGCCACUGCGAAGAAAAUUCCACAUACGCCUCUCUCGUCAUUGUAUCUGGUUUAACUUAUUAUUAGCUUCACAGCGAGUAAAUAUUUUUUUUUAAAAUGUAAAAAUAUAUUAAGAGUUUCUUGUAACUAUAGCAAAUCAAAUAGAAUUGGGUUUAGCGAUCAUGUUCAAUUCAAGUUUAAUUUAGUUUUUAAUAAUUUAUUAAACAGAAUAUUUUUACUAUUUUUAAAUUAUUUUGAUAUUAUAAUAUUAUUUUUAUAUAAUUUAAAAAAAAUAUUUUAAAAAACAAAACAAUUUCACACCAUACUUCUUUCUUUCCCGUGCUCAAUAUUUCUUCAUUGAUUUCCAGACAUCAAUAUUCAUUAAUAUAGUAAUUUGAGUAUACCUCAAGGCUUUUUUAUUUUUUCUUAUUUGAUUGAUUAUCACCAUAAUUUUCAUGAUAAUUAAAAAUAGAUUAUGAUGAUUUGAAUUCACCUUGUAAAGAUUGAAGAUGAAUCUUUUUAAUUUUGUCAGUAACUGUGUAUUUUUAUUGAAAAAUCUUUCAUAUUUCUUUUGAUGUUUCUGUGGAAGCGAUGAUCUCAAAUAUAGCUUUCUUGAGACCUCGAUAAAUGGUUUUUGCUUUGUUAUCUUUCUUUUUAUUAGCUUUAAGGACUUUUGUGCCUCUUGUAAAGAAUUUUCUGCUUCUUUCGAAUGUGGUUCAUCAUAACCGUAUCCCACAAUCUGUAUACACUCGUUUGAGCUAAGAAAUGCCUUCAAUGUGAUACACCAAUUAUCAUAAUUAUCUUUGGUCAACUUUAGGAUUAGUAUUUGUGCAUUUUGUGUAGUUAUUUUAUUUGUUAAAUGACUAUAUCACAUUUUGAGAGUUGAAUUUUGCAAAACGAACACCGAAGAUGAAAUUAGAAUGGUUUAAAAAGUAGGGUAUUGGUUUGACUUAGUUGAAAAUGGGUUCGAAAUGGGUUGAACCGGUCAAAAUAUUGAUUCUGGAUGUAGGUCUGUUCACUAAGGUUGAACCGGGAAUAUUCUUUGGCUUGACUUAUGAGGUGCAACAUAGCUCAAAUAUGACGCGCGUGUGGAGUCGUCUUUUUCCUUUGGGCAUGUGGGCGAUAAUGGUUGAUUUUCAGGAAGCGCGUGUAGGCCAUCGCUUGCUCUGAUUAGACUAAUUUUUGCACCAUUGAGUUCGUAUUAAUGAAACCUACACUGUGGAAUGAUCAAAAGGUAUUUUUUUUUUUUUUUACAACUUUGAAAAUUCAGAUAUAUCCCCAAAACUCCUUUGUUUUUUUUAUGAACAAAGCUCUUAUACUAAUUUUUGUUGGAAGAAACUACUAGUAGUGGCUUUGAAACACUCAAUUAGAAUAAAACAUAAUAUUUUAUUUUAUAAAUAAGAAGCUUACAUAUAUUGUUAUGCUCUCAAACAUACCCUUUUGAUUAGUAAUAAAAAGUGCAUAUUUAUUAAAGUUUUAUAUCAUCAUUUUGCACUUAAAGUAUCAAUAACUCCUUAACUAAAGCAUGUUUUAUAAUAACAAGUCUAAUACUAUAAAAUGCCCUAAUAUAUGGUAAAUAUUCAUCUUAAAUGCAGGCCUAUCACAUAAAUCAAAGGAUUGAUUGAUGAAUUCAACUACUGAAAUUUGUGAAGAUAAAGAGAAGGUGCAACUUAGAAAAGAGAUGUUGGUGCAGUCCAAACUGGAACAUUGUUCGGUAAUUGGGUCAUAUAUCGAGUUCUAGAUGUUCAAAUGACCUCAAAUUUUUACACAGAUUCAUUAAGACAUAGGCCUACAACUUUCAUGUUUUCAUCAAGAUCUAAGAAGGUCGUUUUCAAGUCCAAAUUAUAGCAACAACGGAGAAGUCCGAAUCUAUCCUGCAGCCCAAACACUGUUCAGUGUUUGGCCCAUAUCUGAAGUUCUAGAAGUCCAAAUGACCUCUAUUUUUUUUUCCUGGAAAGCUGAGUCAAUUUCCUACAACUUUCAUGUUUUCCAGAGGACCCAUUUCGAAUGAUAGCAUUUGUGUUUUAUUCAGACAAGAAGAUAAGGAUUUUCACCAAGUCAAAAGUUGGCCACCCACUCAACAAUUAGUCAUCAAAUCAAUAAUUCCGAAUUUUGGCCUAUAAAAGGAGGCAUUUGCCAUGUAUUUGGGGCUUGGUUGUUCAGAUCAAGUUCAUGCUCUUUAUUUCUCUCUUAUAUUUUUUUGUAAUUUUUAAGUUUUGCUUUCAUUAAUAUCUUGUUUAUUUUUCAUUUCCUUUCCUUUCCUUAGUUAACUUGUAUUUAUUUAUGUUCUUGUUUUGUUUAUUUAUGUUUCUCUUCUUCAUUAUGUUUAGCUAAGUUUAUUAUGUCAAGGUGAAAAGGUAACACUAAUGGUGUAAGAAUAAGUAUGGUGUAAAUUCAAUAUGGACCUUAAUGUUUAAUAUUAAGAUGUCUUAUCUUUUUAUCUUACUAAUUCUUAAUACCUUGCUUGUUAAAUGGUUAAUCUAGAUUUGUGUUGUAUAAUACUUGGUACAACAAAUGUUUGGCACUCUCAUAGCCCAACCGUAUGGUAUUACCUACACUUGGGCUAUGAAAGGAAUUUGAUUUGUUGUUAACAUCAUGAAUUCCUGACAAUAUUUAAAAGUUUGGUGUUAUAUAAAUAAUUAAUAUAUGAUCAUGUUAAUAAUUUAUAAUGAGCUAUUAAUGAGAAAUCAUCCGAUUGGAACCUCCUUUGUGUGUGAUUUCCAAUUGAGUAAUAAGAGUUUAUACUAUACUUGUUUGAAAUAUCAUUGGUGGAUCCUCUAACCUUGACAUUCUUUUUUAUCAUUGUUUAAUCAUUACAUUAAUCUUUCAUAUCAAAGUUCUCAUUAAUUUCUUCAUCUUCUUCUUUUAUUCCUAUUCCUAUUACUAUUACUAUUACUAUUAUUAUUAUUACUACUACUAUUAUUAAUAAUAAUAUUAUUCACAUUCUGUUUAUAUUAUAUAAUAUAUAUCUUUAAUCUUUUCAUAAACUCAGUAUAUAGGCUGGAAACCUGUGACCCGAUUUUUUAGAUCAUUCUCAGGUAUAACAACGCCACGUACUGAGUAUUAUUAUUAUUGUUGUUAUCUUGUUAUUUAUAAUUUAUACAAUUAACCUCUUUGUGGUUCGACCCCGGUCUUGCCGGGUUAUUUAUUACUUCGACACUCCUACAUUUAGAAGAAGACAUCAAUCUUUUAAUCGUGUCACCUUUUUUUGUGUUUCUCUCUUGUAUCUCUCUCAAACUAUAGCAUAAACUUUAACUGCUAUUUAAGUGUGAAUAUAAAUAGUUGGUAGUAGUGUGAAGACUAUUAUCGGUUAUAAUUGGUGGUUGUGGUUGUAGUUGAUGAUUAAAAGAAAAAUAAUAUUUUAAAAAAAAAACAGCUGAAAAGAAAGAUAAAUAACAAUAAAAUAACUUGCCAAUUUUGAUUACGAGGAGCUAAAUAAAAAGCUGCUGCAAGCCAAAUGUUGUCCUGAGUACAAUUGAAGAAGCAAACUUUGCAAACCAAUAAUAGUGCUUUGGGACAGAAAAAAUCUCUGCCUUGGUUCGUGGAAGAUGCUGCGAGCUGCAAUUAAUCAAAGAUGGAGGGACCCUUGUUUUGAAUUUGAAAGUGUAUCUCAUCAUUUCAAAACACACUUUAUUUCAUCUUAAAUAAUUAUAAAUAAUAAAUACUUUAAAAAACAACCUUAUUUAUUCUCAAAUAACCAGUUUCACUUUCACACCAUACUUCUCUCUAGCCCAUGCUAAAUAUUUUUUUCUUUAUUUUUAGACUUUAAUAUUCAUUAAUAGUUUUUUUUAUUUAUUUAACCAGACAUCCAUAUUCAUUAAUAGUUUUUUUUUUCAUUAUUAUUUAGCCAUGAGUUUGGAAUUGGACAUUUAGUAUUUUUCCAUUCUUGGGUCAUUUUUUAUUUGUAAUCUAUAUUAAUUAUUAUUAGAGGCUCAUAAUUGAAUAUUGUUUAGUGAUUUUUGUGAUAACCUAAUUACGAAUAGUUGCAUGAGGCUGGAAAGUAUAAAUUCCACAACAUGAGGGAAGUAAAAAUUGUGAAAAUCACUAAAGUUAAUAAUUCAAAAACAAAACCAUCAAAAUAAGAUUAUUAAUUAAGAGGUGAGUUUGUGUCAAACCAAAUUCAAACCACUUUUAUAAUUUUGAUGAGAAAUCAAAUGAGAUUAGGUGGGAAAUGCAUGUUAGACCUUUCAAGAUGUUCUGUGGAAAAAAAUCUAGUGAGAAAUUUACGAAAAAUAUAAAUAAAAAUAUGCAAAAAGUUAUUCUAAAUACAUGCAACGCGGACAGAAGCUAACGUAUACAUAUAUUUAUUUUUAUGUUUUAAAAGUAUUUUAAAAGAAAUUAACAUUUUUGAAUUUUUAAUUUUUUUAAUGUAUUAAUAUCAAAAACAAUUUUUUUUAAAUAAAAAAAUAUUAAUUUAAUAGAUUUUUAAAUAAAAAUUACUUUAAUAAAUAAUUAUAAUCACAUUUUUAAAUACCCUAAUAAAUUAACAGUGGUGGUUCACGGAAAAUGCUGCCGACAGCCAUCAAUCAUUAGUAUAGGGAGGAAGGGACCCUCAUUCAACUUUCUUUGCAUUAAUGUUCUUUUCAUUUCAAAAUAACAUUUCAUUUUUUUCUUUAAAAUUCUUCGCAAUUAAUUUUAUAAAAUUUUUGGAAUGAAGGUCCUUUUAAAAUAUUAAAAUAUAAUUACGGUUAUUUUUUAAAAUAUUUUUUAUUUAAAAAUAUAUUAAAAUAAUAUUUUUUUUAUUUUUUAAAAAUUAUUUUUGAUAUUUAUAUAUUAAAAUUUUUAAUAAAAAAAUAUAUUUUUUUAAAAAACUCAUGUUUUCAAAGGAGCUUCAGUAUGCCAAGUUUGACUGAAGUGUUUCGUGGAAGAUGCUGCCAGCUGCCAUUAAUCAAUCAAUACAGUGAGGGAGGGACCCUCAGCUUUCAGGUUAACGCAUCUCAUCAGUUCAAAUCGUUUAUAAAUUUGAGUGUGGAUGGGUUAAUUUUUUAAAUGAUUUAUAUUUAGAAAUAUAUUAAAAUAAUAUAUAUUUUUUAUUUUUUAAAAAUUAUUUUUUAUAUUAGUUGAUUAAAAUAUUUAAAAAUAUUAAUUUUAAAUAAAAAAUAUUUUAACAAAAAAAAAGUAAAAGUAAGAAGUUAUAAAAGAUAAAAAAAGUGAGGUAUUGAGAAUAUAAUUGUAGUAGCAAGCACAUAAAUUCUCCAUUUUCCCAACUAAACUGGGGAUAUUAGAUUUUAUUCUAAAUAUUGUUGAUAAACAUUCUGCAAGAACCGAUGAGCAAUACAGUAGUCGAAAUCUAGGAAGCCCGAAAAGCCGAUCAAGCACUUAGAAUGUAUUAGUAAUAAUUGUUUUUUAAGUUAUUUUUUAUUUUAAAAAAUUUAUUUUUAACAUCAGUAUAUUAAAAUCAUAUAAAAAUAUCAAAAAUAUAUUAAUUUAUAAUAAAAUAAAAAUUAAAAAAAAAUUAAUUAUUUUGAAAAACAUUUCUAAAAUACAAUCAAACACCACUGCAAACAAAAACAGAAGCAAUUACUAAAAACGAUUAUGUUAUUACAUGGAAAUUAACGGUCACCUUGAUUAUUAUUACCUUGUUAAAAAAAUUUUAUAUUUUAUAUUUUUUUUAUUUUGAAUUAAUAUUUUUUUGGUAUUUUUAAAUCAUUUUGAUAUACUGAUAUCAAAAAUAUUUUUUAUAAAAUAAAAAAUAUUAUUUAUUAUUUUAAUAUAUUUACUUUAAAAAAUAAUCCAAUAAGCAAUGAAGAUGGGAAUUUUGUGUUGCUUUAGCUUUUCAGAGUGUGUAUGUGUGUAUAUCAUGCACCCAACUCAUAUUUCUUUUCCCUCGUUUGUUCUUCUUAACGAAACUGGCCAAGAAGUGCAAGCUUGAAAGUCUCAAAUCUUCAGAAACAAUUUACUCACAUGAAAGUCUCAAAUCAAGAAGACAAAAGGCAUGCUCAGUCUUGGGUUAUAAUCAGUCGUGAUUUAUGAUAAAGUAAUCACUAAUAGUUGCAUGAGGCUGGAAAGUAUAAAUUCCACGACAUGAAUGGAGUAAAAAUGGUGAAAAUCACUAAAGUUAAUAAUUCAAAAACAAAACUAUUUACCUGAUCAAAAUGAGAUUAGUAUUUAUGAGAUUAUUAAUUAAGAGGUGAGUUUGUGUCAAACUAAAUUCAAACAAGUUUGAUAAUAUUGAUGAGAAAUCAAAUGACACUACUAGAAAAUCAAUAAAUACAAACGGAAAUACCGAGGGAAUAUUUACGUCGGUAAAUUUCCGAGGGAUUUUACCAACGGAAAUAUUUCUGAGGGAUUUUACCGAUGGAAAGAUUCCCUCGGUAUAUACCGAGGGAAUUACCGUGGGAAAAAAAUUAAAACAAAGCAAAAAAAAAAAGAUGACGUGUCAGUUUUUUACCAAUGGAAUUACCGACGAAAUAUUUCCGUCGGUAAUUCCGUCUGAAAAUCCGUUGGUAAACUGUGAACACUGUUCAUCAUGUCAAUUACAAAGGGAAUUAUCAACGGAAAAAUGCCGUCGGUAUUUUACAGAGAGCUCCAGAACUGUUCAUCUUCCAAUUGCACUGUUAAUUGUUUUACUUUACGGACAAAAUCACCGACGGAUUGAAAAUUCGUCGGCGUGUUUUGGCGGUUUUCUGAAAAAAUUCAAUUGAUUUAAAAAUUUCAUUCAAAUAUUAUAGAUGGAAUCACCGACGGAUUGAAAAAUCAUUGUUAAUUUUUGGCGGUUUCUGAAAACUUUUUACGAAAUUGAAAAUUUAAAUUAAAUAUUACCGACGGAAUUACCGAUGGAAUAAUUAAAAAAUAUUAAUAUUCAAUUAUCCAUCGGUAAAUCCGUCGGUAACGCGCCCCAAUAAAAAACCUGAAUCCGCUUAUUUCACAAGAGACAGACUCAUUAUUUUUUUUCUUCUUCUACUACUUCUUCUUCUUCUUCUUCUUCUUCUACUUCUACUUCUACUUCUACUUCUUCUUCUUCUUCUUCUUCUUCACUAUAUGUAAAAAACAUCAAUAUCUAUUUCUUUUUCUUCUUUUCUCUCCUCAUCUCCUUCUCUUUUCCUCCAUGCUCGGGUAUGUCUUCUUCUUCUUUCUUCUUUUAUCCUCUUAGUUUUUUUUAAUUAAUAUGCUUUACGAAUUUUUUUUUCCUUAGCUUCACUUGCAAGUAUAUUAAGGUAAGAUUUUCUUUUUUCUUAUUUUUUCAUGAUUUUUUUCACUAUAUUUGUUUUUUAUUUAAUUUUAAUUGAUUUUGUUCUUAAUAAUUGUAUAAAUGUUGUUGUGAGAUUAUUUUUUUUCAUAUGAGAUCAAUUUUUAGUUGAUUUAUUUAUAGGAUUUUUAAAUUUUUAGCAAUUGCAACUUCAUUUUUUUCAUAUGAAUUUUUUUAGUUGAAUUAAUGUUUUUGUUUUAUUUAUUUGUUGCAAAUUUGUUUGAGUUGAUUUUCUUAUUCUUUUUUCCAAGCAUUUUGAGUAUAUAUUAUACAAUGUUGAUUUAUGUUAAUUUAAUUAUUUUAUAAUUUUAUAAAAUGAAUUUUUUUUUAAAUGUUUUUAAAUAAUUACCGACGGAAAUUUCCGUUGGUAAAUCUGUCGGUAAUAAAAAAAAAUUACCGACGCAUCUGUUCCGCCAGUAAAUCCGUCGGUAAUUAAUUUACCGAUGGAAUUACCGACGAAAGAUUCACCGACGGAAAUUAUCCGUAGGUGAUUUCGUCGGGAAAUUAAUUACCGAUGGAAUAUGUGUCUUAUGCCGACGGAAAAAUUCCGUCGGUAAAACUGUUAAAUCUUGUAGUGGAGAUUAGGUGGGAAAUGCAUGUUAGGUCUUUGCAAGAUGUUCUGUGGGUAAAAGUCUAGUGAGAAAUUUAUGAAAAAUGAAAAUAAAAAUGCGCAAAAACUUAUUUUAAAUACUUACAACGCUGACAGAGGCUAAUGUUAUGUGGAAUUGUUUUAGCCAUCCAUGACAGUGCUUCUUUUUUUUAAAAAAAAAAAACAAAAAGUGUUUUAAAAAAAAUUAAAAUUUUAUUUUUAUUAUCAUUUAUUUCAAUUUUUUUACCUUUUUAUGUAAAAUAAAAAUAAAAAUGAUAUACAACAAGUUUUGAUUGUUAAAAGUUUUUGGUUCCAUAGGGUUGACUGGACUUUCUGAAAUUUCUUUUUAGUUGUAACAUUAACUUAUAAGGACUUUUUAGUUAUUAAAUCAAUUAUAAUAACAAUCCUCUUUAAAAAAAAAAAAAAAUUUAUUGACUAAUUGUUGGGGUGUUCAAGUUAGUAUUAAGAUACUUGAAACCGUGUACUUGAAAACUACGGGGAAAAGAAGAAGAAGCAAUAAAUAGCAUGCAAAACUUCAAAAUGAAUAGAGUAAUUUUCUCCUUUUAAAAGGAAGGAAACGAGCAAUAACUGAGUUCACAAAUUAUAUUAAUUAUCCCUAAAGCAAUCAGAGCUGUAACAUAAUAAAUGGCUCAGCAAAUUUAUAAAGCAGAAAAAAUAGCAGAAAUUUACAGGAAAUUAAAAAAAAAAAGCAGAAAAUUCCACAUUUUAGAGGGGAAAUUCAAAAAGUAAAAUCCUAGAAAACAACCGUCCGGAUAACAGAUUAUGAAAAUAUAGAUUUAAAUAUUUUUUACAUUUUUAAAAAUUAUAAAGCUGAAAAAAUAGCAGAAAAUUCCAGAUUUUAGAGGGGACAUUCAAAAAGUUAAAUCCUAGAAAACAACCUUUCGAAGGAUAACAGAUUAUGGAAAUAUGGUACCGGAUAUGAUUUAAAAUACUUUUUUAUAUUUUUUAAAAUUAUUUUAAAUAUUAAUAUAUUAAAAUCAUAUAAAAAUAUUAAUUUAAAAUAAAAAAAAUUCGAAAAUUUUAAAAAUAUAGUUUCAAUCCUAAUUUCAUACACAACCGAACCGAAGUCUCUGUACUAACACUACUUUCUUAGAUUCAUUGCGCGUGUCAAGAGGGAGGGAUCCUCUGCUUUCAAGUUGUCUACAGGCUAAGAUGGAUUUGGACACUCAAGAUAAGAAGGUAGGGUCAUGUUCUUCGCCUUUGCAUGACUAAUAAAUUUGACAGCAGUGGUUCGUGGAAGAUGCUGCCAGCUGCAAUCAAUCAAUUAAUACAGUGAGGGAGGGACCCUCUGCUUUCAAGUUGAAUGCAUCUCCCCAUCCCAAAACAUUACGGAAUUUUGUAAUUUUUCUGGUGAGUUCUUCUGUUCUAAAAAGAGUAAUUAGGGAAAUUCAAUAUAUAUAGAUUAAUAAGUUGCAUCAUCUUUGAAUCUAUCCUAGGUUUAAUGUGAACAUAGGAUCGAGGGAGUUGGCUGGCUACAUAUGCAGCAGACGACGAAAGGUCUAGCAUUAAUAUCCUUAGGUUAGACAGAUUGACAGUGAGAAAUUUAUGAUGUUCUGUUGCUAAAAAUCUAGUGAGAAAUUUACUAAAAAUGUAAAAUGAAAAAUCUGCAAAAAGUUGAACUAAAUACAAUAUACCGACAGAGGCGGAUGAGUUGCUAUCAUUUAUUGAAGAUGGUAUAUUAUAAGCAAACAAGAUUACGGAUGUUAGGGUUCUUUUUUCUCUUCUUUAUUUCCUUACCUCUUAAUUUUAAUUUUAACUUUUACUCUUAAAAUUAAAUAAAAUAUAAAUAAUAAACUAAUAAUAAACAAUAAAUAUCUAUAUUUUACUAUUUCAAAUUUUAAUAUUUAUUAAUUAUUAAAGAAUUAACUAUGAGAUUUAUUAUAUUUUUUAACAGUAGCAUGGUUUAUUAUUACAUUUUUUUCUGCCUCGUUUAAGUUCUUUUAUUUAUAUUAAUAAAUAAAGUCUAUGAAUUGACACUACUUUCUUACAGGCUUGAACACACAAGAUAAGAAGGAAGGGUCAUUUUUAUCGUCUUGAUUCGUGGAAGAUGCUACCAGCUGCAAUCAAUCAAAGAGGGAGGGACCCUCUGUUUUGAAUUUGAAAUCGUAUCUCUAUCAUUCCAAAUGAAACACAUUUCACUUUAUCUUCAAAGGUUUUAUUUGUUUUUUAAGUAAUUUUUAUAAUUGUAAUUUUAAAAAAAGUAUAGUUGGAUUAGAUAUGUAUGAUAUUAAGAAGAUAUAGUUAGUUGAAAUAAAAUGUUUGGUAUAAGUGUGGUUCUAAUCAAGGUUGUUAAAAUCGCGAUUUUAACACGGUACGGAAAAUACAAUACAAACUCGGAUCGUAAAAACGGAUCGUAAAAUCGUAAGGAAUUUUAAAAUAUAUUAACAAAAAAAUUCAUGCUUCAAAUAUAAAUUCAUACAUAGUUCAAGCACUUUAAAAUACAUGUUUCAAAUAAAAUUUUUACAUGUUUCAAGCAUCUUACAAGAUGGAAAAAUGUUUAUUUAAUUGUAUAAGACAAUGACUUAUGUUGCUUGAGUAUAUUUUAGGAGCUUGGGUUAUUAUUUUUUAAUUAUUUGAUUGAAACAACACAAUUUUAUUUUUUUUAAAAAUUAUUUGAUUUAAAUUAUCCCGUUACUAUUUUUAUAUCUAAUUUAUAUUUAUAAAAUCUCUUCUACUUGCUAUCAUACCAUUAAAAACAUAAAUAAUUUAAGGUGAAUGAAUAGUCAAAAUAACAUAACAAAUAAAAGUAAAAGAUAUGGGGGAAAAUCUGAAUUAAAUUGGAAUUUAAUAUUAUUGCCUUGACUGUAAUCUCUCAGCCCUCAAUUUCUUUAAGCUUUCUUUAAUCUCUGUAGCCCUCGAUUUCACAACCAUUUCUUUAUUGGAUGCAGACAAAAUUCACAUGUUCUGCAGCUAUUGAAUACUGUGUGACUGUGCAUUUGCAUAACCAAUAGAUGCCAGACAGCUGGAGCAUGUGGGGAGAAAUUUACUUCAGUGCAUGCAUUUUGUUAAAAUCGUGAAAAUAAUUCAUUUUCUAGAAUUUAUUUUUUUAAAAUUCACUUUUCAAAAAAAAAUUAUUUUUCAGAAACCAUACAGAAGCAUUAAAGGGAGUUUCUUUCUUUUCGGAGAGGCAAAUGUGGUUGCUUUGCUUUGUAGAAAGAAGAGAAGGGAAGGGAAGAAAGGAGAAAAAGAGAGAAGAUGUCAUCCACUAAGGGAAGCAACGAAGAAUCUUUGCUUUUCCACACAGUAGUGUAGUGUAUGUAUAUGUGUAUGUAUUGGCAGGUACAGGGCAAGGCAAUAUAGAGUGCGUUUGGUAUUGUGGUAGCUGUUGUGGUUGUGGUUUAAAAAAAGUUGUUUUAUAAAAAAUGCUUUUAGUUGAGUUUGGUUUGAAAAAAUAGGUGUUUGGUUAAAACUGUGGUUGAAAUUGAAGUUGAAGAAAAAGUAAUUUAAUGUGUUUGGUUAAGAAUAUUUUUAAAAUUGAGGUUAUAAAAUAAUUUUAAAAAUAUAUAUUAGUACUUAUGAUUUUUAAUUUAAAUAUUGUGGAUUUAACUAUUGCUAUUAUAUCAUGAAAUAAAUCAUACUUUAUAUAAAUAUAAUUUUUAUUAUUCCAUGAAACCAUUUAUAAUUCUAUUACGUACGAGAUUCAUUCAACAAAAAUUACAGUUUUCAUAAUAUUUUUAGCAUGUAAUAAAUUUAGAUAAAAUAUUAUCAGGUAUAAAAUUAACUCCAAACUAUUUUUUUUUAAAAAAAAUAUAUUAAAAAACUAACACACAAAAAAAAAAAAAAACCAACGCAGGCAGUGAACAGUGCAAGAGAAUUGCACUGUUCACUAUUCUUAAGUGAACAGUGCAAUUCUCCAGCACUGUUCAUAUAAACAGUAUAUGCGGAAUACUGUUCAUGUAAUUGCACUGUUCAUUGAACAGUGCAAUUACACAUGAACAGUAGAGAAAAAGCGUGAAUUAGCUGCUUCUCAUUUCUCGCGUUAGAAACGCAGAAUUAAAGUGGGGCCAUGAACAGUGAAAUUUAAAACGCAGCCGCAGCCGCAUACCCAAACGGACUCAUAAUCUUUCAAGCUUUCCACGCAAUCACAGCUUGACGAUGUCUUUUUCCUCCUUUAUUACUACGUCACGAUGUCUUUUUGGAAAUUUAUUGGUAUUUAAUUUUAAGAUAAUUAAAAUAAGUAUUUGUCAAAGAAUUGAUAAAUUAAUUUUACAUAAAAAAGUCAAAAUUCUCUUUUAUUAUUUAUUUUUUAUCUUGACACAAAAACAUAUAUUUUGUUAAUUAGCAACAUAGUUGUUUUAUUAAAAAAAACUUGGUAAUUUAAAUAAGUAUUCUUAAAUUUUUAAUUAUUUAAAUUAAAAGGGAAAUCCUGAAUGGUAGUUUAUAAAUUUGUUUUUCUCUCUGUUCUUUAGUCACUUUUUUUUUUAUAUUUUGUUAUAUGCUUUCCACUUGUCCAGGCUUUCUUAAGAUUUGUAGAUGAAGCGCAUGCGUGGUCCUUCUGCUUGAAGAGUAUACCAGUGAGGGAUGAAUCGGUCAUUUACAAUUUUCUCACAAAUUAAUAAAGAUGAAAGCAUAGUUAUUAAGAUUUUAUUUUUACAAUCUUUUUGAUUUAUGAAUAUGCUUUCUUUUUUCUUGAUUUUUAAGUACCAUUUAGAAAUACUCAAUAAAUUAAUUUAAAUAUAGAAAAUCAAUAUAGAAGCAUUACAUUUUUAUAAAACAGAUAAUUUAGCCUGGUCUCAAAGAGUUUUAAAAUUCUCCCUUGAUCUAUUAAGUGUGGAUUUUCUUAAAACCUCACCCCCAGUUUUUAUAGAAACACAAAAAUAAAAAGACUCCCAAAAUCUCUUUUUAAAUCUGGUUGCAAGUGAAGGAUUAGAAGAGCUGCCCGAUCUAUUGUGGAUUGGGUGCUUGAAAUUUCUUCAAACUUUAGUCAUCUUUAAUUGUGAAAAUCUAGAAAAUUUGGUCUUAGAAGUCUUCGGAUAUUGGUUAUUGGUGGAUGUGGUAGCUUGAUUUCUUUGCCGGAAGCAUAAGAUGCCUACCUACUCUGGAAGAUUUUUGUAUUAUUGAAGGCAUAGUUUUGAAACCCGACCCGGUGAUUGACCCGGUUUAAUGAUCGGGUCACGGGUCAGAUGGGUUGACCCGGGUCAACCCAAAAAAAUUAAUAAAAAACUAAUUAAAGGGCAUUUUAUGAAUCAUGGGCAGGGGCGGUUAAAGAGGAGGAGCUUAUAUAGGCUCCAUUGCUAAAUUAACCUAAUGAGGUGAAAUUUAUCUUCCCCUCUGAUUCAACUUGAGAAGAAUCUUGUCCUCGUCUAAAGCAUCUCCUACAUUCCAAAGGCUAGAUUCAAGUGGAACUCCAUCAGAUUUAACCAGAGCAAAAGAACAAGACAAGGUAUGUCAUGAUAAAAUGCAAAGCUAACUAAUUUCAUUCAACAAUUUAAAUUUCUUUGAACUUAAUACAUCAUUACUAAAUUCUAUGUUUGUCUAAUUUCUUCAGAUUUACUAUUAUGAGGGUCCUGUCGGCUAAGAUCUUAUAAAACAGUGAGUCACUUCCGAAGAUCAGCUUAAGGCUCGGAGUGUCUGCUUUGUGUAAUUUCCCCUGCCUUAAUUUUCUUGGCUAGCUAUGUGUGACGAUUUAUUAUCAAUAAAUUGAUAAACUUUUGGUUGCUCUGAAUUAUGGGCUUGCCUCUUUCUUCUAUUCAACUUAUCUUAUUUAAAAUAAUUGUGAUCAUUUAAAUAAUUAUGUUUAACAUAAAAAUCCGUCCUUCUAAACAAACUAAAAAACUGAAGUUGGGAGGAGAAGUAGCAAUUAUGCUAAACAUAAUUAUUUAAAUGAUCACACAAUUAAAAAUAAUAUUUUUUUUGUGUUAGAGUCUAGCCAUCGAUUUUUAAUUAUUCCAUCGAUUUUUGAAACAUCAUCGAUGGAAUAAUUAAAAAUAAUAUUUUUUUAAUGUCCGUCGGGGAUUUUGUUGGUAAAACUGCGCUAGAAAUCCCAACGACCCCCUUUUCAGUUUAUUUUUUCAUCUUCUUCAUUUCACAACUCUAAUUUUCACUUUUUUUCCCUCUCAUUUGCUUCAAAUCUCUUGUUUUUUGCUUGUUAUCUCUAGUUAUAUCUUUAACAAAUUAAAAGAUAUGUGUUUUCUCUAUUUCAUUUGCUUUAAGAUUUUAUUUUUUUAUUUGUUUUUUGUUUUAGCUAUUGUUAUUUUUGUUAUAUUUUUUAUUUUGGAGUAUUUUUAUAAUGUAGAUAAAGUCUUGAAAUAAACACAUUAUUAAGGUAAGCAUUUUUCAUUCCUAAAGUCUAUAGUUUUUUUUUUUAAAAAAAUUUGAAUAUAUUUUAUUGUUUGUAUUGCCAUAAUAAUUGAAUAAUUUGUUAAAUUUUAAUUAUUAUUGUUCAAUUUACCUUGUAAUUAGUAAUUGAAUAUUUAGGAAUAAAUUUAAUUAUUUUUUCUCAAUUUUACUCUAUUAUUGCAUAAUAUGUGUUUAAUUAUUUCCAUUAAUUUUAAUUGUUAAGUCUAUAGUUUUUUUAAAUUUAUUGAAUAUAUUUUAUUGUUUGUAUUGCCAUAAUAAUUGAAUAAUUUGUUGAAUUGUAAUUAUUAUUGUUGAAUUUACCUUGUAAUUAGUAAUUGAAUAUGUUGGAAUAAAUUUAAUUAUUUUCUCUCAAUUUUACUCUAUUAUUGCAUGAUAUGUGUUUAAUUAUUUCCAUUAAUUUUAAUUGUUAGUCUAUAGUUUUUUUAAAAAAAUUUAUUGAAUAUAUUUUAUUGUUUGUAUUGCCAUAAUAAUUGAAUAAUUUGUUGAAUUUUAAUUGUUAUUGUUGAAUUUACCUUGUAAUUAGUAUAGAUGUUAUGUUAUAUACAAGAUUAGUAUAGAUGCGGUCAAUUGGUUGUGUCUAUUGUCAAUAUUUGCAGGUUUUAAAGGUUUGGGUAGUCUCUAGUAUAAGGGAGGUGUUGUCGAAUUUUUUUUAACAUUCAAAUUUAAUUAUGUAAUUAUUCGGAUUAAAUUAUGUAGAUGCGUAGAACGAAAUUCACAGCUCGUCGCUCACAUAUGGUCGCAGCUAGUUUUUCUAGCAGCGAGGAUGACAUAUCCUUAGGUGCCUAUCAAGAAGAGGCACCUGCGCUGUUACUCGAUGCUGUCUCUUCCAGCGCGGUUUCACAGCGUAGAGGUAGCGUGCCUUCGCAACGGAAUGAAUUCACCCGCAAGUACGAGGCACAAUGAAAGGACGACCUUUCAAUGUAAGGUUGUUUCGGUUUUAGUUUUUUAAAAAAAUUAUAACAUGAUUUAUGAAUAACUAAUCAAUAUUUUAUUAAUUUAUUUAUUUUCAGGUUCACAAACAUUGAGGCCGCUCGAGUAAUAUAAUUGGUGUUUAAAUCGUCGAUGGAGAUUCCAUAUUUCAAUGGAGUCAGGUAUCUAGACAUCAUGAAUGGAUACCUCAAAUCGAUGCACGGUUUGAUUGAUUUGAGGUUGGUGUUAAUUUCUAAUUUCCAGCUUAUUUCUAAUAAAUUAUUAAUAUGAUUGUAAAUAAAUUAUUAUUUUUAUUUAAAAUUAAUUAUUUAUAUACAGGACAAAUUUAACUGGGACAUUGCGCAUGGCACUGUUGUGAGGAGGGUAUGGAAAAAUCAUGCCACAACUAGGUAACAUAAAAAACAAUACAAUAUUUUUUUUGAAAAAAAAUUAUGUUUCAAAAUCUAAUUUUUCGCUAUGAAAGUAGGUUGCGUGAUUUUUUUGUAUGAAGCACAAAAAAAGGCAAAAAAAACAUGGAGAUAACAGUCUCCAAGUUUGGAAACUACGUGGUGGUUUGGAGGGAUUUCAAACCGCUAUACAUCUUGGAAGAUAUAUGGCCACAAUAUCUUGCACACGUGAUGUUUGAGUGGUUGACACUACGCUCACAGUCCGGUGCUGGCAACCGGUACCAACCAAUUCAUGGCUCGGUGACAACACACACCGGUGGCUCCGUUUCGUUUGCUGCAUAUGCAAAACGGAUGUUAAGAUUAAUUUAAAUGAAAUAUAUCGAUAAAUAAUUUGUUGUUACUUAAUUAAUUUUUUUUUCUUAUAGGCUACGUCUCUUGGACGCGAGCCCAAUGGAGCUGUUUGUUGAGAUGCACAUGCAGAGUCAAGACCGCCAAAAGGAGGUGGAAUAGUUCGUUGACAAUCGCGCUCGAUAUUUUAUGGUAUGUUCGUUCAACCAUUUUAUUUCGUAAGUUAUUAUUUUUAUUAAAUUGAAUAUGAUGAUUAUGAUUUCUUUUUCAUUUUCAGGAGACUUAUAAUAGCCGGUUGAGGGAGAGAUAUGAGGACGAUCCUUUGACCCAUUCGGAUUUCGAUCCGGAUUUAUGGAUGGAGGUUGGAUCGUCUAGUGGACCCGAUUAAAAUCGGGUAUACGGGCUCUCCAACACUACGGCCAAGAACUUGCGGUCGGCCCUUAGUGUCUCAACUGUUAGGAGCUCCAAAUUAGUAUCGAGUACCUAAUCUGAGGAUAUCAUGGCCUUGAAACAACACACGGCUAAUCUCAUCGAGAAAUACGAGUAACUCUCGGUGAAUUAUGAACAAUUCCGCCAAAUGGUCAUGAACAUGACUUCAUAGAGUGGUGAUACAUGUGUGCCCCCUUGUUGGCCGUAUAACAACCAGCCUCCUCCUCCUUCAGCUUCGCCAUUGUGCUAAUUUAAUAUUUUUUUUGAAACACAUUCAAUUAGUAAUGAAUAUUAUUUAACUUUAUUUUUUUUGUGCUUAAUGUUUAAUAAAAUUUUAUUUGCAUAAUUGGUUUUUUUUUUACUAUUAAUUUAUAUAAUUUUAUAUUAUUAAUUCUAAAUAUAUUUUUUUAAAAAAAAUUAAAAAUAGCCACCGAGGGAUUUACCGACGGAAUGUAUCUUUCGGCAUUUGACAGGGAGCGGGAAAUGCCACCAUCACCGAUGACUUUACAGACGGAUACAAUCCGUCGACAUUUCACAAAAGCUUGGUGGAAAUGCACACUCACCGAUGAAUUUAUAGACGAAUAAUAUCCGUUAGCCUUUCACUGAUAGCUAAAAAUAUAUUUACUAUAUAUGCCACUAUCACUGGUCCGUCAGUAAAGUUCCAGCAGGAAGUUUUUUUUUUACGCACAAUUUUCAUCUGUAAAACGAUUGGUAAUAUUUUUUUUUAUCGAUAGACUUAGCGACGGAAUACGGUAUUCCCGACGAACUGUAUGCCAACGAAUGUUUUCCAUCGGCAAUUUAAUCGGUAAAAAAAUUACCGAUGAACUCUAAAUCUCAUAUCGACGGAAUCUAUCUGUCGGUAAAACUAUGAAAUCUUGUAGUGUAUAUUCCUCUCUAUAUCUAAAGUGAGACCCUCUAUUUUUCAAGAUUUAUAGGAGCACUCAUAUCUUUGGAAAAUGCAACAUGUUAUUAUUUUAUUGGUUAAUUUUUAUUUAUAGGACAUUAUAUUUAUUAUAAAAUAUCUUAAAUAUUUCAUUUUAUUUAUUAACUUUUUAUUGGCAAAGAAAUAUAAAAAGAUCUAUUUAUUUUUAUUAUCAUUUAUUUCAAAUUUAUUUUAUCUUUUUAUGUAAAAAUAAAAUAAAAAUGAUAGAAGAAGAGAAGAAGAAGAUCAGUUAUGGAAAAAAGAGACAAAUUAUAAGGUCUUUUUAGUUAUUAAAUCAAUUAUAAUAACAAUCCUCUAAUUUUUUAAAAGUUUUUAUUCACUAAUUUUUUGGGUGUUCAAGUUAGUAUUAAGAUACGGAAAAAGAAGAAGAAGCAAUAUAUAGCACGCAAACUUCAAAAUGAAUAGAGUAAUUUUCUCCUUUUAAAAGGAAGGAAACGAGCAAUCACUGAGUUCACAAAUUAUAUUAAUCAUCCCUAAAGCAAUCAGAGCUGUAACAUAAUAAUAAAUGACAACAAAUAAUUUUUGUAAAACAGAUAAUUUAGCCUGGUCUCAAAGAGUUUUUAAAUUCUCCCUUGAUCUAUUGUGGAUUUGAUCCUUUUAGUCCAAAUUAAAUCUGAAUUGCUGGAGUACCUUUGGUAGAUGCUUUGACUACAAUGCUUGAUCCAACCAUCCCUCUUACAACUUCAGAGCGGGAGGUAAGCCUUGUUUCUAUUGUAAAGAUAUGAAAUUUGAACUGUAUCUACCUUUAAAUCUGACUUUCAGUGGGGCAAAUUUAUAUGGAACGUGACUUUCACUUCUUUGUUUACUGUAGGGGUACAUUUAUGGGUUUGCCUGCUCCAACUAUAUUAUGUGUCGGUGGCUCGAUGCUACUUGCUUAUCACUUUUUUUUUACUGUAGGAAUGGGGAGAUCCUAGGAAGUAGGUGUUCUACCACUACAUGAAGUCAUAUUCUCCUGUUGAUAAUGGAAGUAUUCAGCUUUGAAUCGGUUCCUCGUGUUCAUGAUCAAUAGCUUUGAAUCGGUUCCUCCUGUCGGCAUGGUAUUCGGUAUAGUUUAAAAGCUAUACCAAAUACCAUGCCCACAGAGGCGUACGUGGAAUUUUCUUAGCCAUGGCAUGACAACUUGACAGUAAUGGUUCGUGGAAGAUGCUGCUGACAGCCAUCAAUCAAUUAGGGAGGAAGGGACCCUCAUGCAACUAUGCUCUAAAAUUGAAUGUAUCUCAUCAUUCCAAAACACACUUCGUUUUAUCUUUUAAUAUUUUACACAAUACGUCUCUCUCUCUUGUGCUCAAAAUUUCUUCUUUGAUCCCCAACCCCCACCCACCAAAAAAAAAAAACAGAGAAUAUGGCAGCAGAGCUUCUUCUUACGUUUGCCAUGGAAGAGACUUUGACAAGGGUCAGUUCCAUAGCUGCUGAAGGGAUCAGACUUGCCUGGGGAUUGGAGGGACAGCUGCAAAAGCUCAAGCAGUCCUUGACCAUGAUCUAAGCUGUGCUCCAAGAUGCAGCCAGAAGGCCAGUAACAGACAAAUCUGCGAAGCUUUGGCUGGAGAAGCUACAAGGUGUGGCUUACGAUGCUGAAGAUGUUCUAGACGAGUUUGCUUAUGAGAUUCUCCGUAAAGACCAAAAGAAGGGAAAGGUACGUGACUGCUUUUCACUGCACAACCCUGUUGCAUUCCGUCUGAAUAUGGGUAAAAAAGUUAAGGAGAUCAAUGGAUCACUGGAUGAGAUUCAGAAACUUGCAACAGUACUCUUUGGCCUGAGAAGUGCAUCUCAACGUGCAGAGAGUGCUCCUGAAGUUAACCGAGAGACAGAUUCCUUGCUUGAAAGCUCAGAAGUUGUAGUAGGAAGGGAGGAUGAUGUGUCAAAAGUUAAGAAAUUGCUGAUUGGCUCGACUGAUCAACAAGUUCUAUCUGUUGUCCCUAUAGUGGGGAUGGGUGGCCUCGGAAAGACUACCAUAGCAAAACAAGUUUGUGAAGUAGUGAGGGAGGAAAAGCUUUUUGAUGUAACAAUAUGGGUUUCUGUUUCUAAUGAUUUUAGUAAAGGGAGGAUUUUAGGAGAGAUGUUGCAAGAUGUUGAUGGAACUAUGUUGAGCAAUCAAAAUGCAGUUAUGAAAAAACUCAAGGAAAAGCUGGAAAAUAAAACAUUUCUUCUUGUUCUUGAUGAUGUGUGGAAUGAAGACCAUGAUAAGUGGGAUGAUUUAAAGCAGCAACUGCUAAAAAUCAACAGUAAGAAUGGGAAUGCUGUUGUUGUUACAACGCGCAUUAAGGAAGUAGCGGACACGAUGAAGACUUCUCCAGGGAGCCAGCACGAGCCAGGGCAACUUUCAAAUGAUCAAUGUUGGUCCAUUAUCAAGCAAAGGGUGAGCAGGGGUGGACGAGAAACAAUAGCUUCAGACUUGGAGACUAUUGGAAAAGAGAUUGCCAAGAAAUGUGGAGGGAUUCCGUUACUUGCUAAAGUUUUGGGAGGAACUCUUCAAAGAAAGCAGGCACAGGAGUGGCAGUCAAUUCUAAACAGUAGAAUUUGGGAUUCUCAGGAUGGAAAUAAAGUUUUGCUCAUAUUGAGACUCAGUUUUGAUCACCUGUCAUCGCCAUCACUGAAAAAAUGUUUUGCAUUCUGUUCCAUUUUCCCUAAAAAUUUUAAAAUUGAAAGGGAAGAGCUGGUUCAACUUUGGAUGGCCGAAGGUUUUCUUGGGACAUCAAAUGGGAGGAUGGAAGACGAAGGCAACAAGUAUUUCAAUGACUUGCUUGCAAAUUCCUUUUUCCAAGAUGUCGAAAGGAAUGAGUAUGAGAUCUUAACAAGUUGCAAGAUGCAUGAUCUUGUGCAUGAUCUUGCAUUGCAGGUCUCAAAAUCAGAAGCGUUAAAUCUGGAGGCGGGUUCGGCUGUUGAUGAUGCAUCUCAAAUUCGUCAUCUAAAUCUCAUAUCUGGUGGGGAUGACAAGGUAGCAUUAACAGUGGUUGAUGCUAGAAAAUUGCGAACUGUUUUCGCAAUGGUUGAUGUAUUCAACGGGUCUUGGAAAUUCAAAAGCUUGAGAACUCUUAAAUUACGAUGGUCUGAUAUCACAGAGUUACCAGAUUCAAUUUGUAAGCUGAGACAUUUAAGAUAUCUUGACGUCUCACGUACCAGCAUCAGAGUAUUGCCAGAAUCCAUCACCAAGCUCUACCAUUUGGAAACAUUAAGAUUCACUGAUUGCAAGUCACUAGAAAAGCUUCCCCAAAAAAUGAGGAAUUUGGUGAGCUUGAGACAUCUUUAUUUUAAUGAUCCAAACAUGGUGCCAACAGAGGUGAGACUCUUUACACGCCUUCAAACUCUGCCGAUUUUUGUUGUGGGUCCAGAUCAUAAAAUUGAAGAGCUGGGAUGUUUGAAUGAACUAAGAGGAGCAUUGAAGAUAUCCAAGCUGGAGCAAGUUAGAGACAGAGAAGAAGCUGAGGAGGCAAAACUGCGAGAAAAAAGAAUGAACAAAUUGGUGCUUGAAUGGAGUGAUGAUGAAGGUAACAACAGUGUCAAUAGCGAGGAUGUGCUGGAAGGCCUGCAGCCUCACCCAGACAUAAGAAGCUUGACAAUUGAGGGUUAUGGAGGUGAAAAUUUCUCAUCAUGGAUAUUGCAACUCGAUAAUCUGACGGUGCUGAGAUUGAAUGGCUGCAGCAAGUUGAGGCAACUCCCAACACUUGGAUGUCUUCCUCGCCUUAAGAUUCUAAAGAUGAGUGGAAUGCCUAAUGUGAAAUGUAUAGGCAAUGAGUUCUAUAGUAGCAGCAGUGGCAGUGCAGCAGUACUGUUUCCAGCACUAAAAGAACUCACUCUGUCUAGAUUGGAUGGUCUUGAAGAAUGGAUGGUACCAGGUGGAGAAGGUGAUCACGUAUUUCCUUGUCUUGAAGAGUUGUGCAUUGAGGAUUCUCGCAAGUUGAGGCAACUCCCAACACUUGGAUGUCUUCCUCGCCUUAAGAUUCUAAAGAUGAGUGGAAUGCCUAAUGUGAAAUGUAUAGGCAAUGAGUUCUAUAGUAGUAGCAGUGGCAGUGCAACAGUAUUGUUUCCAGCACUAGAAGAACUCAAUCUGUACCAAAUGGAUGGUCUUGAAGAAUGGAUGGUACCAGGUGGAGGUGAUCAAGUAUUUCCUUGUUUAGGAAAGUUGAGUAUUUGGUGUUGUGUUAAGCUCAUCAGUAUUGAUUGGCAUGGUUUACGACAAUUGUCUUCUCUUGUUUAUUUAGCAAUCACCGCGUGUCACAGUUUGAGUGAUUUCCCAGAGGAUGAUUGGUUAGGCGACCUCACCCGACUGGAGUAUUUGAGCAUCGGUGGUUUCUUAAAGGAGGAGGCUUUUCCUGAAGGAGUUUUAAACUCAAUCCAACACCUCAACUUGAAUGGGUCUCUUACAGGACUAGAGAUAUGUGGAUGGAAUAAACUGAAGAGUGUACCGCACCAACUUCAACACCUCACUGCCCUCGAGGAAUUGUGUAUAAUUUAUUUUGAUGGAGAGGAGUUUGAAGAAGCAUUGCCAGAAUGGUUGGCCAACCUUUCUUCUCUUCAAUUUCUUGCGAUUCAUAAUUGCAAUAAUCUCAAGUAUAUGCCAAGUUCAACAGCCAUUCAACGCCUCUCCAAAUUAAAGCGUUUGAAUAUUUGGGAAUGUCCACUUCUAUCAGGAAAUUGUAGAAAGGAGAAUGGCUCUGAGUGGUCCAAAAUAUCUCAUAUCCCAUCAAUCUGUAUACAGGGUGCAUGGGUACAGGCAAGUUGGGUUUAAUUUUUUAGGUUACUUUGUAUGCAAGGAGAGAGAACCAACUAAAGAAUUCAAAUAGACGGUAUGAAUGUACAGGUAAGUUCUGAUUUAAAUUAUUCUUUUACUUUUUUUUUUUGAAAAAUUAUAACAAAAUGUCUUAGAAAAAAUUGUUAUUAUCUGUUAUUAUGUUAACAAAUUGUAUAUUUAAAAAUUAUAACCAUGAAAUCAAUAAUUUAAAUUAAACUUUUACUUCUUUUUUUUGAAAAAUUGCCUAAUCAUUUCAUGAAAACAAUAAUUAGCCAUUCUAUUAUAAUAUUUUAUAAAAUAAAUGAUUGUUUGUUUUUUUCUAUCUAAACCUAAAUUUUAAACAUUCUAUUAUAACCUAAAUUUGAUUCUGUGGAAUAUUAUGUUUCAAAAUAUAAAAUCAUUAACUAUCCAACAUUUUUUCAAUCAUUAUUCUAAUAUCAUUCUUACAAGAUAAUUUAACCUAUAUUUAAAAAUAUUUGCAUUAUCUAUAUUGUAUUAUUUAUUUUAAAAUCAUCAAUUUUAUAUACAAUUAUGAUACUUUAAACAAACCAUUAAAUCUUAAGAUUAACCAAUUAAUAAAACUUACAUUUAAAUAACAACCAAUGAGGUUACAAACCAAUCACUUUUUAGUAGCAAAUGCAAUUAAAGCUAAAAACACUCUUUAGUUGACCCCAAGAUUUAAAAAAGAAAAAAAGGCAAACUUGACUCCAGUUUAUAUUAAAUAUAGAUUUAUAAAUUAUAUAUUGAUAAUAUAUUAUCUAACUCCAACCAGUACAAGUAAAAAAAAAAAAUCUUUAAAUAAUCAAAUGUUAACCAGUGAUAGGAUUGCUUUAAAAUAUAAAUUUCAGUGGUGAUUAAGAAUAUUAUUUUUGGAAGCUAGUUAAACUAUUGAAAAGGUAUUUUAGAAAAUUUUUAGAUAAUGAUGUUUUUCACUAGCUUUCAUAUUGGAAUAUGUUUUUUUUUUAAUUAUAUUCAUUGAAUUGAAUAUGCUUCCUAUACAACUAAAUCAACUUUCAAACAUAAAUCAUAAUAUUUUUAGAAACUAUGAAGUGAUCCCAUUUUCUUGACAUUUUUUAUCUACCUAGUUGAUUCAUUCUGCAUUUUGUAGUUUAGUGUUGUUUAUAUUUCCAAAACUAAUACCAAGUUGGCUAUUUCAACUAUCAUAUGUGCAGUCGAUCGGACCUCGAAGACUAAAGGAAGCCAUGGAAUGGUUAUUUGAAGCUUAUGCAGAAUAGUGUUUGUCAGGCUGGAUACAUGUGUGAUCGGCAUAAUUUUCUCGUAUCUUUAUGAGAGAAUAUAUUUGUUAAAAUGUAAGAAAAUAGAUAGAGCUGGCAGCUUAUCACGAAGAUAGAAGAGCUUGAUAUAGAUAUUGAUGUGAAUUUGUUUGUGUAACUUCUAUUAUUUUCUAUUUGAUUUUGUUAUUUAACUUUAAAGGAUUCGAUUUUUAUGAGGUUAUAUAUAUUGAUGAUGUUCUACUCCAAUAUCUGAAGAAGAAUUGUAAUUUUUGUCUUGUAAAUCUACCUUCAUCUUACAUAAUAUGUUGUUAUUAACUCACGGCCAUCUUCUUUGAUCUCUCUCUCUCUUUAUUAAUUUCUCUUUAAGUACUUGAAUGUCUAAAAUAAGGCAUAAAAGCUAUAUGACAAAAAUAUGGUUGAUUUCACAAAGUCUAUUCGAACUACAAUUAGUUGCAGAAAAAUGAAAAUGAAGGUUACCUCUAACUAGAGAAGCUGAGGGGCCUCAUUGCUGAAUCAAAGGGAAGAAAAACUGAUUCACUGUGUACAAACUGCCAUGUACACAGCAUGAUGGCAACCACUUUUGAAGGAAGUGCUGGUAUUCUAAAUCUGUUUCUCCUGAUCUGCAGCAUGCUAAUCAUCAGAAACCCCUUAAAUGCACCUGCAUUCACUUACAAAGAAGAAUAAGAAACAGGACUAACCCAUCAUCCUGUUCAUGCCUAUCAUCUGUGUGAUUUAUGAAGCUUUGAGACAAAUUAUUGCUGUUUUCUUCCUUUUUUUCCCCAAGCCAAAGUCCCCGUCAAAAACCGUACUUGUAGUCAAGAUUCACAUGUUUGCACCAACUUGAUACAUUUGCAAUUUGGAUUUUGUAAUCUUCAUUACUGAACACAAGCUUUCGACAAUAACUUCGCCAUCUAAGAGUAAAACUACCUAGACCACUAAAAUUGCUUACUAACAUCUCUUUAAUUCAUUCUUUGGUUUUACAACAACCCACACCCCGUAAUUUAAUACAUUCGUAAAAGAACAACUUUGAGUUUUUUCAUUAUCAUUAUUUAUUUUUAUUUACGGGGGUUUACAGAGAAUCCAUCCAAUAAGCAAUUUUAGCCUCUGACAGCAGAAAUAUGAAGUUGGGAAUUUUGUGUUGCUUUGGGUUUUCAAUGUACAUAUAUAUAUAUAUAUAUAUGAUGCACAUAACUCAAAUGCUGUUCGUUUACAACUUUUUCAGACAUGUACCUUUUCUGCUAUCAGCAAAAGGUUUCAAACCAUAUAUAUACUUGGCAUAACUCAAAUGCUGUAAUUUUACUCUACUCUGAAAAUCUGGCAAACAAUGGGAAAAAUCAAAAUUCUCACUUGCACACAUUUAUCAUAGUACCAGAAGUCCUAAACUAUACCAAUCCAUACAUUUUAAUGAGCUUGAUCUUAUUUUUUCCCUUUCAAUUCUCCGUCAGUAAACUAGAAAAGAGCAAGAAAACCCCAUUUUUCUUUUCCCUCGUUUGUUCUUAACCAAACUGGCCAAGAAAAGAGAAAGUGAGCAAGAAAAGAGCAAGAAACAACACCAGUACUUCUCCGUCUUGCACUCAUCAGCUUAUUGUUACGCGUGCAGGAAAAAUUAUGUAAUUACGCGCUCACGAGUGGUUUUAUUUAUGGAAAAACUGGGAAGUUAUAUUCUUCUUCUAUAGGCCGAAAGUCGAGAAAGAAGAAGCUCAUAGCCCCAGUGGCGGAGCCACGUAGGGGCAAGAGGGGGCAAUUGCCCCCCCCCACCCCCAAUGUAUUUUCUAUCUAGUUAAAUAAUUCUUAUUCUCCUCUAAUAAUCUUGCCUAUAAUAAUUACUCGGGGAGAUUUCUCAGCUUCUCUGGUACAACUUUUGCAGCAUAUUGAAAUUCGACUUUGCAGGCUUUAGUACAGGUUUGAUGUGCAGCUCGUCUUCCUUGUAGCUGCUAUUUUACAUUUUAUCUGUUGAGUGUAGUUAUUUGUAACCAGUAUGUUAUGUUAAAAUAUUAAUAUAAUAAUUUUAUUGGGUUAAUAUUUUUUUGUUAGCUGUUAAUUGAACUAAGUUCUUUAUUCUUUUUUCAUUAUUAAUCCCACCUCUUUUCUUUCUAUAAAAUUUCUUUUCAGGCCUUAAACUAUUAAUUAGUUAAGUAAUUAACCUCUUAUGUUUUAUGCUUUAAAAAAGUUUUUUUCAUCUUUUCUAUUUGUUUCAUUAUCUAAUUUUUGUUUUAUUUCUUUAUAAUUAGUUAUUGAAAAUGUUAGAGCUUAUAGUAAUAUUGAGAAAGAUAAUUUUAAUAAGAUUAAAUAUAAAAUUAUUAUGAAAGAGUAACAAUUAUAAUGUAAUUUUUUUUUAUUUUAAAAGUAUUUUUAAAUUAAUUUUACUUGACUUGAGUUAAUAUAUAUAUAUAUAUAUAUAUUUCAAAUUAACUUUUAUAUAUAAUACAUUAAUGUAUAAUAUAUAAUAUUAAAAAUUUAUUAGUAAUUUGCCCCCUUAUUUAAAAAGUUCCAGCUCCGCCACUGCAUAGCCCUGAUGAUGUUCAACGUUUGUACUUGGUGCUAGGGCCAGAGUCUGGUGAGAGACCGGUUGAAGAGAAGCAAUCCCCUCACUCUGGUUCUAAAAAAGGCUCUUCAAGUACUGAUCAUGAUGGGGGAAGUAGUAGUGCUUCUGCAGGCAAGAAUGGAAGUGAAGGCGGGCGUGGAAACCAGUUAAUUAAUUGUAAUAGAUUCACAAAGGCUCGGGCCAGUGAUUUAAGGAAGUGUGGUUAUUUUUUAAAAUCCCAUCUACCGAGACCAACAGUUUUUCAAAAUAUUUAUUUAUUUUGAAAAUAUUAAAUUAAUUAUUUUAGUGUUUUUCAAUAAAAAUAAAAAAGAUAUUUUCCAAUAAAAAAAUACUUAAGAAAUAUGUAUUUAAUAAUGUGAAACGUAUUUUUGCGAUAGAGAAGACCACACCCUAUAUUUUUCUCUCGAAGUUUUACAUUAGAGUUGGUAGCUAGAGCAAUGAAUGUCCUUUCUUUUUCACCUCGAUGGUAGGAAGUGAACAUUGAAAAAGAGCACUUGUUGAGGUACGGUUGCGACCCGCCAUGCUCGACCUUCAAUAAUCCAGGCAAGAGAAUGCAUACUCAUCUGGUGUCCAGGCUAGAAUUGCCAUCAAAAGACAAGGAAGACGAGCCUCAAGAGUCGCUUAACAUCAAACGUGAGGGCUCAUUUAUAAUUCACAUAAAGAAUCCCGAUCAACAUGGUGGCAGUCCACAAUUUACAGGACUUCAAAACAAGAGGAAGGCCAGGUUUCCAGCUCACCUACAAGGCCAAUUUGGGCACAAUAAGACUGUUCGUGGUGACCGACCAGACAUGUUGAAUUAUGAGCGUUGUGAGUUGCUGUUGAUAUCUGCUUCGGAUGGCAUAGAAGAGGAAUGGGAAUGGAGCUCAAGACAGAAUGUGAAGGUGAUGAUGAUCCAGCUUCUUGUUCUGAUUUGGUGAAGACUUUUGGAGAGACUGCACCUACCAGUCCCCUGCUUGAAGGUGUAGAAAAACUGGUAUAUAAAGAACAGGAUUUUGUUUAAGCAGAUGAGCAACCGAAAAGAACAAAGAACAGAAUUAUCAGCAAAGAGAACAGAGAGCAGAAUAGUCUCGUAUGGUUACUGCCACCCCUUGUCUUUUAUUUAUAGAAGGAAUCAAACAUUACAAAAUCGUAAAAAGAAAAAGAAACGUAACAGCCAUAAUCUCCUUUAUCUAAGGAGUUAUGUAAAUGUAACUAACUAGACUUAUCAUAGAUAAGUUAAACUUUGACGAAUUGAAAAACAUACUAAUCAACACCAAGAUAAUGCUGCCAUUAACAGAUAGACAGCAAUGCAAGAGACCACGGCUAAGUAACAUUGUUCCAGCUUUGGUGCCAUAGUUUCAGCAGAAGGCACAUGGGCUUGACUGUCAAAAACAUAUUGUUUACAUAUAUAAUUCCUAGGUGAAUUGCCCGGGCGAUGCCGCAUAAGGCGUCUAGUUCUAGAAGAUGAUAAAACAAAUAACAAAAUUAAAUCUAAAAACAUUGUAAGCAUUGAGAUUGAACUGAGCAACCAUAUGUAGUAGGCUAUUAGAAAGCUGCCAGAACAAUUCAUAAAGGUAGAGGAUUAAACAUCCCGAUAGCAAAUAAUGGUUGCAAUGCUAGCACAACAGUUUUGAAAAUAUCUGCAUGUGGCUAGUGAAGGAGACUGACGUUGGCAAAGCAGAACCGACAAUUGAACUCCAUGAAGAACAGCAAAAAGAGCAUGGGAUUUUGACGGAGCUGCUCAAAAGUGUGCCCACGUUUCCUAUUGCAAGGAAAAGGUGUUCAGCUUUCAUCUAAAAGAUAGUAAGUAUUUCCAAGCCAACUCUUAGAGAAAGGAAGGUAAUGUGCAGAAGAAGAAUUAGAGCAAUUAACUGUAAUGUUAAAACUUAAUAGCCUAUAUUGUGUGACUCGUCAUUCUAUGACGAUACAGGAUACUUGUAAACACAGGAGAGGAAAAGGUAGUUGCAAAUGUCUGCAGGAAUUCUAGUAUGCCAAAGAGGAAAUUCUUCUGCUGCCAUCUAAAGAUGGCUUCUCUAGCAGUCCGGAUGCCAAGACCACCCUUAUAAUUUCCCCUGGCAUCUCCUUUACUAAACACCUAGAUCAAAGAAGCAACAUGCUAAUUUGUUAAUAUACCCACAAAUCCUCCUAGCCAGCCAUGCUCAUACUUCAUAGUAUAGAGCGGAAUUGAUGGCAGCAGCAGUGGAGUGAAUUGAAGUAUUCCAGGCACCUAAUUUACUGUGAGCUGCAAAACGACAAGGACAAUUGGACGGUGAUGUGGGAAUGAAGACUUGAAUGCACUUUAUUUUAAGAAGAAACUCAAUUUUGCUAGAUUGGGAUCCUCAUAGAGGAAUAUAAUUGUCAAGUUUAUUAAAUUUAAAUUUAAUUCCAAUUAAACAUUAGAACAUAACUGUUUAUCUCGUGUGUUUGGUUUUCAUCUUCUCAUCCUAUUCCCCGAGUUCCCUGCAUUACUCUAGGGUCCUUUAACUAUGUUAACAAACAUUAAAUGACACCCUCCUUCCCUUAAGUAAAGAGCAGAUCAAUGAAAAAGGAAAAGAAACUAACCUGGAUUAAAUGACGCAGCAGGAACAGUGCAGAAAAAGGCAGGGGCACCAACCAGGUUAAGGUCAAAAUAAAGUUACGGGCAGACCACUUGAUAGGAAGCUUUCUUGACGUAAGCUUAAAAAAAUAUAAGAACCAAAUCGAAAUGAGAAAGGACAGACACAAACCUGGAAGAAAAAGUGUUGCAGGUAACAGCGGACGAAGUUUCAGCAGACCUAACUAAAGAGCUGAUGCUAUCUAGCUUUAGAUGAAAGGGUGUCAGCACACUCUUUUUUUCACAAGCUGUGAACUAAGAAAGCAGCAAAAUCCUUAAAAGAAAAGCGAAGAAACUAAUCUGUAGAGACAGAUUCUAAAGAAACAGAACAGCAGAAGGCCAAAAAAAGAAGAAGAAAUUACUGCAGCUAAAAAAUGCAGCAAGCAAUGAAGAAUGACACAACCUGAUAAUGAACAGCACAUGAGCAAACAUAGAACAAAAGUAGGUAAGAGACCGCUAUCGGAAUGCAACCAUCCUCAACAACAACAACAACAAAAAAGAUGGACCCAGGCCAAGUCGAUAUCGACACCAUUUGAGAAAAACAUUUAGCUAUACGAAAAUGAAUGCAGUGAAGGAAAACCAUAGCUACUUAAGAACCAGCUGAAGGGUCAUAUAACCCUGACAAAGGCUAUUCGAUCGUGCCUAGUCGAAGGCAAUCAAACACACAAACAUUCCUAAACAUGCACAUCAUAAAACCACUAAUUAAAAAUAGGAGGAAGCUCAGACAUGCUCUUAAACCUAAUCAAAAGGUGCUUCCCAAAAAAAAACCAGCAGGGUCUCUGAAAAGAAACAAAACUACGAAUCAUAGAGAAUAAUCGCAAAUCACGAACUGGAGCAACAUCACGCAACCUAAGCCAUGGAACAUCAGGUGGUUGCGCGAAUCCUGGAGGAGAAUUGAAGGGAAGAAUCAAACAGGAAUGAGAAGCAGCAGCAAUCAUGCCAGGAACAUGCAUCAUGCUUCCACAAGCAAUCCUGGAGGAGAAAGUGGUGGAACAGCUGCUUCAUGAGAUACCGCAGUAGUUUCUAAACCCAAAACCUUCCUAACUGUUGCUUGAUUCUGUCUACUUUUGAUGGUCUUUCUUGACUGCAUUGAUUCGGAGGCAACUGUUCUUGACGAGUUACUACUAUCGACAGAUGCUAGAAACUAGUCUCGUGUAAGUGUUGUUGGGGCAGAUUGAAUAACAGAGCUGAAGACACCCGACUCUCUUAAGCCCUGAAUUGUGGCCUGAAAUAUACAAGCAGCAAUCAUAAAUCAAUAAGGAAAUCACCGAGCAAUUGAUGCACACACUUCAGAUGCAUUUGGCCUUGGGCCUAGAGAUUUUUCACAUCUUGAUGGCAAGGAUCAGCUAGUUGAUUGCACUCAUCAUAAUUUUUUUUCUCGGUUUGUGCAGGAUAAUUUUCACCAUCUUAAUUCUUAAGCUAUGAAUUCCAUUUGAUCUGUUUAUUUUUAUUAGCAUAAACAAUUAGCUAUGAAUUCCAUUCAGAUUAAGUUACUAAGCCUUGAUCUUCACGUGUCCCAGUUUGAGUGAUUUCCCAGAGGAGGAUUGUUUAGGCGGCCUCACCCACCUGAAGAAUUUGAGAAUCGGUGGUUUCUCAGAGGAGAUGGAGGCUUUUCCUGCAGGAUUUUAAAACUCAAUCCAGCACCUCAACUUGAGUGGGUUCCUUGAAAGACUAUGGAUACAUGGAUGGGAUAAAUUGAAGAGUGUACCCCACCAACUUCAACACCUCACUGCCCUCGAGGCAUUGUCUUUAUGUGGUUUCAAUGGAGAGGAAUUUGAGGAAGCAUUGCCAGAAUGGAUGUCCAACCUUUCUUCUCUUCACCUUCUUGAGAUUUAUAAUUGCAAGAAUCUCAAGUAUUGCAAAGUUCAACAGCCAUUCAACGCCUCUCCAAAUUAAAGGAAUUGGAGAUUUGGGGGGGGAUGUCCACAUCUAUCAUAAAAUUGUAGAAAGGAGAAUGGCUCUGAGUGGUCUAAGAUUUUUCAUAUCCCAGAAAUUUAUAUAUAGAGGUAGGUUGGGAUUUUAAUUAUUCUGUUAUUUUGUAGUGUGCAGAGGAGAAAGAACCAAUUAAAGUUUUCAAAUUAAUGAAAGCAAUGAUUAGACUUCAUUCUCUUAAAAUGGUUUAUUUCAUUUAAUUUAAAACAUUUUAUAAAAUAAAUGAUUAUUUGUUUGUCUUUUUUAACCUAGAUUUGAUUCCGUACACUAUUACAUGGCAUUAUUAACUACCAAAAUUAUAUUUUCAUGACUGAAUUACCUUUUUAUUUACAAAAGAAUUUAAUAAAAUAUUUUAACAAUGAUAAUUUUUUUUUUGGAAGGCAGCUAAAUUGUUCAAAAUAUGAUAAUGAUUGGUUCCACUAGUUGUUAAUUUUUAUUGUUAAUUUUUACAUGAAUCACUUUAAUUUUAUGGAUGGUAAAUAACUUAUUUGCUUUGAAACUAAUACCAAAUUAGCUUUUAUGAUGUAUCCUUUUGUUAACAAAAUAUAUACUUAUCAAUGAAAAAAUCAAUAGCCAUCCAUCCAGAUUCUUUGAGCUCUUGAGACUUAUCUGAUAACUUUCUAAUGGAUAGCAUUAGUGGUUUCUUCACCAAAAUGUCUAAUUUGCUAUCACAUAACCAAUUGAAGUUUGAUAUUUUAGAGAUCAAAUUGCCAGAUGUAAUAUCCCCAGUGGAGCUUGAUUAGUACUUAAAAGUCCAUGUUUAUCAAGGGUUUAUGUCAUCAUUUUGCACUUAAAAUAUCAAUAACUCCUUAACUAAAACAUGUUUUAUAAUAACAAGUCUAAUAUUAUAAAAUACCCUAAUAUAUGGUAAAUGUUCAUCUUAAAUGCAGGCAUAUCACAUAAAUCAAAGGACUUAUUGAUGAAUUCAACUACUGAAAUUUUGAAGAUAAAGAAGGGUGAAGCUUAGAAAAGAGACGUUGGUGCAGUCCAAACCGGAACACUACUAUUCGGUAAUUGGGUCAUAUCUCGAGUUCUAGAUAUCCAAAUGAUCUGAAAUUUUUACAGAGAUUUGAUAAGAUAUAGGCCUACAACUUUCAAUUGAACAUUAAGAUCUAAGAAGGCCGUUUUCAAGUCCAAAUUAUAGCAACAACGGAGAAGUCCGAAUCUGUCCUGCAGCCCAAACACUGUUCAGUGUUUGGCCCAUAUCUGAAGUUUUAGAAGUCCAAAUCACCUCCACUUUUUUUUCCUGGAAAGCUGAGUCAAUUUCCUACAACUUUCAUGCUUUCAAGUGGACCCAGUUCUGAUGCUAGCAUUUUCGUUUUAUUUAGACAAGAUGAUAAGGAUUUUCACUAAGUCAAAAGUUGGCCACCCACUCAACAAUGAGUCAUCAAAGCAAUAAUUCCGAAUUUUGGCCUAUAAAAGGAGGUAUUUGCCAUGUAUUUAGGGGCUUGGUUGUUCAGAUCAAGUUCAUGCUCUUUAUUUUUCUCUCUUUAUAUUUUUGUAAUUCUUAAGUUUUGCUUUCAUUAAUUUCUUGUUUAUGCUUUUCAUUUCCUUUCCUUUCCUUAGUUAACUUGUAUUUUAUUUAUGUUCUUGUUUUGUUUAUUUAUGUUUCUCUUCUUCAUUAUGUUUGGCUAAGUUUAUUAUGUCAAGGUGAAAAGGUUACACUAAUGGUGUAAGAACAAGUAUGGUAAACUCAAUAUGACCUUAAUGUUUAAUAUUAACAUGUCUUAUCUUUUUAUCUUACUAAUUCUUAAUACCUUGCUUGUUAAAUGGUUAAUCUAAAUUUGUGUUGUAUAAUACUUGGUACAACAAAUGCUUGGCACUCUCAUAGCCCAACCGUAUGGUAUUACCUACACCUGGGCUAUGAAAGGUACUUGAUUUGUUGUUAACAUCAUUAACAUCAUGAAUUCCUGUGAUAAUAUUUAAAAGUUUGGUGUUAUGUAAAUGAGAUAAUUAAUAUGAUCAUGUUAAUAAUUUAUAAUGAGCUAUUAAUGACAAAUCAUCCGAAUGGAACCUCCUUCGUGUGUGGUUUCCAAAUUGAGUAAUAAGAGUUUAUACUAUACUUGUUUGAAAUACCAUUGGUGGAUCCUCUAACCUUGACAUUUAUUUUUAUCAUUGUUUAAUCCUUACAUUAAUCUUCCAUCUCAAAGUUCUCAUUAAUUUCUUCCUCCUCUUCUUUUUAUUGUUAUUAUUAUUACUACUAUAUAUUAUAUUAUUAUAUAUAUAUAUAUAUUAUUAUUAUUAUUAUUAUUAUUAUUAUUUACAUUCUUGUUAUAUUUUAUGUAUGUUAAGUAUGCUCUGUGUUUGAUCAAGGAUCCUGACAUUGUUGGUCUUGCCUUGUUCAUUCGCAUCAGAAAUCUGUUUAUAUUAUAUAAUAUAUCUCUUUGAUCUUUCCAUAAACUCAGUAUAUAGGCUGGAAACCUGUGACCCGAUCUUUUAGAUCAUUCUCAGGUAUAACAACGUCACGUACUGAGUAUUAUUAUUAUUAUUAUUAUUAUUAUUGUUGUUGUUGUUGUUGUUGUUGUUAUUAUUAUUGUUGUUAUUGUUGCUAUUAUUGUUAUUGUUGUGUUGUUCUUUAUAAUUUAUACAAUUAACCUCUCUGUGGUUCGACCCGGGUCUUGCCAGGUUAUUUAUUACUUCGACACUCCUGCACUUGGGAGAAGACAUCAAUCUUUUGGUCGUGUCAGAGCUCAAAUCAAAUCAGCUUAGUGGGUUUCUCUCAAGGAUUUUAAACAACAGGACAAACAACUUUCUGAAGAUUUUAAAUGUAUCAGAUUUUAGGCACAAUCCCGAAACUAAUUAAAGGAUUAAGCUUGAAGGUUCUAAAUCCCAUAACAACAUUCUCAUAAUUAAAUCAAUAAAUUGAGGUGAUAUUUUGAACUCACAUCCUUAUUUUCAACAUUAUUACCCUCUAAGGCCACCUUACCCUGCCUUAAGCUUAGUAGCCUUAUCCACAUAAGGCGUCUUCUCCUGAAACAAAUCGAAAUCAAAAGAUAACAGUUAUAGACCACUCUCAUUGUUCAAUAGCUUAUAAGUGUCUACCAAUGAUUUAUUGAGAGAGAGAGAGAGAGAGAGACCAACACUCAUUUCAUCAGUCAUUGAUUUCCAUCUCUCACCACCUCCCUUUGCAACCUGAAUUUCAUCAAAUACAGCAUUAGCAUUACUAUACUCUUUCCUAAGAUAACCCCUUACAAUUAUUAGUAUAUCAACCUGAACAACAUAAUAAAAUUGAAAAUGACAAAACUGCAUUACGUUUCAUUUAUCUUCUUAACAUCCUUAGAAUGCGAGUUGCCUUCCUUGUACUCUUUUCUAAAAUCAUCUCUAAUUAAAGAGCUACACACAUCAAUACAAAUCCCACUCCCCGUAUUCACACAUUAUCAUGAUCACAUUAUAUUACACCACACAAAUAAGCAACAAAAGGCAUUACAUUAGGAGAAAGAAAGUAAUGGGAGGUCGUUUCAGUGCAUUUUGAUCCUUGCCCUUCUCCUCUUUAUUCUCUUUCUUCGCUUUCGGCUCUGUCAAGGUUGUUGUCUUCCUACAAACCAAAUCAUAACAAACAAUCAGUUGAUUAAUCAGAUAGCAAAACAAAAUUAGUGCCUCUUAGCAUCAAGACUACAUUACGGAACUUAACUAACUAAAAUUCAUCUUGAUUUUAGCAUAAGCAGUUCUUUUCCCCAUGUAUCUCCAUCCCUUUGUUUAUACUUUUAGAAGAUUUUGAGGGAAGGGUUUUUUACUUCUUUUGCAUAAUCACAAUUGAAUUGUAUUUACUUUUGAUCUUCAGGUAAUUAAUUUUUUAGUGAUAAGUGUAUUUUAUUUGAAAAUGUUUCCAUUUGCUAUAGAUAGAUGAUUUUGAGGCUAGUUUAUGGACUAUUCGACUUAAGAGGGUGUUUGUAAUUUGUGGGUUUCGGCAAGUCACCGAUUAGGUGGCUGAUUGGAUUGAGGGGUUGCGGGUUUGGAUGUAUUAGCUUUCAUUGUUAUGAUUUAUUUACGAGAGUUAGUGAAAGUCUGAAACAAAGAAGACAAUUUACUUGCAUGAAAGUCUGACAUAAAAAAGAUAAAAGGCAUGCUCAGUAUAAACAAGAUAUGUCACAACCCGAUUUUUUGAUCCAUGACCGGCAUACAGGCAAGAUUUCCUUUCAAGGUUCCAUACUUAUACAAACUCAAACUUACAUACAAACUUAUUUAUUAAAUAACUCAAUUAGAGUUCAACGCAACAAUAACAUCAAAACAAACUUCAUAAUAUAAUUGAUUGUUUUAAUACAAGAGUUAAUAUAAAUUCAUAGUUGUGGGGCACUAACUAGACAUAAAACAAAAGUACAAAUUACUACCAAAAAAGCAGGUUCUGAAGAUCCAACAAAAACGACUCACUAACAAGCUAUAAGACUGAAAAGAUAAAUAAUGAGAGAGUGAGUUCAACAACUCAUUGAGUAAAUAACGUUCAAUAUACACACACGAGAUGAUACAAUAAUGAGGAAUUUAUAUACAAUUAUGGUUUUAAGUUAUUAUAGGAAGGUUUCUCAAAUAGGUCAUAACAAGAAUAUCAUAAGGUAAAGCUCAUCACAAAAUCAAAGUGCAAUAAACAUGAGGCUCCGUACUGUUGAAUGAUGAGUGCACACAGGUUGGUCACUACUCCGACCAAUUUGGGUUUAGAUACGAUGUACACAAAGGCUAACACUACCCUGUCAGCAUGGAUAUUCUGACUGGCAUACCAUAGGUUCAUAAUCAUAAUCAAUGCUCAACUCAUGACAUCAAUCAAAUGAGGAGCUAUCAUUUCAUAAGUCAAUUAUAUAUUAUCAAGAAGCAUGAUCCAAUUCUUUUUAACAACUCAAGUAUCUAUAAUAUUUCACAUGAUAUGGAAAAUUAUCAACUCACCUUACUGGAAAGCAAACAGAACUUGAAAGCAAAUACCGAAGGAAAUCCUACUAAUAUCCCGCUGGUAGAAUAUCAGGAUUAUCUGAAUAAAAAAAAGACAUAUUCAAAAAUGACUCGAAAGAGCAUACAACCUAUUUAAUACACUUAACUAAGAGUCUAUUUCAUAACCCUAUAUGUUUUGAACUAAACUAGUUAUUUUUCCUAUAAACCUGAAAAUUAUAUGGUUUCCAGAAAUCUAAUUCAUAAGAAAAUAAAUAAUAAGACUUGAUAAUAAUAUACUAAAUAACCCUCAAAUAUUAAUCAAACCAAUAAAAAAAAGCUAAUAUUACAACUAGGGAUUGUAAGACCCAAACUUUUGGCCAAACCUAAGCCCAAGUCAACCCAAACCCAACCUAAGUUAACCUAGGUAUUUAAGGAAGAGUUGCAAGAGAAUUACUUUCUCUCUUCUAAUUCUUGUAGCCGUCGUGACCCUCCUCCCUCAAACCUAAGAUUUUAGUUUUUGAUCUUGAGUUUUCGGUUCAAGAAAGGUGAAAUAGCAAGUAAGUGAUUCUCUUUCAUAUUACUUUUGAUUAUAGUUUGUUUAUGGAAUGAUUAAAGAAGAGAUUAGGGUUUAUAAAGUUUAGAAGUUUAUGUUGUUAAGAUUGAUUUAUGAUUAUUAAGGGUUAAUUUAAUAUUAGGUGAUUAAUUAGUAUGUUGUUAGAAAUAAGAAUUUGUGAGUUGAUUUGUUUAAAUUAAUUCUUAUGGGGUUAAGAAAUUCAUUUUUACCUUGCUGGAAAAUCUGGACAGAAUGGUCUUGAGGUUGAAGAUGACCAAAUUUUAUUUUGGUCCUUGAUUUAUGAAAAUUUCAGUUUAGUCCCUAAACUUUGGAAAAAUUACAAUUUGACCCCUAAAUAUAUUUUGAGAUUCUGGACAGUGUUAUUAUGAGAUUAAGGAUAUGAAUCUUAGUUUGAUAAAUGAUUUGGAAUAUUUCCAAUUUGUCUCUAAAUUUUAGGAAUUUACAUUUUAGUCCCUAAACUUUAUAAAAUUACAGUUCGGUGCCUGGUUCGUUCUAGAAAGAUUUAAGGAUGGUUUAUGGGUGAAAUUUCAGUAUGGUUAUGUAUUUAUAGUUUGGUCUAGUUUUGGUAAAAUUACGUUUUGGUCCCUAUUUUGGAUAAUUGUCGUUUUAGUCCCUAAACUUAGGAGACUAAACCUGGUUUUAUUUUAUGCAUUGGAAUCUUUUAUUUGUGUUGCUUUGAGUUGCUUUUGAGUAUAUUUCAUAUAUUUAUUGUAGGUUCUCCUAACGAUCCUCAAUAGGUUUUUCGGGUCUUUCAUCUGAUAUUCCUUUUAGUUCUAUAUUUUUCGGGAGUGGGAUAAUCUUUAAUAUGCAUAUAUUAUAAAUAAAUAUGUAUGUUGAUUAUACAAUGAGUACAACUAGUUAAUUUCUUGAAUAUUUAUAUAUGUUGCUUUAUUUUCCGAGUACUCAUUUAUUCUUGAAUUUGCACUCGCAAUCUUUCGAACUAAAUUCUAUUUGAUAUGAUAUACGUUUCUUUGAUGAUUCUGUAAAUACUAUUAUGCCUUGAUAUAGGACUUGUCAGUAACUCCAUGCUAACGGAGAGUAGUUAGCCUAUGUGCACAUAGUAUUCUGUAUACCUAGCUGGUGAGAGAGGCAUCAGCCUGUGGCGACUGAUCAUCCCAUAGUGGUCACCUUCGGGUGUCAUCUGAUCUCUGACAUGUAUUCCACUACGUUAUGAUAAUAUGUUUAGUAUGUAUAUGUAUAUGUAUAUGUAUAUCAAGAUAAAUCAUCUUGCAAACUAUUAAUAUCUAAAAUCUAAAAUGUAUAUUAAAUAUUAUUCCCUCACUGAGUUGAUUGAACUCACCCCUCAUUCUUAAUAUUAUUUAAAUUUUAGUUUCUGAAAGCAGUUGGACCUUGUUAGGUGUUUCCGCUUCUUCAAUUUUGGUCAGUAUGCCUUGCUUGUUCUGCGAGGCUUUCUUUUAGUUUUGAUUCGAUGUCUUAGACACUCCACCAUUAUCUUGUUUUAAUUAAGUUUGGAUUUUGACAAUGUAAUGAAUAUUAUGGAUUAUUAUUUUGUUUUAAUUACUAAUAAGGAGUUUUAAACUAUAUUUUGGUUUUAUCAGUUUUGAAUAAUAUAAUAUUUCUGAAGAUUAUAAAAUGCUGCGUAUUUUUGAAUAAAUUGUUAUUUUUGAUAUGUAUGUUAUGAGGCUUAGCGUAGGUGAGGUGUCCUUUCGACAUCGCUCCUACGUUGUCGAUCAUGGACCUGGGAUUCGGGUCGUGACAGGGACCAAUCUAGAAUUUUAUUAAAUUUUAGGGCUCAAAUUGUAAUUUAGUCAAUUUCAAGGACCAAAGUAAAAUUGUCAUAAAUCCAUGACUAUACUGGAAUUUUUCCCAUAAUUCAUCCUCAAUUCUGUCAAGAAACUCUAAUUAUGCUCCAGGGACCAUUCUGGAAUUUUAUCAAAAAUUUUAGGGUCAAAUUGUAAUUUUUGUGAAAUGGAAGGGCCAAAUUGAAAGUGUUAUAAUUCAUAACUAUACUGGAAUUCUGCCCAUAAUUCAUCUUUUCUUCUAUCCAGAAUCUCAUAUUACGUUCCAGGGAUCAAUCUGUAAUUUUUCAAAAUUUAGAAACUAAACUGAAAUUUUCACAAAUUGAGAGACCAAACUGAAAUUUCAUCAUCUUCAGCUAAGGGUGAUCAUUUUCGGUUUGGUUUUUGUAAAGAAAAGUAACCAAACUAAUUUUUUUAAAAAAACCAAAACCGGUUCAAACCGAUCGGUUUCGAUUCAGUUCGAUUAUUUUAGAACAAAAACUGGUUUUUUCGGGUUUUUUCGGUUUUUUGGUUUGGCUCUGUUUUUUCGAUUUGGCUAGGGUUUUUUUUCCGGUUUAGGUUUGGUUUUUUUGAUUUCAUGCUUAUAAAACCGAGCCAAACCAAACCAAUCGAUUUUUAAAAAAUUCUAAUUGGUUUAAUCAGGUUUUUUUUCACGGUUCAGUUUUUUUUGUUAUUUUUUCUGGUUUUCUUGGUUUAAUCAGUUUUUUGAUUUUUUUGCUCACCCUUAUCUUCAACUUCAAACCCAGAAUUUCCACAUAAAACCUAUUGUUAUAUCAAGAUUUCUAACUCAAAUUCACAAUUUAAACAAAAUCAUAACUCAAAAUCAUCAUCUUUACCUACAAUAUUCUAAAAUCAACUAAAUAAUUUAUUAUCCAUAACAUUCAAAUCAAUUCAUCAAUCAAAUCGAAAACAAAAUUUUCAAAACCCUAAUAUUCAACAAAAUAGAAUUCUAAAGCUAAAAAAACAUAUUAUACACAUCGAAGCCUUUUAACUUAUUUUCUUUAAUUCCCUUCUCCUUCCUUUAUCUUUCUCUCUUUUAUCUUCUUCUUCUCUUCUCCCGUCACUCCCUCUUAAUUUUCAAAUCCCUCUUUCUUUCUUUUUUUCUAUUUAUAGUUAUCAAGUUUUAUUCUAUUAUCACAAUAUCCUUUAUUCAUUUAUAUCUACUUCUAAGCCUCCAAGAACUUUGUAGCCUUUUCCUACUCUCAUUUAUUUAUAAAUCUCACAAGUUAAUUAUAUAGUGAAAUAUACUAAAUACCUCAGCUAUGAUCAGUCUUGGAUGAAUCCACGUUGAUAAAAUUUGCCCAAUUCCGCUAGCUGUCCUUCAAAAAAUAUUAUAUAGUUAUUCUGAGAAGAAAUUUUUAUUUAAAAAAAAAAGAGUAUCUGAAACUUAUAACUUGUAAGCUGUCUAGGCUUUAACUCUAACUGAUAUAAAAGAAUUAUAAGUAUACAUGAUUUAUAAACCCUACAUACAGUGAUCAGUUAAGAACUUUUUGGCACAAAUAUUGAAAAACAGCAUUGCCAAUGGUAGAGACCUUCAAUCCUUGUCGUUUAAGGUUCGUGAAAUAUUGCUGUUUUUUUGACAAGUUGCAGGCAGUUUCCAGUUCCCUAUACGUUCGUGGCGUGGCUUGUACAUAGGAAACGUGUCUCCUUGUAGGAGUUUCUCGUACUGUGAGGUAUCCUGCAUGCUUCUUUCCUUUCUGAGUUUGUAAACAUGUUAAACACCACCACUUCUCAGUUCUUGCAUUCAUCAGCUUCUUCUAAUGCUAAAAGUGAAGAAGUCAAGACUAAAAGUGAAGCCCAGGUUGAGAUUCAGGUUUUGUCUCUCUCUCUCUCUCUCGUAUUUUAUUUAUGGAACUUAUUGUUAUCAAUAUAGUACUCACGAGUGGUUUUAUUUAUGGAAAAACUGAAAAAUUAUGUAGGAAAGUGCUGAAAUAUUCUUCUUCUAUAUAUAUGACGUUCAACAUUUGUACUUGGUUCUAAGGCCAGAGUCUGGAGAGAGAGCGGUUGAGGAGAAAGCACCCCAAUCUGGCUUUAAAUUUCAGCAGUAUUGAUCAUGAUGGUGGAAGUAGUAGUGCUUCACAAUGGCUCGAGCCAGGGCAUGGAAGCCAGUUAAUUAAUUGUAAUAUAUUGUCCAAAAAUAUGUGUUUAGUAUAUAAUAUGCAAGUUCUUUCUCUCAAAGUUUUACAAUAGAGCUAGUAGUUAGAGCAAUGAAUGUGCUUUCUUUUUCUCUUGGAUUGUAGGUAGUGAACAAUGAAAAAGAGCCCUUGUUUGAGAUUGAUAGAAGAAAUGGGAUGUAAAAGUCUUCCAGAAGUCAGCAUUGAAUUUUGUUGCAGUUUCAUGGACAUCAAUUUGAUCAUAAAUUUUGAUUACCUGUUGCAUCUCAGAGGAAUAUGACACUGCUGCAACAAGAGGGCUCCGACACAAGUAUCCAGCAAGAGCAUUAGGAGAAGGCAUUUAUCGGAUACCAAGGCACAAAUCCAGGCAAGAGAAUGCAUGCUCAUUUGGUGUACAAGCUAGAGUUGCCAUCAAAAGACAAGGAAAACGAGCCUCAAGAGUCGCUUAACAUCGAACGUGAGGGCUCAUUUAUAAUUCACAUAAGGAAUCCCGAUCAACAUGGUGGCAGUUCCCAAUUUACAAUUGUAAACACAGGAGAGGAAAAGGUAGUUGCAAAUGUCUGCAUGAAUUCUAGCAUGCCAGAGAAGAAAUCCUUUUGCUGCCAUCUAAAGAUGGCUUCUCUAGCAGUCCGGAUGCCAAGACCACCCUUAUAAUUUUCCCUGGCAUCACCUUUACUAAACAUCUAGAUCAAAGAAGCAACUUGCUAAUUUGUUAAUAUACCCACAAAUCCUCCUAGCCAGCCAUGCUCAUACUUCAUAGUAUAGAGCGGAAUUGAUGGCAGCACCAGUGGGAGUGGAGUGAAUUGAAGUAUUCCAGGCACCUAAUUUACUGUGAGCUGCAAAACAACGUGGACAAUUGGAGGGUGAUGUGGCAAUGAAGACUUGAAUACACUUUAUUUUAAGAAGAAACUCAAUUUUGAUAGAUUGGAAACAUUAGAACAUAACUGUUUAUCUCAUCUUGUGUGUUUGGUUUUCAUCUACUCAUCCUAUUCCCCGAGUUCCCCUACAUUACUCUAGGGUCCUUUAACUAAUGUUAACAAACAUUAAAUGACACCUCCUUCCCUUAAGCAAAGAGCAGAUCAAUGAAAAAGGAAAAGAAACUAACCUGGAUUUAACGACACAGCAGGAACAGUGCAUAAAAAGGCAGGAGCACCAACCAAGUUAAGGUCAAAAUAAAGUUAUGGGCUGACCACUUGUUAGGAAGCUUUCUUGACGUAAGCUUAAAAAAAUAUAAGAACCAAAUCGAAAUGAGAAAGGACAGACACAAACCUGGAACAAAAAACAUUGCAGGUAACAGCGGACGCCGGACGAAGUUUCAGCAGACCUAACUAAAGCGCUGAAGCUGUCAGUACACCCUUUUUUUCACAAGCUGUGAACUAAAAAAGCAGCAAAAUCCUUAAAAGAAAAGCGAAGAAACUAGUCUGUAGAGACAGGUUCUAAAGAAACAGAACAGCAGAAGUCCAAAAAAGAUGGACCCAGGCAAAGUCGAUAACGACACCAUUUGAGAAAAACAUUUAGCUAUACGAAAAUGAAUGCAGUGAAGGAAAACCAUACCUGCUUAAGAACCAGCUGAAGGGUCAUAUAACCCUGACAAAGGCUAUUCGAUCGUGCCUAGUCAAAGGCAAUCAAACACACACAACAUUCCUAAACUCAUCAUAAAACCACUAAUCAAAAAUAGGAGGAAGCUCAGACAUGCUCUUAAACCUGAUCAAAAAGUGCUUCCCAAAAAAGAAAAAGAAAAAAAAAGAAAUCAGCAGGGUCUCUGAAAAGAAACAAAACUACGAAUCAUAGACAAUAAUCGCAAAUCACGAACUGGAGCAACAUUACGCAGCCAAAUACAUGGAACAUCAGGUGGUUGCGCCAGCAAAAGGUCGUCAAAAGAACCGAAAUCCUGAGAAAGAAAGCAGAAAAUAACACCACUGAGCUAAAUUCAACUAUAAAUAAAUGAAUAAAUUCGGGACAAUACAUGGGAAAAAAACUUUCAAAUGAAAAUGGGUGAGAAAAAGCAAUGGAAACCUGGAAGAUAAUAAAAAACCAACGACGGUAAAUUGAAUUCCAAUAGAGCUACACCACUGUGCAGAAGAGAGAAAGCAGGAAUGCAAAACCAUGUAAAGAAAAGAGAUAGAUUAGCAUAGCGACUCAAAUCAAGCUGAAAAUUCAUACCUAAACUCUCAUCAAUCAAAGUUGAUGCAAGAUGCACUCCCAUUGGUGGCUUCAAUUGAGAGGGAAGGGCAGGGCGGGAAACCAGGUGAAGAGAGGCAGAGUAAAGGCAGAUGCAAAAUGAGUUGAUGAGUCAAACGCAAUAGGUAGCAGGCCCAAGCAAAAGAAACAAAUAGCCCAAUAAUAAAAACAAUCAUGCUCCCAGCCCAAAGCCCAGCAACAUCACCAAAACAGAUGGAUAAAAGGCCAGGCAAGAUAAGUUGACCGUGAGGCAAAAUGGACUGCUGCUCCAAAUUUCCAAUGAUUGAAUAGAGACACGUGUCUUAUGCCCAGUAGAUUCACUAAUCCUUUUAUUAUUUUUUGUUAUAAAUAUAAUUAAAAUUAAAAAAAAAACUAGUUAAGGUUGUUUUUUUGUUGUUAAUGAUCCAAGCGUGUUUUAUUUUAUUUUUGAUGGUUUGUGGUAUAUAUUAUACAAUACAUCGAAAGAGAUUUUUUUUUUUUUUUUACCAUGAACUGUCUCAUUUAACAUUGGCAUUGCUUUUUUUAAAAAAAAAAUAUUUCACUUUGAUUUUUUGAAUUUUUAUUUUACAUGAUUUGGUACCUUUAAGCCCAAAUCAAAUUUCACCUUGAAAAGAAAAAAUAGUUGUUGGAAAAGAUUUCAACUACCAAAACAAUUUCGACCAUCAAAAAAUUCUAUAUAAUGAGGGGUUAUAAUUAGAUGUUUGUUUAUCUUGAAAACACCAAUAAAAAUAGAUCUAAGCUUGGGAAGAUUUUUAUUUUUAGUGGAUUUCGAGUUUUUGGCAAUUUUUUGAUGGCCAUGGACUAGUUCAAUGAGGUUUAUAAGGUGUUUCCAAGGUAUUUUUGGUCAAAAAUAGAUUAAAAAUCAGUUUUUUAGUAAAAAUAAUAAAGAACCCAAUUUUCCAACUGCCAACCUGCCACAUUAACUAGAUUUUGGAUUGUAUAAAUAAUAUGUUAUCUACUGCUACAAACGAUACAUAAUUUUUUUAAAAAAAUAUUUGGGACGGAUAACACAUUCACCCCCCUAUUAAAUUAAAAAAAAAAAGGUUCAUAAUCAGGUUUGGCAUUGCAGGCCAGUUGCUUUAUUGGGCAAGACUUAAAGGUGGUUAGCCUGUUUGAGAGUGUGAUUGUAGUUAUUUUUCAAAGUGUUUCACUUGAGAAUGCAUCAAAAUAAUUUUAAAAUAUCAAAAAAAUAUUAAUUUGAAGCAAAUAAAAAAAUUAAAAUUUUUUAAAGCGUUUUUGAAAUACAAAACAAAUUGAUAACUGAUGUUAAUGGUUAUAAUUGGUUAUCAUCCUUGACCUAGUUUACUACUAGAAGAAGAAGAAGAAGAAGAAGAAGAAGAAGAAUAAAUAGAAAAAUUAAAAAGAAAUAGCAUUUUAAAAAAAACAGCCAAAAAAAAGACAAAUAACAAAGAAAUAACUUGGUUAAUUUUGAUUACAAGGAGCUAAAUAAAAAGCUGCUGCGAGCCAAAUGUUCUCCAAAGUGCAAUGGAAGAAGCAAACUUUUCAAAACCAAUAAUGCUUGGGACAGAAAAACGACACUCCUUUCUUGGAUUCAUUUAUCUAGUAAUAUGGUUAAUAAUUGAGGGUAUAAUCAAUGGCGGAGCUAGGAAAUUUUUUUAUCUUGGGCUAUAAAAUAUUAUUAAUCCUCCCUUGUUGUAAAGCUAAGUUAGAGUUUGGCAAUUCUUACUUGCUCUUGAUGGUUUUGUAUUCUUGUGACUCUCUGUUUAAAUUCUUCUUCAAAACCUAAACUAAGACUUGAUGUUGUUGAGAAUUAGAAAAAAAAUUAAAAUUCCUUGGUGUUUCUCGAGUAUUAAUAAAGGUAAAAGAGUGGAUUUUUAAUAAAAUGAUAGAAGAAAACUUUUGCAAGGAGUGGGUUUUUAUAGAAAAAUAAAAGGGAAAGUUUUUAUUUUUUAUUUUAACGGAUGCGUUUAUAGAAGACAGCGUGCCUCCUAUUAGAAUUCGGGGUGGAGCCCCGAAAUUUUUUUUUUUUGCACAAAAUCCAUAAAGUUCUGCAUAUAAAGCUCCAAAUAAAAUUUAGUUAAAAUAACAAAAACACAACUAAAAUUAACCCUACAAAUAUGCUCCAAAUAAAAUUUAGUUAAAAUAACAAAAACACAACUAAAAUUAACCCUACAAAUAUGCUCCAAAUAAAAUUUAGUUAAAAUAACAAAAACACAACUAAAAUUAACCCUACAAAUAUGCUCCAAAUAAAAUUUAGUUAAAAUAACAAAAACACAACUAAAAUUAACCCUACAAAAACAUAUAGAACUUAACUACAACAUGAUUCCUAAAAAAAAGUAACAGACAAAUUAAAGCUCUUGGCAUUAGCUGCACUUGCAAUCCUAGAUCAUAGAUCAGCACACUCCUUUUCAAUUGGACCGGUAAUUGCUGAGCCUUCAUUUCUCCUUUGGGGUUCACAAUGACACUUGGCCACUUGAGAGAAUGUCUUCUGCGUCCAAACUCUCUGCAGCCAAACUCACGCCAUACGCAGCUGCCUCUGCAGGAUAUUUAUUGUUCAAAGGUUUUAGACACUCUUAAAAUAACUAAAUCAGAAGGCAAGCCGUUCAAGCGACCCUUAAUUCCCUUCACAGAUAUAAUGUAAAUAUUAUGCAGGAGAGUAUUAAGUUUUUUAAUAAAUUUUUUUUUUUACCUAGGCUACAGCCCACCUUAACCUCCUAUACUCCUCCGCCCUUGGGUAUAAUGGUUAUGUCCGGUACCAUAUUACUAUUAAAAAAAAAAUUCUGAGUUUUUGUUAAGUUUAUUUAUUUUUUUAAUAAAUAAAGUCUAUACUAACUACUAACACUACUUUCUUGGAUUCAUUACAUGUGUCAAGAGGAUAUAGCGUGAGGGAGGGACCCUAUGCUUUAAAGUUGUCACCACACUUAGAUGGAUUUGGACACGCAAGAUAAGAAGGAAGGGUCAUUUUCUUCACCUUGAUUUGUGGAAGAUGUUGCCAGGUGCAGUCAAUCAAAGAGGGAGGGACCCCCUGUUUUGAAUUUGAAACCAUAUCUCAUCAUUUCAAAACAUACUUUAUUUCGAUUAUUUGAAAAUAUAUUAAUGGUUUUUUAAAAGUAUUUCUUAUUUUAAAAUAUAUAUUUUUAUUUUUUAAAAAUUAUUUUUAAUAUUAAUACUUCAAAAUAAUUUGAAAAUAUAAAAAUAUAUUAAUUUAAAAUAAAAAUAAAUAAAAAAUUUUCAAAUAUUUUAAAAAUUGCUUUUCAAAUAUAAUCACAAACAUUUACUUCAUCUUCCUGAGUGUGAUUGUUGGUUUUAGAGGUUAGUUUUGUGUAUGAAAUUCAUAAUUAAAUUUAAAAAAAUAAUUUAAAAAAUAAUUUUUAAGUUUAUAAUUAAAUUCUAUCUAACCUCAACAUCAAUCACAACUUCUAAAAGAAAUACACACUUUAAAUGAAUUGAUCAAAUCCUUUUUAAAAAAAAAUAAAAAAAAUUUAACAUAAUAUUUUUUUAUAUAUAUUUUCACAUUAUUUUUAUUUUAAAUAAUUAUAAAUAAUAAAUAAUUUAAAAACAACUUUUAUUUAUUCUCAAAUAACUAGUUUCACACCAUACUUCUUUCUGUCCAGACUUAAUAUUAUUUUUUAUUUUAUUUUUAAACAUCAAUAUUCAUUAAUAAUGUUUUUUAAUUUAACCAGACAUUUAUAUUCAUUAAUAGCUUUUUUUUUCAUUGUUAUUUAGGCAUAGCGGUGAAACUCAUGGUAAUUGAACAUUUAAUAUUUUUCCAUUCUUGGGUAAUUUUUUAUUUUAAUUAUUAUUAGAGGCUAAUAAUUGAAUGAAUGUUGUGAUUUGUGAUAAUUUAAUCAGGAAUGGUUGCAUGAGGCUGUAAAGUAUAAAUUCCACAUGAGGGGAGGAGUAAAUAUUGUGAAAAUCACUAAAGUUAAUAAUUCAAAAACAAAACCAUUUACCUGAUCAAAAUGAGAUUAGUAUUUAUGAGAUUAAUUAUUAAUUAAGAGGUGAGUUUGUGUCAAACUAAAUUCAAACAAGUUUGAUAAUUUUGAUGAGAAAUCAAAUGUAAAUCAUUGCUUAACAUGAAAGAAAUGUUUUUCUUUUCUAUUCAGGUUUUGUUUAUAUAUUAGAAUUAAAAAAAUAUAUUAUAAUAUGUGCUUACACCAUUUUCUUGUGUAAAAAUCUGCUUUAGUUUCACUAAUAUAAAUUGGGAGCCUUGAAGGAGUAGUUGACACCUGACUUCAAGCGACAAAUCUGGUCAGCAAAAAAAUAUAAAAUUAAUUUAUAUAUUAUAAGCAAACAAGAUUACCGUUGUUAGGUUCUUUUUUCUCUUCUUUAUUACUUCACCUCUUAUUUUUAAUUUUUACUCUUAAAUUAAUUAAAAUAUAAAUAAUAAACCAAUAAUAUAUAUAUAUAUAUUACUUUUCAAAUUGUAAUAUUUAUUAAUCUGCAAAAAAUUAAACUAAAUACAGUAUGCCGACAGAGGCGUCUGUGGGAUUUUAUUAGCCAUGGCAUGAUAGAUUGACACUGGUGGUUCGUGAAAGAUGCUGCUAAUAGCCAUCAAUCAAUUAGUAUAGGGAGGAAGGGACCCUCAUGCCACUAUGGUCUGAAGUUGAAUGUAUCUCAUCAUUCCAAAACACACUUCAUUUCAUCUUUUAAUAUUUCACACCAUACUUCUCUCUCUCUUGUGCUCAAAAUUUCUUUUUUACAACCAAAAGAAACUACUCUUUAUUUUUAUUUUUUUUGUAAUUUGUAUUUUUUUAUAUAUCCAGUUAAUGCUUCACAAUUAUAAAUUUAUAAUUAGUGUGAAACCUGCUUACUUUCAUCACAAUACGUUAACUCUGGUCAUAUAUAUAAAGAAAGAAUAAUUGGCUGUAAGAUUAUAAUGACCAGCUAGCUUACUCCAAAAUACAAACAUCCAAGAAAAUGCAAUUAACUGUGUUUUUUUUUAAAUCCUGUCAUUAUCAAACUCAACAACUUGCUUCAUUAAAAAAAGAAAAACAAACAAUAAAGAAAGACUUCGGCAGAGAGUAGACACAAAGUAAUUUUUUAAAAUGAAGGACCCGAGCAAUAGGUGGGUUCGCACAAGAACAAGACAGAUAAUUAGUGUGAAACCUAAUUGCCAGUUGUGACCACCCAAUUAAGACAAAAUCAUUAUUAGGUAGACUAUGUUAAGAAUAUCAUAAAUCAGUUUUCUGAUAUAGGUUGGGGUGCCCGGUGAUUAAUGUCAAUUUCAGUAAUUAUUUUAGUUUUCUAAUGAUGUUCAUGAAUAUCCAUAGUUUAGCCAGACCAAAAAAAAGAAAAAAAAGAAUUGCAGCAGAAAGCAAGGGGGCAUCUCGCAGUAUCACAUGGCAAACACUUCUGUAAACUAUUAAUAUGGUCAGGCACAUCAGGGUGCGGUGCUACUGCUACCUAUGUAUUAGCACAACACUCGAACAAAAGUCCAUCGGCAAAGAAAACCUAGCUAAAAACAGGGGUUAGUUCAUGUGAUUCUGGAAAACGCAGCCACCUUGAGUGUUUUUCUUUAUAUGAAAUCAAAUACAAAUAUGAUAUCAAAUAAGUUCAAAUAAACAUGGAUCAAUAAUAAUUAAUCUGAUUAUUGACAAUUAAUGUGUUAGGGGUGAUCACAUCGGAUGCGCAGGUCGCAAGCUCUCUUGUCUGCCAUUUUUUUUGUCGCGUUUGAGAAAUAUAAUUGAGGGCCUUGAACAAGUAGUGAAUGGAUGACUUCAUACUGCAAUAAUACUAAAUCAGAUGACAAAUCUCAUCACAUUGAUUGAAAAAGUCGAAUCCUAGAAAGCAACUGGCCGGCCAUUAGAAUACUUUAACUCAAACAUAUGUUUAUAUAAAGAAAGACUUCGCAGAAGACUGUACGUAAGAUUUGGAAAUGCAAUUAAAUAUGUUUGUUUUUUUUUUUUUUAAAUCAUUUCCUUAACAACUUGCUGCAUCAAAAAGAAAGAAAGACUUGGAAGAAGACUUAUAAAUUAUUAUUUUUUAAAUAACAUAAGACAGAGAGGCGAAUGUGUAAUUUUGUCAGCCGUGGCAUGACAAAUUAACAUACGCAGACGACGAAAGGUAUAGCAAUAUCCUUAUGCAGGUGGGAUCUCUCAUUUUCAUCAAAUAAGAAAGUGGAGUCUUAGAAAGGUCUUGUUUCAUGGCGGAGGUGGAACAUUCAUGUUUGGCCUUUGCAUGAUGUUCUGUAGCUAAAAUUGUAGUGAGAAAUUGACGAAAAACGUAAAAGGAAAAAUCUGCAAAAUACAAUAUGCCGACAGAGGCGUAUGUGGAAAUUUCUUAGCCAUGGCAUGACAGUAGUGGUUGGUGGAAGAUGCUGCCAACAGCCAUCAAUCAAUUAGUAUAGGUUGGAAGGGAGCCUCAUGGCACUGUCUCUGCUUUAUUGUUGGCCUUACUGAAUUUGACAUUAAUCAAUUAGUAUAGGUAUAGCCAUCACUAAUUUAGCAUGAACAGUGCAGCAUGGCUACACUGUUUACGUGAACAGUGUAGCCAGUAAUUUUAUUCAAGUCUAAAUUGCAGUGUUGAUGUGAUCUGAGCAAGGCAUUACAGCCUCUCUAUUAAGUUUUUCUCCACUGAUAUAAGAUUUGCACGCACAAGAAGAAAAUAGCAACUUAAUUAGUUGAAGUAAAUUCAACAGCCUCUACAAACUCAUUCCAACCUCAAAGUCGAUUUUAAUUCAUCCAGAAAGUUUUAGGAACUUCAACAACUCUUGAAAACUAAACUGUAAUUCCAGGUCUUUAUUUCUUUUUUGGACCCUUUCAUGGAUGUCACCAUCAUUAAUAGACUCCUCUCUCUAGAAGUCUUCAUCUAUUUUUUAUAUUAUAUCAAACAUUAUACGUAGAGAUAUAAAUGAUCCAAAAAUCAUGUAAAUUUCUUGUUUUACACUAUGGAUCUGAUGAGGACUCAGGUGGAGCAGAAAUCAGCGGAAAAGAAUCGGCAGCAGCGCAGAGUGUGUGCAUGAGUCCUUGUAAGGGUGAAUAUGCAGCUGCUAUAAGUCGGCAACCAGAGGGAGUUUUCUAGUGAUAAUUGGACAGAGAGAAAGAAGAAGAAUUCUACAAGUAACAGGAGAAGAGAAGUCCAUAAAUAAGAGACUUUAUAUAGGGGUAGAGUAGAUCUUUGAGUUAAGGUGCUGAUAUUGCAGGCAGAUGCUAAAUAGAACAACAACAAAAUAAAAAAAAGAAGAAGAAUUAAAUGUAGACUACAACCUUACAAGUUCAAAGUGCUACAUCUUCCACACAAAUAAUGAUGGGAAGACGUUCAUCCAUAACAGAAUUAAAUGUAGACUAGAGAAUGAACUAUUUGUUGAUCAUAAUAAAUCAUAGGCUGGUCAGGAUGCAGUCACUAAUAAAAUUCUAUUGCUUCCAGAAAAAUAACACAGAAUGAUUAAUUUUUUAAAAUAAUAUAUAACGAUGUAGUAUGAUUAGAUUGAUUGUUUUUAUGUGUUAUCUCUCCCUCCUGCGUUUUGAUAUACGUCUUGCUUAGUUUACAUGAAAAAUAUGUAGUAAAUACAAACUCUGGUAAAAGAAAAAAAAGUUGUUUAUUAUUUUGUAUGAAACAAUUUAGCUACGUUGACAUAAUAAUAAUAAGUUUCAAGCUUUGUAUUCAUUUAUAUAAAUCAACAAUUCAAAAAAGAAAUUACUAAUUAAGAGUUCAAACUAAAUUCACAUAAAUUUGAUGAGAAAUCAAGUUUUGCUAUGAAAUGGAAACCAUUAUCUAACAUUAAAAGAAUAAUAUUUUUUUCUAUUCAAGUUCAUACUAUUCUUUUUUCUAAACUUUUAAAAAAAUGGAGCAUAAAGUUUUUUUUUAGCAAUAUCAUUAAAUCCAAUUAAAUAGUUUAAUUUUGAAAUUUAUUAACCUAGUUCAUUGCCUAGCUCAAAUUUUAAAUUACAUCAGGUGAAAACUGAUCUAAAAAUAAAUUAUUUAAUUUGAUGAGUUCAAAAAUAAUUUAAAUAACCUGUAAAAAUAUGAUAUAAUUUUUAAAAGAACUUUAUGAAUGAAACCAUGGUGUUAUGUAUAAUUAAUUGAUUGAUAUCUUGGUAAGAAGUUAGCUGAAAAAGAACACAUCCUUUUUCAUGGAUACAAUGAGUUGCUAUCAUGUUAAAUAUGUAUAUUUAAAGAAAGACUUGGCAGAAGACUGUAAGAUUAGGAAAUGCAAUUAAAUAUGUUUGUUUUUGUAUAUCAUGUUUUUUAAAUAUGUUUAUUUUUCUAGAUUUCUUGCUUUAUUUUGGUAUUUUAAUGUGAGUUACUUAGUUUAUUUUCUUUUUAAGAUUUUCUAGUUUUAAUAUGGAUAAUAUAUCUUCUAGAUUUGAAAGGAAAGGUAAUCUUAGUAUAAAAGCCAACUGUAGAGAUAUUCCUCUAGGUGGCUGGCUACAUAUGCAGACGACGAAAGGUCUAGCAAUAUCUCUGCUGGUGUUUCUUUUGUUAGCCAUGGCAUGGCAAAUUGAUAGUGGUGGUUCGUGGAAGAAGCUGCCAACAGCAAGAGACUUCCAUUUCCGCACCCUUCAAGAACAUCUACCCUUUCUUUAUAUCUGCGGCUAAAAAUCUAGUGAUAAAUUUACGAAAUAUGUGCAAGAAGUUAUUCUAAAUACAUAGAAUGCUGACAGAGUCGAAUGUGGAAUUUUCUCAGCCGUGGCAUGACAAAUUAACAAUGGUGGUUCGUGGUAGAUGCUGCCAACAUUCAUCAAUCAAUUAGUACAGGAGGAGGACGUGAUUUGUUUUAUUUUUUAAUGAUAAAUAAUUAUAUUAUUUUUAAUGAGUUGUUUUGUUUUUAUUUUGAUGUUUUUUCAUUAGUAGUACCAACUUCGUUUAUUUUAAAAGUAUAACUAGAUUUUAUUUAAUAUAUUUUAAUAUUCUUCGUAAAAUUUCAACUCAAUCUAUUGUCGAAUUAAAAAUUACAUCUAAUAACAUAAAAUUGAUUAAAUUAUGAUUUUUCAUCAAAUUUAUUAAUUUCUUUAAAAAUUCUAAAAUUUUAACUCAAGCUAAAACAUCAUAUUAGAAGGUUUCACGUAAAUUUUCAGAAUUUUUUCAUAAUUCAAUUGAGAAUUAUAAAUUUAUUUUUAUAUAAAAUUAGUAUAAAAAUAUUGAUAAAAUCUUAAUCUGAGCUAUAAAAAAAAAAAAAAAGUUAAAGGAGGUUUUGAUAGUGGGAAGCUUAGAGGGAGUUUCUUUCUUUCCGGAGAGGCAAAUGCGGUUGCUUUGCUUUAUGGAAAGAAGAGAAGGGAACGGAAGAAAAGAGAAAAGAUGUCUUCACCAAGGGAAGCAAUCAAGAAUCUUUGCUUUUCCACACAAGAGUAUAGCGCAGGGCAAGGCAAUAUUAUAACAGGUUAUCUACAGUGACUUCCUCUGUAUCUUCGAGCUUUCCACGCAGUCACAGCUUGAUGAUGUCUCUUUCCUUUGUUACUGCGUCACGACGUCUUUUUGGAAAUUUAUUGGUAUUUAAUUUUAAGAUAAUUAAAAUAAGUAUUAGUCAAAAAAUGGUAAAUUAAUUUUACAUAAAAAAGUCAAAAAUUCUCUUUUAUUAUUUAUUUUUUAUCUUGACAAAAACAUAUAUAUAUUUUUAAUUAGCAACAUAGUUGUUUUAAUAAAUAGAAAACUUGGUAAUUUAAAUAAGUAUUCAAGAAUUUUUAAUUAUUUAAAUUAAAAGGGAAAUCCUGAAUGGUUGUUAAUAAAUUUGUUUUGCUCUCUGUUUUUUAGUCACUUUUUUUUUUUAUAUUUUGUUAUAUGCUUUGCGUUGGAUUCCACUUGUCUAGGCUUUCUUAACAUUUAUAGAUGGAGCGCAUGCGCGGUCCUUCUGCCUGAAUAGUAUACCAGUGAGGUUUGAAUCGGUCAUUUACUAUUAUCUCACAAAUUAAUAAAGAUGAAAGCAUAGUUAUUAAGAUUUUACUUUUACAAUCUUUUUGAUUUAUGAAUAUGCUUUCUUUUUUCUUGAUUUUUAAGUUUAAAUCCUCAAAUAAACAUUUAGAAAUACUUCAUAAAUUAAUUUAAAUAUAGAAAAUCAAUAUAGAAGCAUUACAUUUUUAUAAAACAGAUAAUUUAGCCUGGUCAUAAAGAGUUUUUGAUCUAUUAAUUAUGAAUUUUCUUAAAACCUCACCCCGAGUUUUCAUGGGAACACAGAAAUAAAAAGACUCCCAAAAUCUCUUUUCAAAUUUAGUUGCAAGUGAAGGAUUAGAAGAGCUGCCUAAUCUAUUGUGGAUUGGGUGCUUGAAAUUCUUCAAACUUUAUUCAUCUUUAAUUGUGAAAAUCUAGAAAAUUUAGCCUUAGAAGUCUUCGGAUGUGAAAAUCUUAGUAGCUUGAUUUCUUUGCUAUGAAGCAUAACAUACCUCACCACUCUAGAAGAAUUUUGUAUUAUUGAAGGUAAAAAGCUUGAUUUGAUAACAAUAAAAGAAGAAAAAGAAGAGAAAAGCUUAGUUAUUGGUAAGUCUUCAAAUAUUAGAAGGGAAAGUGGUGAAGAAACAUCUCAUUAGGUACGAGUUAUGAGGAUUUAAAUAUAUCAUAUUUAGUUUCACAUUUUUAUCCAUUCUCCAAUUCCUUUUAUUUCGCUUAAAUUAUUUUCCCUAAAAAUAAAAUGCAAUGUUUAUUUGACAAAACCUCGUGUUUUGGAGGGACAUGUUUAAGUGGAACUCCAUCAGAUUUAACCAGAGCAAAGAACAAGACAAGGCAUGUCAUGAUAAAAUACAAAGUUAACUAAUUUCAUUCAGCAAUUUAAAUCUCUUUGAACUUAAUACAUCAUUACUAAAUUCUAUGUUUGUCUAAUUUCUUUGAGUCUACUACUGUGAUGGUCCUAUCGGCUAAGAUCUUCUACAACAGUUAGUCAUUUUCGAAGAUCAGCUUAAGGCUCGGAGUAUCUGUUUUAUGUAAUUUUCCCUGCCUUAAUUUCCUUGGCUAGCUGUGUGUGAUGAUUUGCCAUCAAUAAAUUGAUAAACUUUUAGUUGUUCUGAAUUAUUGGCUUGCCUCUUUAUUUUAUUCAACUUAUCUUAUUUAAAAUAAUUACGUGAUCAUUGAAAUAAUUAUGUUAAACAUAUAAACUCGUCAUUCUAAACAAACUAAAAAACUGAAGUUGGGAGGAGAUCGAAGUAACAAUUAUGCUACUUGUUUCAAAUAAUACAACAGUCAUCAAGAAUUUCAAACUUACCGUAAUGUCUCAUUCAUGAGUUUCAAAGAUAUUAAAGAAGAGACAUCCAUUUCCGCACCCUUCAAGAACACCUACCCUUUCUUUAUAUCUGCGGCUAAAAAUCUAGUGAUAAAUUGACGAAAAAUAUGCAAAAAGUUAUUCUAAAUACAUACAAUGCUGACAGAGGCGAAUGUGGAAUUUUCUCAGCCGUGGCAUAACAAAUUGACACCAGCCAUCAAUCAAUUAGUAUAGGGAUGAAGGGACCCUCACGCAACUUUCUCUGCUUUAAUGUUCAAUGCAUUCCAAUGCUCACUUCAUUUUGCUUACCAAAAAAAAAAAAUGCUCACUUCAUUUCAUCUUUAAAAUACUUCACAAUUAAUUUUGUAAAAAAUUAAUUUGAACAAAAAAAAUUAAUUAUUUUUAAAAAAACAUUUUUGAACAUAAAAAUAAUUAUUUUUAAAGUAUUUUUUAUUUAAUAAUAAUAUAAUAUAUUUUUUAAAGCCACCUUUAAAUCUAGCUUUCAGUGGGGCAAAUCUAUAUGGAACGUGACUUUCACUUCUUUGUUUGCUGUGAGGUACUAUUAUGUGUCGGUGGCUUGAAGCUACUAGCUUAUCACUUUUUGUUUACUGUAGGAAUGGGGAGAUCCUAGGAAGGAGGUGUUCUACCACUACAUGAAGUCAUAUUCUACUGUUGAUAAUGGAAGUAUUCAGCUUUGAAUCGGUUCCUCAUGUUCAUGAUCAAUAGCUUUGAAUCGGUUCCUCAUGUUCAUGAUCAAUAGUUCCUCCUGUCGGCAUGGUAUUUGGUAUAGUUUAAAAGUUAUACCAAAUACCAUGCCCACAGAGGCGAAAAUGGAAUUUUAUUAGCGAUGGCAUGACAGCUUGACAGUAGUGGUUCGUGGAAGAUGCUGCCAACAGCCAUCAAUCAAUUAGUAUAGGGAGGAAGGGACCCUCAUGCAACUAUGCUCUAAAGUUUAAUGUUUCUCAUCAUUCCAAAACACACUUCGUUUCAUCUUUUAAUAUUUCACACCAUACUUCUUGUGCUCAAAAUUUCUUCUUCGAUCCCCCCACACCCCCCAAAAAAAGAAAAAAGAAAACAGAGAAUAUGGUAGCAGAGCUUCUUCUUACGUUUGCCAUGGAGGAGACUUUGACAAGGGUCAGUUCCAUAGCUGCUGAAGGAAUCAGACUAGCCUGGGGAUUGAAGGGCCAGCUGCAAAGGCUCAACAAGUCUUUGACCAUGAUCCAAGCUGUGCUCCAAGAUGCAGCCAGAAAGCCAAUAACAGACGAUUCGGUGAAGCUUUGGCUGGAGAGGCUACAAGAUGUAGCUUAUGAUGCUGAAGAUGUUCUAGACGAGUUUGCUUAUGAGAUUCUCCGAAAAGACCAAAAGAAGGGAAAGGUACGUGACUGCUUUUCACUCCACAAUCCUGUUGCAUUCCGUUUGAUUAUGGGUCAAAAAGUUAAGAAGAUCAAUGAAGCCCUGGAUGAAAUCCGGAAAGAUGCAGACGGAUUUGGGCUGAUAAUUACAUCUCAACAACAUGCAGAGAGAGCUCCUGAAGUUACCCGGGAUAAAGACCGAGAGACAGAUUCCUUCCUUCAAAGCUCAGAAGUUGUAACAGGAAGGAAGGGUGAUGUCUUUAAAGUCAUGGAAUUGCUGACUAGCUUGACCAAACACCAACAUGUCCUUCCGGUUGUCCCUAUAGUGGGGAUGGCUGGCCUUGGAAAGACUACUGUAGCAAAAAAAGUUUGUGAAGUGCGGGAGAGAAAACACUUUGAUUUAACAAUCUGGGUUUGUGUUUCUAAUGAUUUUAGUAAAGGGAGGAUUUUAGGAGAGAUGUUGCAAAAGAUUGAUAAAUCUAUUGGUGGGUUGACCAAUCUAGAUGCAAUUAUGGAAAACCUUAAGAAAGAGCUGGAAAGUAAGACAUUUUUUCUUGUUCUUGAUGAUGUGUGGAAUGAAGACCGUGAUAAGUGGGAUGAUUUGAAGGAGCAACUGUUAAAAAUUAACAGCAUGAAUGGGAAUGCUGUUGUUGUUACAAC